RNAcentral lists this long non-coding RNA (90443 nucleotides) under Sorghum bicolor (sorghum). RNAcentral's name for it is "long non-coding RNA (SBIC_LNC004917)". The record is from RNAcentral. Lineage: Eukaryota; Viridiplantae; Streptophyta; Magnoliopsida; Poales; Poaceae.
GCUCUAUCAUGACUAGUUCUCAAAAUUGAAAUCUCUCACAAGUUUAGGCAUCACUGUUAUUAAUUAAGAUUUGCUCUAAACCUGAACUUGUGGGAAGAGUACUUGAUCUGAAGUCUAAGUCGUUAACGGAUAUGAUAUGGGAAGGUUGAGCUGCUGUUAAUCUGUUCCUAGAGAUGCUAGAAUUCUGGAAAAUUUUAUCUUUAAAAAUCUUUAAAAUAUCACAUGAUGAGUUCCUGUAUGAUGAGAGUUUAAAUUCCUACCACAGCCAUAUAUACAUGCUUGCUAAACUUUGAGCAACACAUUUACUUUACUGCUUAUGAGCAUUUAGUGUGGUCAAGCUGUGUAGACCCUUAGGAGCUUGUCAUGUGGUUAAGUCAAGAUUCACUUGCACGUUCACUCAUACAUGCUACUUCUACUCUGGAAGUACCAUCCACAUAUACCCAUUUUCAUCUCCAGAACCACCCAAAAAUAUUCUACUCCUAAUCCGGGAGAGAAUAGCCAAAAAUAUUUCUAUUUUUUUCCCUGUGAAAUAAAUGCUCAAGUUAUCUUGUUACUACCACUUGCUAUAUUAUCUCAUGAGAUGAGUGCUCUAAAGAAAAAAAGAGAAAAAAAGAAGAAUACGAGGAAAUAAAAAGGGGCAAGUGCCCGGAACCUCGAAAGAAAAAAAAAGAAGAAAAAGUGAGACGAGAGGUAAAAAUGGACAAGUGUCCGACAGUAGAAUUAGGGGUACAAGAUACCCACCUGAGAGAAAAGAAAAAAAAAAGAGAAAAAGAAAGAAAAAGAAAAUACAGAGCAUCUCAUUCUCCCUGAAAGUUUCAAAAGAGCAAGAAAGGUAUGUAUCCCCUCAAAAGAGCACAAGUAGAAUUAGACUUUCACCAUUGUUAUCACCAUCAUUACCAUGCACCAUUCAUUCGCCACACAUGCACAUCUUGAUUUGACUUAUUGACUUGUUCUUCUGGAUCCAUGGUUUGACUAUGCAAUAAAUGUCUUGUAAGUAUGUAUUAGCUGUCUCCCACCUAUGAGCUCCAGAUAUCAAAAGCCUUAUUAGAGUAGGGUGAGAGAGAAGGCAAUGUCACUAUGCCUUAUACCAAAAAUACCACAUACUUUGAGAGAAGGCAUACACCUUUACUGCUUUGGUAAGGAUCCAGAAAUACCACAAAUGAGAGACUAGAUAGAGUCAUACAAGGAAUCUCUGAGUUUUAUUUGAAAAUCUGCAAAAAACUCCAGAGCUAUAGUUAAAUCGAAGAACAAGAGACAUGGUGCUUGACUAGACCGUUCUAUCUUUUAACUACUCAAGACAGAAGUGACAGUUACAAGUCCCAUGGUGAAAGGUAAAUGAGUAAGUUUUAAGUCUUAACAGUUUACCCUAACCCAGAGAUGAGUUCUUGUAUAAACGCAUGUGUAUCUUUAAGUUAUGAAACCACUGCAGAAACUCUUGAGUCAAUCUUUGCUCAGGGACGAGCAAAGGUUAAGCUUGGGGGAGCUUGUUGACGGUCCUUAAUGCUCAUAUUUAACCAUCAAUUAAUCAUAGAAAAGGAUCCAAAUGCAACCAACACCUAGACUUAGGGUUUUAUCUGACAGAAUUCCACAAGUUUUGGUGUUUGUCUAUUUCUGCAGGGGGUUAUCAGGAAAUAUGGAAGAAAGGCCCACACGUCGGGUUUACAUAGAGAUAUUAACGUGCCGCGCAAUUUUCUAUCAUCUAGAAGACUCCAGAAGCCACAGGACCGAAGCGGAAGCCGAGAGGCCUCAGGGACAGGGCGCCCGCCCUCCCCCCUGGACCAAUCAGGGUGAAGUUCGGGGAUUAUGCUCCACCGACCUAAUACUUCAAGGAAAACCACACGAUCAAUGUCGGUUUGAUCCGACGGCCCAGAUUCACUUGAAGGGACUAUAAAACCAGACCCCCUGGCCCCUGGAGAUCAUACCUCUUCUACAGAAUCAAAGUUACGGUUUCAAUUCUUCAUCCAAGUAGAGAGGAUCCCUCUAGUUCUUCUAGUUCUACCUCUAGUUCAUCUAGAUCUUGUUCUAGUUCAUCUAGUUCUAGUUCUAGUUCCUCUAGUUCUAGUUCUAGUUAGUUCUAGUUGUAAUCUAGAAAAUAGGGAGAGAGAAGAGGAGAGCGGAGGAGGAGCCGGAUCUGUCGGAUCUUCCUCAACAUUAUAUUUUUGCAGCAUCUGGUUCGUUCUUCAUCGUUCUCCAGGUUCUUCAAUUCAUAAUUCCUGAGUUCUUUAAUUACUUUUAUUUACAUUCAAGUUAUUUAUUGGAUUCCCGCUUGCAUCAAGUGCCCUAGUCUUUAUAACGCUAGAGUAGUAAUUAAUAGAUUAGACGUGGUGUUUAGUCUUGCAAUUACCUGGAAUUGCACCCAAUCCUGCGGAUUGUUGUGGUAGCCUUAGGGUAGUGACAGCCCAAACGGUCGACGUAUUCCACCACGUUCGGAUCGGUGUUUGUAGGACCGUAGUCAGACCUUCCUAGCCCCCUUCUCAUCUCUUUCUGUGGUUAGUGCUCUGAUGUCCCGAUAUAAAUAAUCUUGAAGUAAUUCUUGAUUCUUAGAUCAACUAGAGAACUCUCAGGAAACUUCCUCUCUUCCCACCAAAAAUAAUUAUAUAGUUAUCCUUAGGCGAUCUUGGAUCUUAAUUAGUACACUCACGUUCUCUGUGGAAAAUCGAUACUCUGGAAUACUCCCGGGUGAAAGCUACAUCGGUAUCCGUGCGCUUGCGGAUUUUUUCUGUUUGCGUUUAAAAUACCCAACACCCACACGCCGAGCCGACACGUGUUGGAGAGACAGGAGCAGCGGCGGUGGCUGGUAGGACCAGGAGAAGUUUCUUCACAGGAACGAACAGGCGCUCCGAUCUGUAAGUUGCUCAAUCUCACUUUUACGCUUGAUCCUAUUUUUGUUAUGGCUACUUUUGACAUUGGUUAAAUGUCAUAUUUUUGUUAGCACGGCAUCGAACGUCAACCCUGACCACAUCGCUGGCCAGAGGACGGCCGAGCCCGUGGCUGUCGUUGGAGACGCCGUGCCACAGACCACCCAGGAGCAUGCCGAGGAGCAGCCCGCGACGACGACUGCGGCUGAGAGUACCGAGGAGCCUCCGGCCCCCGCAAGGGCCAGAGCGGGCACCCCUACAAGGGACGGAGAGGCUACGAGGACGCCUCCCCCAAGCAACGUUGCAGAGGAAGAAGGCAGAGCUCCGACUCCCCCGCCAGCUAAAGAAGGGAGAGUCCCAACCCCGCCCCGAGCGGGCGCUUCUUCACCAGUAGGCUCCCCUGGCCUGGAUCAGGGUCCAGUGAUGCCUGCGACCACGGCCGGGGGUAGUGCGGAGGGCGAGGAAGCCCGGACGGCCUCCGACGAUGAAGUGGAGGAGAUCCAAGGUCGUCCCCAAGAUGACCGUCAGCACGUGUACGUGUGGCGCCAACGCGGAGACCACUUCAUCGGUCAUGAGGAACUCGCGGAGAUGGAGGAGGCUGCAAGGGUAGAGCACGCAGCGAAGCGGCUUGUGGACGAGGUUAAGGUAAGUGGUCUUUUGCGCUGCUCAAAGUUUAUAUGCAUUGUUUCUGGAUUCAGUAUGUAUUCUUGUAGGGCGCAAUGACAACGGCGAAGUACUGGAAAAGGUGCUUUGACCAGAUUGAGGGCAUCGUGGCCGAGAACAAGGCCCUGUCCGCGGAGGUGGACCGGCUUCGGUCGGAGGCCGAGGAGAAGACGGCUGAUAUGGGUGCUCAGGAAGAGCGCCUGCUCAACCUCAUUCGGCGAUUAGCCGACAAGGAUCGGGAGAGAAAAGGUUAGUCAUGCAUUCCGAGCAGUUGUAUAUAACUGUGUAGUCGUUUUUUUAUUGACCAAAAAUUGCCCCUGCAGACUUGGAGGAGGAGGUUGCACGCCUCCGACAAGAGAAGGAGCGGCUCGACCAGGAGCUUGCCGGGGCGCUGGAGACCGGGCGCCGAGCUGGCGAGGAGCUAAGCAACAAGAAUAGGGAGUUGUCUGGUGAGAACCGUGCUACCCCUUUUUUCUUAUUUGUAAACUGACAUCCUGCUUGGUUUGUAGUGCUCAAAGUGAAUACCAAGAAGCACUUUGACGAGCUGAUCAAGGACCGGGACUCCUGGAAGGCCAACUGCAUCAAGCUUUGGAAAGGAGUGGCCCCAGUUCUUGAUUUGAUCAGCCCCGAGCUCCCUGAAGACCAGCCUUGCGCGCUGAAGCUGACGCCAGUCGAGAAGGCACAACGGGCGUGGGACUGGCUCCAGGAGUUCGUCAAGGACGCCGGGGAAUUCGCUGGUGCGCACGUCCUUAGCAUGGUGCGCGCCCACUAUCCUCUGGUCUAACUGUCCUGACUGGAAAGGGGGUACCCCAAGGAGGUUGGUCCGCAGGAGGCAGACAACCUUCGUGCUGGUCUGCUUGACCUGUCGUCGACGGUGAUCGGCGACAUCAACCUCUGCGGGACGGAAACUCCCCCCGACCAGUCCGGGUCAGAUAGGUCGGCCAGGGAGUUGUCGGGAGCGUCCAUUGCCGGAGAUGGGCGGUCGACGCCUGCGGUCUCGACCAGCCAGGCGCCGGUGGCCCCGACCCCUUCGACCGGGCAGCAAGGCCGAGCGGGUGAUCAGCCCGAGCAGUAGGCCUGUAGAGUAGUCUGUAGAAAUAGACUAGGGACCACCCAGAGGGGUGUUUAUUGUAAACUCUAUACAUAACGUUUGUAAUAAAGUUUGAUUUGUCAUGACCAUGGUUUUGAGCGCUGUAAUAUUGUCUGAGUGAUGUAUCACUGAGUUGGGUUAAUAACUCUUAAGGACUUUCGUCCUAAAGGUGGUUGUUGCGCUUUGUCGAAAGCUCUGCAUAUAAAAGAAGUACAUAGGAAGAAAGAGAAAAUUUAUUAAUGCUGAUCAUAAGAGAUUUACAAAUAAAAUGUUCUAGAACUUAUGGGUAAAAAUGCCGCAGGUUGUUUAUGUGCCAAGAGUUAGGCAGGCGUGUUCCGUCUGGGUACGCCAGUCUGUAAGAUGUAGGGCGCGUGACUUUUGCGACCACAAAGGAUCCUUCCCAAGGUGUGGAUAACUUGUGCGUUCCUUCUUGGCUUGUUUUACACUUUAGAACAAGAUCACUGACCACGAAGGAACGGUCUUUGACGUUCCUGUUGUGAUACCUCCUAAUGGCUUCGAGAUAUUUUGCUGUUCGAAGGCACGAGAGUAGGCGCUUUUCUUCCAUGCAGUUGAUUUCAAGCUCCCUGGCGAUGUCAGCCGAAGGCUGGUCGAAGUUUUCGACUCUUGGAGAUCCAAAAGUUACGUCCGAUGGAAGCAUUGCCUUGGUGCCGUAAACCAUGAAGUAGGGUGACACGCCCGUGUUGCGACUAGCCUGUGUUCGGAGGCCCUAGACUACGGGCGGUAACUCUUUCAUCCAACCUCCUGGUGCUCUAUCGUUCUCUGUGUACAGCCUUUUCUUCAAAGCAUCGAUAAUCAUUCCAUUUGCUCGCUCUACUUGACCGUUGGCCCGUGGGUGAGCUACUGACACAUACUUUACGACUAUGCCCUUGUCAUCGCAGAAGUCCCAAAAUGCAAUGCCAGUGAACUGAGUGCCCAGGUCGGUGAUUAUGCUGUUGGGAACCCCAUAUCUGUGUAUGAUUUGGUUGAGGAAUUCCAUAGCCUUCUCGGAGGUUGCUUUGACCAGUGGCAUGUACUCGAUCCACUUUGAGAAUUUGUCGAUUAACACGAAGACGAACUUGAAGUUACCGAGGGCCGGCUUAAAUGGCCCGAUCAUAUCCAGGCCCCAACAGGCGAAAGGCCAGGAUGAUGGGAUAGUUUGAAUCUCGUCAGCAGGCACGUGAGUCCUCUUGGCAAAGAACUGGCAUCCUUCACAAUGUCGGACCAGUUUCUCGGCGUCGGCGACAGCAGUUGCCCAGUAAAAGCCUGCUCGGAAAGCCUUCCCGACGAGUGUUCUAGAGGCGGCAUGGUUGCCACAGGAUCCGGCGUGUAUGUCAUCUAAAAGCUUGAUGCCGUCACCUUGGGAUAUGCAUUUGAGCAGUACUUCGGAGCUUGCAUUUUUUCACAUAAGCUUUCCAUCCACGCGUAUGUAGUUCAUGGAUCGCCGGAUGAGAGGCUCGUUUUCCGUUUUAUCUUGGAGACCCAAUCCGUCCGACAUGUACCUGAUGAAAGGGGCGCGCCAAUCAUGGCUGCUGGUUGCCGGAGCGGAGUCGUCUAUGAUCAUUGCCUCAUUGGGUUGUUUUUCGACCAGGUAUGUGCCCACACUUGGUGCGUGGAUGUCCUGAACGAAAAUGCCUUGCGGGAUCUUGGCCCGAGAUGAUCCUAUCUUUGACAGCGCAUCCACUGCCUGGUUCCUAUCCCAGACCACGUGGAUGUAUUCUAUGCCAUAGAAAUUGGACUCCCAUUUGCGAAUUUCUUUGCAGUAGAGGUCCAUCUUUUCGUACGUUAGCCCCACCGACGUGGUCCACUCCAUUUUCGGGGGCAAGGUCUCCACUGAGUCCAAGCGAGAAAGAAAGCUGUUAAAGAGAGCCUGCCUCAACAUAGACAGCACGGACGGGCUGAUCGCAGAUCCGAAAUUUCCCGCCUGGUCCCACAGGGAGAUCUCGUUCAGCAGGAAGGACCAGUGGGCCGCUAUCCCAGAGCCGGGUCGUUUCCCACUGAUUCUUGAUCCCUGCGUCAAUAGCAUCAGAUUCGAGCGCGUGCUCGUGGACGGGGGAAGCUCCAUCGACAUCCUUUUCCGCAACAGCCUGCCCGCCCUCAAUAUAUCACCGGCACAACUAAAACCUUACGACGCCCAAUUCUGGGGGGUUUUGCCAGGUCAAAGUUCGGUGCUCCUCGGACAGAUAACAUUGCCUGUACAAUUUGGCACACCCGAUCACUUCCGGACGGAGUUCAUCAACUUCGUAGUUGCGGAUUUCGACGGGACCUACCACGCCAUACUGGGCCGCCCAUCGCUGACAAAGUUCAUGGCAGUCCCGCACUACUCAUAUCUAGUCCUUAAGAUGCCCACGGAGAAGGGUGUCCUAACCAUCAGAGGCAACGUCUACACUGCGUACACCUGCGAAGAAGAAAGCUUCAAGAUCACCGAGGCAAUGGACCUCUCAAUCCGCAUGGCGGAAACAGCAAACCAAGCCGCACAGCUGCCUCCCGACCAGCUCCGAUUACCUGAGCAGGAGACAGCCAGAAAAAAUUCGAAAUCCAAGGAGCACAAAGAAGUGCAGCUGGUCGAAGGCAACCCCGAGAAGACAGCCCUCAUCGGGGCUAACCUGGAUCCAAAAUAGGAAGACGCGCUCGUCAGGUUUCUAAGGGACAACGUGAGCGUUUUCGCAUGGAAACCCGCAGACAUGCCCGGUGUCCCACGAAACCUGAUCGAGCACUCCUUAAACGUCUCGAAGACCGCAAGACCAAUCAAGCAAAAACUGCGACGGUUCGCUCGUGACAAAAAGGAGGCUAUUAGGACAGAAAUAACACGGCUUCUAGUAGCCGGAUUCAUAAAAGAAGUGUAUCAUCCCGAUUGGCUCGCCAAUCCGGUUCUUGUACGCAAAAAGAAUAAUGAAUGGAGAAUGUGCGUUGAUUACACCGAUCUCAACAAACACUGUCCUAAAGAUCCUUUUGGUCUUCCUCGCAUCGACGAGGUGGUCGACUCAACGGCCGGAUGCGAACUCCUCUCCUUUCUAGAUUGCUACUCUGGUUAUCACCAGAUCUCGUUAAAGGAAGAAGAUCAGAUCAAAACAUCCUUCAUCACACCCUUCGGCGCAUACUGUUACACUACCAUGUCUUUCGGACUUAAAAACGCCGGGGCCACUUAUCAAAGGGCCAUCCAGCAAUGCCUCCACGACGAGAUUCGCGAUGACCUCGUCGAGGCCUAUGUGGACGACGUGGUCGUAAAAACAAGGGACGCGAGCACCCUAAUCGACAACUUAGACCGAACCUUCAAGGCACUCAAUAGGUACAAGUGGAAGCUCAACCCCAAGAAAUGCAUUUUCGGCGUUCCUUCCGGUCUACUGCUCGGCAACGUCGUCAGUCGUGACGGCAUACGACCAAACCCUUCAAAAGUCAAAGCCGUACUCGACAUGCGACCACCGAAGAACGUCAAGGAUAUUCAGAAGCUAACCGGAUGCAUGGCCGCCCUCAGUCGUUUCAUCUCAAGGCUAGGAGAAAAAGGCCUCCCUUUCUUCAAACUACUGAAAGCGUCAGAAAAAUUCUCUUGGACAGAGGAAGCCGACGCUGCAUUCACUCAGCUUAAGACCUUCCUCACUUCACCGCCUGUCCUCACAGCGCCUCAGCCCAAUGAAGACCUACUCCUUUACAUUGCUGCAACCGACAGGGUUGUUUCCACGGCAAUAGUGGUCGAGCGAGAUGAACCAGUCACGUCUUCAAGGUCCAGAGACCCGUUUACUUCAUAAGCGAAGUUUUAAACGAAUCCAAGGCCAGGUACCCACAAAUACAGAAGCUUAUAUACGCCAUCCUGAUAAGGUCAAGAAAGCUGAAGCACUACUUCGACGGCUAUCGAGUCCUGGUGACAACCAGCUUUCCUCUCGGGGACAUCCUGCGCAAUAAAGACGCCAAUGGCAGAAUCGUGAAAUGGGCAAUGGAAUUAUGUCCAUUUUCCCUAGAGUUCCAGAGUCGCACCACUGUCAAGUCUCAAGCCCUGGUCGAUUUCAUUGCCGAAUGGACGGAUCUCAACGAGCCUUCCGUUCCAGACGUCUCAGACCACUGGUCAAUGUUCUUCGAUGGGUCCUUGAACAUCAACGGUGCAGGCGCUAGGAUAUUGUUCGUAUCACCCAACAAGGACAAACUCCGCUACGUCCUUCGGAUCCUUUUUCCGGCGUCAAACAAUGUCGCCGAAUACGAAGCAUGCUUACAUGGCGUACGACUAGCCGUCGAACUGGGGGUCAAGCGCCUCUAUGUCUACGGCGACUCCGCUUUGGUCAUCAACCAGCUCAACAAGGAGUGGGACGCAACCCACGAGAAGAUGGAUCUCUACUGCAAAGAAAUUCGCAAAUGGGAAACUAACUUCUAUGGCAUAGAGUACAUCCACGUGGUCCGGGAUAAGAACCAAGCAGCAGAUGCGUUGUCAAAGUUAGGCUCAUCUCGGGCCCAAAUCCCGCGGGGUAUUUUCGUCCAGGACAUCCAUGAGCCGAGCGUAAGCUCCCCCCUGGUCGACAAGCAACCCACCGAGGCAAUGCUCAUAGAUGACGCCACUCCGACAACCGGUGGGCGUGACUGGCGUACCCCGUUCAUCAAAUACAUAUCAGACGGGACAGGCUUUCAGGACAAAACAGAGAACGAGCGUCUCAUCCGACGAUCAAAGAACUACAUCCUGGUCGACGGAAAACUCAUGCGGAAAAACGCAAGCUCCGAAGUACUGCUCAAGUGCAUACCCCAAGAUGAUGGUAUCAAGCUCUUGGAGGACAUACACGCCGGAUCCUGCGGCAACCACGCCGCAUCUAGAACGCUGGUCGGAAAGGCUUUCCGAGCAGGUUUUUAUUGGCCAACCGCGGUCGGCGACGCAGAAAAACUGGUUCGGCAUUGCGAAGGAUGUCAGUUUUUCGCUAAGAGGACCCACGUACUUGCCCAUGAAAUUCAAACCAUCCCGUCGUCUUGGCCCUUUGCUUGCUGGGGGCUUGACAUGAUCGGACCAUUUAAACCAGCCCCGGGCAAUUUCAAGUUUGUCUUCGUGUUAAUCGACAAGUUCUCCAAGUGGAUUGAAUACAUGCCCCUGGUCAAGGCAACCUCCGAGAAGGCUGUGGAGUUCCUCAAUCAAAUCAUACACAGAUUCGGCAUCCCGAACAGCAUAAUCACCGACCUGGGCACUCAGUUUACUGGCACCACUUUUUGGGAUUUCUGCGAUGACAGAGGCAUAGUCAUAAAAUAUGUGUCAGUGGCACAUCCACGUGCCAACGGUCAAGUUGAACGUGCUAACGGAAUGAUUGUCGACGCCCUAAAGAAAAGGUUGUACAAAGAAAACGACAGAGCACCCGGUCGAUGGAUGAAAGAAUUGCCGGCAGUGGUCUGGGGCCUCCGAACUCAGACCAGUCGAAACACAGGGGUGUCUCCCUACUUCAUGGUGUACGGUGCAAAGGCGGUCUUGCCGUCUGACAUACACUUCGGAUCUCCUAGAAUCGAGCACUUCGAUCAGGCGACCGCCGACAACGCCAGAGGACUCGAAAUCAAUUGCAUGGAGGAAAAGCGUUUAGUUUCGUGUCUCCGAACAGCAAAAUAUCUCGCAGCAGUCAGGCGAUACUACAACAGGAAUGUCAAGGACCGUUCUUUCGUGGUCGGCGAUCUGGUGCUUCGAUGGAAAACAAGCCAGGAGGGAAUGCACAAGCUAUCCACUCCCUGGGAAGGACCCUUCGUGGUGACCGAGGUCACACGACCUACGUCCUACAGAUUGGCAUACCCAGACGGAACACGAGUGCCUAACUCUUGGCACAUCGACAAACUGCGACGUUUCUAUCCAUAAAGUUUUAAUGACUUUCUUUUGUAAGUAUCUUAUAAUUUUUGAUAAUGAAAUUCUCUAUUUUUGGCCCAUACCUUGUCACACACAGCACUCGGCAAAACUCCUGCAACGGAUGCUCUUAGCGACAACCAAGACAAAUACGGUGACACGUCACUCAGACAUUCUUACAGCGCUCAAAACAACAGUCAUGACAAAAAGCAAACUUUAUUACAAACUUUACAUACAAAGUUUACAAUAAAUACCCUGACGGGCAAACACUAGUCUAUUCCUACAGACUACUUUAUUGGCCUAGCUGCUCGGGCUGAUCACCCGCCUGGCCCUGCUGCCCGGACGAAGGAGUCGGGGCCACCGGCGCCUGGCUGGUCGAGACCGCAGGCGUCGACCGCCCAUCUCCCGCAACGGACGCGCCCGACAACUCCCUGGCCGACCUAUCUGAGCUCGGCUGGUCUGGAGGAGUGGCCGUUCCGCACAGAUUGAUGUCGCCGAUCACUGUCGACGACAAGUCCAGCAGAUUACCCCGAAGUUCGUCCGCUUCCUGUGGGCCGACUUCCUUCGGGUACCCCUUCUCCAGCCUGCUCAAGUCGACCAGGGGGUAGUGGGCGCGCACCAUGCUGAGGACGUGCGCGCCGGCAAACUCCCCGGCGUCCUUCACAAACUGCUGGAGCCAGUCCCACGCCCGUUGCGCCUUCUCGACCGGGGUCAACUGCGGCGCGCGGGGCUGGCUCUCCGGGAGCUCGGGACUGAUCAGGUCUAGGACCGGGGACACUCCUUUCCAGAUCCUACAACAGUUGACCUUCCAGGAGUCCCGGUCCUUGAUCAGGUCAUCCAGGUGCUUUUUGGUGUUCACCUUGAGCACUGCAAACGAAACGAAACGUUACUUUCGGCAUACCAGACAAAUAAAGGGGCAGGCAGCAACCAACAAGGCGGCACCCAUUACCAGAUAGCUCCCGGUCUUUUCGACCCAAUUCCUCUUCUGCUCGUCGCCCGGACUCCAGCGCACCGGCGAGCUGUUGGCUGAGCUGCUCCUUCUCUUGUCGGAGGCUCGCCACCUCCUCCUCCAAGUCUGCGUGAAUCCUAAACUGGUCAGCAAAGCAAACUAUACAAGUACGCGAAGCUGCUCGGAGCGUGUGACUAACCUUCUUGCAGCCGGUACUGGUCGGCCAAACGACGAGCGAGGUCGAGACGACGCUCCUUUUCGGCACUCACCUCGACCACCUUCUCCCCGACCUCCGCCCGCAACCGGUCUACCUCCGCGGCAAGGGCCUUGUUCUCGGCCAUGACGCCUUCUAUCUGGUCAAAGCACCGUUUCCGGUACUUCACCGUUUUCAUUACGUCCUACAAAGCAAGCAUAUAACGACCAUGCAAGACAAGGCAAAAGAAUGCGCAGCAGCACAAAAAGCCGCUUACCUUGACUUCAUCGACGAGGCGCUUGGCUGCGCGCUCCACCCUGGCGGCCUCUUUGGUCUCGGCGAGCUCCUCAUGCCCGAUAAAGUGAUCCCCGCGUUGGCGCCACACAUACACGUGUUGGCGGCCAUCACGGGGACGACCCUCGAUCUCUUCCACCUCGUCAUCGGAGGCCGCCCGGGUUUCCUCCUCCUGUGCUGCGUCACCCUCGGUGGUGGUCCCAGGCAUUACUGGCCCUUGGACCAGACCUGGGGAGCCCGCAGCCGAAGAGGCUCCUGCUCGGGGCGGCGGGGGGACUUCACUCCCCCCGGCAGGAGGAGCGGUCGGAGAUCUUCCCUUCUUUGAGGAGUCAGUUGGGGGAGCCUCUCCAGCCCUGGUCGGGCUGCUUGUUGUAGUCGGCACCGCGCUUGGGAGCCCCUCGGUGCUCCCAGGCGCGACUGCAGCUGUUGGCUGCUCUGUGGUCUGGGGGGCCGCAUCCCCAGAACCGCGGGCAGGCUCGCCCGUUCCCUGGCUGGCAGUUUGGCCAGGGUCGACAUCCGAUGCCGCACUACAGGAACAAAAGUUAAAAAAAAAGAGGAGUCCAAAAUACGUAAGUCGAACACUUACAGGUCUGACCGACGGUGGGUCGCGGUGAACCUCCUCCUCGCCCGGCCGGUCGGCACCUGUGCCCCCAUCUCGACAACUUGCGGGGCAGCGGCGCCGCUGGCCACUCGAUCAGUGGCGACCGGCGCAGUGUCUGGGCGGCUUCGAGGCCGUCGGACCAACGACGGCGCAGCCUCCUCGUCGUCGUCGUCGUCGACGAUCCGCACGAGCCGACGACGCUUCGGUGCUUGGCUGCUCUCCGCCGGUAGAUCUGCCGGCAGCUCCGGUGUCGGCAAGGGAUCUGCCGGCAAUGGCCUUUCCCCGCUACCCUCUCCUCGGAGGUCGGGAUGGGGCGGGCUCGGUCUUCCUCACUGCUGGUGUAAUGGGUACACCGAGCAGCGUCCUCCUCUGGCGGGACCUCUCCCACAGGAUUUUCCAUCCCCGGUGCCAGUGAUACAUACACUGCGCACCGGUCGACAUCACCGACCUGCAAAAGCAACAGAGAUGAGUCAACUGCAGACGAUAUAUGAAUGAUCAAACAGAAUCUGCUACAUACCUUUGGUGCUGGUCGUCCUAACUUGAAGGCUUGCACCCGGUCACUGCCACGGAUGAAGCCCCCAUCCGCGAAGUUAAACAGCUCGUUCAACAGCUGUUGUACCUCCGCUUUCUCCAAGAUCUCCGACCGCAUCCUGGUCGGGUCUGCGCUUCCGGCAUACUCGUACGCCGAGUGCACCCUCUUCUGGCAGGGCAUCACCCGGCGGCAAAUGAAGUUGUCGACCACGCCAAGCCCGUCUAGGCGCGACCAGUCGAUCAGCUUCAUGAGAUCCGCCACUGGACCGUCGAACUCCGGGCGGUCGGUCCAGCUCGCCCUCUUCUCGGGAAUGUAUCCCACGUCGCAGAACGUGGAGCUGCCCGGUUCCUCCCUGAUGUAGAACCACUUCCUGUACCAUUCGGUUAAGGAAGUGUUCCAUGGGCAGUGCAGGUAGCGAUUCUUCAUCCCAUCACGAAGGUUGAGGUAUACUCCACCUGCAACCUUGGAGCCUCCAACUGCUCCCUUCUUCCUCAGGCAGAAAAGAUACCGGAAAAGAUCGAAGUGCGGCUCUAUGCCAACAUAGGCCUCGCACAGGUGGAUGAAGGUGGAAAUAAGGAGAAUUGAGUUCGGGUGCAGAUUGCAAAUCCCGAUCUCAUAGUACAAAAGAAGACCUUGAAGAAAAGGAUGAACAGGAACACCAAAGCCUCUCUUAACGAAAUCUUCAAAAACGACGAUCUCACCGGCGCGAGGGUCGGGGUAGCUCUCCCCCUCCGGCGCCCUCCAGCCGCCGAGCUCUGCGCCGUGCAGAAGCCCCAUAUCGACGAGGUCACCAAGAGAUUUUGUGGUGCUGCGAGACUUCUUCCAUUCCUUGGCCAUCAGUUCGGCCCUCUUCCUGGAGUCGCUCUUCGCCAUUAGAGGUGCGAAUGUGGGCUGGAGUUAGGAAGAUGCAGGAGAUUGGAGAAGAUGAGAGCGGAAGGUUUGAAGGCAAUGGCAGGCGAAGCGGUACAGGCGGACCUAUUAGGCCCUUAUAAACCCGUGACUCCACCUCUCCCACUUCCUGUAUUCUCGGGAAGUGGGUAGGCCGCGCGGCGGACGCGGCGUUUCGGUUUACAAUGAUUAUAGACAAUUAAUGCGGCGGAGUUUUCGUACCAAUUAAUGGUUUCCUUUCUCAAACCAUGCAAAGAGCGGUUGUACAGUUGCCAGGUGCAACUUUUCAUGCAUCCGUCUGACAUAUCGUCAGGAGACCUCGUCACGUCAACUUUAACUGGAAAGAUCUUUUCAAAAGUAAGAAGACACAUACGCCAGUGAGUCAACAAUCCGGGGACUGCACCGACCACCGAGCACUCGACGCUCGGGGACUGGUCGCCCAGUCUAUCAUCUCGGAACUUCAAGGACUGCACCGACCACCGAGCACUCGACGCUCGGGGACUGGUCGCCCAGUCUAUCAGCUGGGAACUUCAAGGACUGCACCGACCACCGAGCACUCGACGCUCGGGGACUGGUCGCUCAGUCUAUCAGCUCAAAGCUUUAAAGCAUGCACCGACCACUGAGCACUCCACGCUCGGGGACUGGUCGUACAGUAUAGCAACAUAUAAUUCCAAGAAGCACACUAAGUGCUUGGGGACUGGUCGAUUGGUCUUUUCAAUUGCAGGCGAGCAUGACAUGCUCGGGGACUGGUAAAUUCACUUUAGACCUUGCUACAAGGCUCAUAAUUCGCCUUCCAGCAAGCUCGGGGACUACAUCGGUACGAUGCAUCUAGCGAUGCAUCUCAGUCUCAAAACUACUUUGGGGAAUUUUCUUUUGACCCUGGCACCACGUGCCUACGUCACCUACUACCAGGCUCGGGGACUAAGUGGGCACACUUCACCUAGCGGUGAAUUUGUUUGCUUUUUUGAUGCUUUUACCUUUCAAAAAGGUAAAGUGGGCACACUUCACCAGGAAAGAAAUUUUUUUUAAGAGCACCAUGCAUUCUUCGAACAACCUGCCUCUUCGAUGUCAAUGUUGAUCAACUGUCUUUCGAGUUGGUCAAGGAACCGUUGCAACUGCUUGGGCGAUCUUCCCACUCAUUGAAGACGCCAAGCCUUGCUGAUCGAAGAAGCUCAAGACGGCGUGUUGCAUCACAAUACAUGGUGCUCGGGGACUAGCUGUGGGGGUAUAAACCCCUAUACCCUUACGGCUAGACUUCAGCCACGAAGCUUGGCCCACUACGAGACGAGUUCAAGGCUUGAUCCGACAGCUCGGAGUUUCGCGCAAGGAAACAAGACGUGGAGAUCAAGCAAGAUUCUAGUCGGUUAGAAUAGGAAUUGAUAUCAAAUUAUCUAUGGCAAUUGUAACCGACUAGGAUUAGUUUCCAGAUCUGUAACCCUGCCCUCCAGACUAUAUAAGGAGGGGCAAGGGACCCCCCUAGGACAUCAUAUUCUCUCAACACAAAUCAAUACAACCAGACGCAGGACGUAGGUAUUACGCCAACUCGGCGGCCGAACCUGGAUAAAAAGCUUGUCCGUGUCUUGCGUCACCAUCGAGUUCGUAGUUUGCGCACCGUCUACCGAUAAACUACUACCGUGGGUAUACCCCAAGGUAGACUGCCGACUAGCUUUCGUCGACAGGUACCUAGUCUUGGACUCGUUUAAGACUUCACUUAUGAAGUAAACUGGUCUCUGAACUUUGUAUACAUGGCCUGGCUCAUCCCGCUCGACCACCAUUGCCGUGGAGACAACCCUGUCAGUUGCUGCUAUGUAAAGGAGCAGGUCCUCGUUGGGUUGAGGCGCUGUGAGAACGGGUGGCAAAGUGAGAAAGGUUUUGAGCUGGGUGAACGCAGCGUCGGCUUCCUCUGUCCAGGAGAAUUUUUCUGAUGCCUUUAGGAGCUUGACGAAGGGGAGGCCUUUUUCUCCUAGUCUAGAGAUAAAACAGCGGAGAGCAGCCAUACAUCCAGUGAGCUUUUGAAUGUCCUUGACAUUCUUUGGUGGUCGCAUAUCGAGCACUGCUUUUACUUUUGAGGGAUUCGGUCGUAUGCCGUCGCGGCUAACGACGUUGUCGAGUAGUAGACCAGAGGGGACCCCGAAGAUACAUUUCUUGGGGUUAAGCUUCCACUUGUAUUUAUUAAGUGCCUUGAAAGUUCGGUCUAGGUUGUUGAUUAGAGUGCUCGCGUUCUUUGUUUUGACGACGACAUCAUCUACAUAAGCCUCGACGAGGUCAUCACAAAUCUCGUCGUGGAGGCAUUGCUGAAUGGCCCGUUGAUAGGUGGCUCCAGCGUUUUUGAGUCCGAAGGACAUGGUCGUGUAGCAAUACGCGCCGAAAGGAGUGAUAAAAUAUGUUUUGAUCUGGUCAUCUUCCUUUAGCGAGAUCUGGUGAUAACCAGAGUAGCAGUCUAGAAAAGAGAGGAGUUCGCAUCCGGCCGUUGAGUCGACCAACUCAUCGAUGCGAGGGAGACCAAAAGGAUCUUUAGGACAGUGCUUAUUGAGAUCAGUGUAAUCUACGCACAUUCUCCAUUCAUUAUUCUUUUUUCAUAAAAGAACCGGAUUGGUGAGCCAAUCGGGAUGAUACAGUUCUUUAAUGAAUCCGGCUGCUAGAAGCCGUGUUAUUUCUGUCCUAACAGCCUCCUUUUUGUCACGAGCAAACCGUCGCAGUUUCUACUUGAUAGGUCUUGCGGUCUUCGAGACGUUUAAGGAGUGCUCGAUCAGGUUUCGCGGGACACUGGGCAUGUCCGCGGGUUUCCACGCAAAAACGCUUACAUUGUCCCUGAGAAACCUCACAAGCGCGUCUUCCUAUUUGGGAUCCAGAUUGGCCCCGAUAAGGGCCGUCUUCUCGGGGCUGCCGUCGACCAGCUGUACUUCCUUGUGCUCUUUGGAUUUUGAAUUUUUCCUUGGAGUCUCCUGCUCGAGUAGUCGAAGCAGGUCGGGUGGAAGCUGCGUGGCUUGGGUCACGGUUUCUGCCAUGCGGAUUGAGAGGUCGAUUGCCUCGGUGAUCUUGAAACUUUCCUCCUCUCAAGUGUAUGCGGUAUAAACGUUGCCUCUGAGAGUUAGGACGCCUUUCUCUGUUGGCAUUUUAAGGACCAGGUAUGAGUAGUGCGGAACAGCCAUGAACUUUGUCAACGAUGGUCGGCCCAAGAUGGCAUGAUAAGUUCUGUCAAAGUCGGCGACCACAAAGUUGACGAACUCUGUUCGGAAGUGGUCGGGCGUUCCGAACUGGACAGGCAGCGUUAUCUAUCCGAGGGGUACUGAACUUUGACCUGGCUGGACUCCCCAGAAUUGUGCGUCAUAUGGCUUUAGUUGUGUCGGGGUUAUCUUGAGAGCAGGCAAACUGUUGCGAAAGAGGAUGUCAAUGGAGCUUCCCCCGUCGACGAGGACACACUCGAAUCUGAUGCUCUUGAUGCAAGGAUCCAGGAUUAGAGGGAAACAUCCUGGCUCUGGGAUGGCGGCCCAUUGAUCCUUCCUGCUGAAGGAGAUUUCCCUAUGCGACCAGGGAGGAAAUUUCGGAUCGGCGAUCAAACCGUCUGUGCUGUCCACGUUGAUGCACGCUCUCUUUAGGAGCUUUCUUUCGCGCUUGGAUUCGAUGGAAACUUUGCCUCUGAAGAUAGAGUGGACCACGUCGGUAGGAUUGACAUACUGGUGUCGUGGGUCCCUAUCCUGGUCCUCGCCUUCGUCUUCGUGAACGCGCCCGUCCUGCUUCCCGUUUUUCUUGGCGGACUCAUCUUGAGCGGCCCGCCGCAUGUAGAUGCUUUUGAGGACAUGACAUUCUUCCAUCGUGUGGUUAGACUUGGGGUGGAGUUGGCACGGUCCCUUCAACGUCUUGUUGUAAUCUUCCUGGUAGUCCCGCCGUCCGUUGGGGCGUUUGACUGUAUUCACCUCGUGGUCGUGGUCGUGGUCGCGAGGGCGCUUGCUCCUGAAAUCAUCACGAUUAUCACGCCGCCUAUCCCAACCUUCUCUAUGGUCACGGUUGUCGAGGCGACAGUGGUUCCUGUUAUCAAAACGACUACGACUGUCGUCCCAUCGAGGAGGCUGGUCAGUACCUCUCGCAUCCUCUCGGAUGAGUUUUUCUGCGUCGUCGGUGUCGGUGUAGUUUUUUGCCGUGGUAAGGAGCUCAGCCACCGUGGUUGGCCUUUUGCAUAGUAGCUUGUUCCUUAGUGCCUUGUGGAAGCGUAGCCCUUUGAUGAAGGCGGAUAUGGCCUCGUCGUGAGAGAUUUUUGGGAUUUUAAGGCGCAUAUCCGAGAAUCGUCAGAUGUAAUCGCGCAAAGGCUCGUUUUUCCUGUCCCUUAUUCUCUCGAGGUCGUAUUUGUUCCUGGGCUGGUCGCAGGUAGUGAUAAAAUUGUCGAUAAAAGCUUGGCGCAAUUCUUCCCAGGAAUCAAAGGAGUCCUCGGGCAGGCCCAGGAGCCACUGAUGACCAGCCUGGUCGAGGAUGAUUGGGAAGUAGUUGGCCAUGACGUGCUCAUCGCCUGCUGCUGAACGGACUGCAAUCUCAUAGAGAGUGAUCCAGUUUUCUAGGUUUUCCUUGCCGUCAUAUUUUUUGAUCUUCUCGAGUUUGAAGUUGCAGGGCCAUACGACUUGGCGAAGGUGUGAGAAAAACUGUCUCAGGCCGGGAGGACCGUGCGUGGCGUCGUACUCAAUACGCCGCAGGUUCUCGUGCACCGCUCUUUCCGUAGCACGCCUGUUGAUGCGGUCCCGGGCGUCUUUGGGAGGGAUGUUGUUUCGUAGAUCCCUGUCCUGGUUUACCUCCUGACCACGCCCGCGAUUCUGCUCGCGGUAGCCGCCGGUGUCCCGACCACCGUUGCCACGCCGUGAAUCCUUCCGAUGAUUAUUGGGGGAGCGGCUACGGUGGUGCUCGCUGGGUCGUGGUGAGGUCCGGCUGCGAUGAUUCUGGUCGGAGGAGACCUCUGUGUAGGAGAUAGCUUGGACCCUUUUAAGUAAGGUAGCUGUCUGUCCCAUCGCGGUGAUCGGAUGCGCGCGUACGCUGGAUCGGACACCCUGGCACUCGGGAGUAUCAGGGAGUCGGUCUAGGUUUGCCAUAGCAACAGCCACGUUAGCACAUGGCGUUUUGUAGACUUGUUGAUCUCCGACCAUGUCGAAAGCGUCGCUGAGGUUAUGCGGCGGGAGUUGUUGUUCCUCGUCCGCACGUCGCCGAGCACGGUCGGCAUUGCGCUGUUCACGGAGCUGCCUCUGAUCGUCUGUCUCCCCCUCGACAACCGGUUCGUCGUUGCUGACAUUGAAGAUGAGAUCUCCCCGCCAGGGUGGAAAGAUCGGGAAGCGAGAGAAACCCAGAGGGUACGGUGGUAAUUCCAGGUCGUAAUCUUCGUCCUCAGAGUUUAUAACCUCGGUGGGGACGGAUCCAGUGCUGGAGUUUGUGCUGGAAGCCUGGUCAUUUGGUAGUUCUCGGAUUGUCACCAUGUUGAAGUAGUGACGAGCCGGUCGACUGUUCCGUUUUGGCACGCAACCCGCCCUGUUGAAAAGGGAUUGGAUGUGCCGUGAGUAGUAAACGGCUGAGUUGUUUAGCCCAUAAGGAGGACUCUGAUCUGGGUCCACCUUGAGCUUGACGGACCGCCCCGCGGGGAUGGAUGUUAUCGCCAAAGACAUCCCCAGAUGUUCGUGCGUGAUGACACGAGUUGGCUGGCAGGAGUCGAAAAAAUCUGUUGACGCGAUUCGAUCAGACUGGCGCGAGAUCCCAUCUAUCAGUCGGGAAGCUUCGAGGAGCCUGAGAUCGGCGCGAUCAAGGGCCCGAAAAAGAUCCGAGUUGUCGACCUUCUUUCCCCUGUAACGAGGGAGCAGUGGUCGAGUGGUCGGUGUCGGCGUGAUCGGAGUCGACGCCGUUGUCGCCCCAGAUUGGAUCUGGGUUUCUUCCGAAGUCGUGGUCGUGAGGCCGCCGCCACAAGUCGUCCACGUGAUCUGGCCGACGGUGAGCGUGAGGCCUUCGGGCACAGCCGCGGAAGCUGGAACGAUGACCAUCUUGUUCGUCGGGAGAGCUGUACGCACACCCCCUACCUAGCGCGCCACUGUCGACGAAAGCUGGUCGGCAGUCUACCUUGGGGUAUACCCACGGUAGUAGUUUAUCGAUAGACGGUGCGCAAGCUACGAACUCGAUGGUGACGCAAGACACGGACAAGCUUUUUAUCCAGGUUCGGCCGCCGAGAGGGCGUAAUACCUACGUCAUGCGUCUUGUUGUAUUGAUUUGUGUCGAGAGAAUAAUGUGUCCUAGGGGGGUCCCUUGCCCCUCCUUAUAUAGUUCGGAGGGCAGGGUUACAGAUCUGGAAACAAAUCUAGUCGGUUACAAUUGUCGUGGAUAGUUUGAUAUCAAUUCCUAUUCUAACCGACUAGAAUCCUACUUGAUCUCUACGUCCUGUUUCCUUGCGCGAAACUCCGAGUAGUCGAAUCAAGCCUCAAACUUGUCUCUUAAUGGGCGAAGCCUCCGGGCCCAAGUCUUGCCGUAAGGGUAUAGGGGUUUAUACCCCCACAGAGAUAGUGCUAAUCUUGAUGCAAGAUAGAUGCACGGUUUGCAUGGAACAUACGAUAUGCACAGAAAUCAAUUAGGACGCACCUAAUAUAACUCCUUGAUGAUGUGUGUCAUAUGGAACCUUGCCUUAGUUCGUUUAGAGAUAGUGUUAGUUUUGGUAGAAGAUAUGUGCACGGUUUACGCCUAAUGCGCCAUAGGCUAAGAAACCAUUUUAGACACACCCGAUGGUACUCGUAGUUGAAGAGGCUCAAGUGGAGGCUCGAUUUGGUCUGUUUGGAUAUAGUGCUAAUCUUGAGGCAAGAUAGUUGCACAGUUUGCAUGGAACAUACCAUAUAUUAAGAAAUCAAUUUGGACGCACCCAAUGGAACUCCUAGAUGACGUGUGUCAUAUGGAAUCUUGCUUCGGUGUAUUUAGAGACAAUGUUAGUUUCGGUGCAAGAAAGGUGCAUAGUUUGUGCCUAAUGCACCAUAGUCUAAGAAACCAUUUUUGAAGCAUCUGUUUGUACUCCUUGAUGAAGAGGCUCAAGUGGAAGCUUGGUUUGGUCUGUUUGGAGAUAGUGCUAAUCUUGAUGCAAGAUAGGUGCACGGUUUGCAUGGAACAUGUCAUAUGCUUGGAAAUCAAUUUGGAUGCACCCGAUGGAACUCCUUGAUGACGUGUGUCAUAUGGAAUCUCGGUUUGUUCUGUUUAGAAAUAGUGUUAGUUUCGGUGCAAGAUAUGUGCAUGGUUUGCGCCUAAUGCACCAUAGUCUAAGAAACCAUUUUGGAAGCACCUGUUGGUACUUCUGUGAAGAGGCUCAAGUGGAAGCUCGGUUUGAUCUGUUUCAAGAUAGUGUUAAUCUUGAUGCAAGAUAGGUGCAUGAUUUGCAAGGAACAUACCAUAUGCUUAGAUAUCAAUUUGGACGCACCUAAUGGAACUCCUAGAUGACGUGUGUCAUAUGGAAUCUUGCUUCGGUCCGUUUGUAGACAUUGUAAGUUUUAGUGCAAGAUAGAUGCAGAGUUUGCGCCUAAUGCACCAUAGUCUUAGAAACCAUUUUGGAUGCAAUAUUUGGAACUCCUGGGUGUAGAGGCUCAAGUGGAAGCUUGGUUCAGUCAGUUUGCAGAUAGUGCUAAUCCUUAUGCAAGGUAGGUGCAUGGUUCACAUGGAACAUGCCAAAUGCUUGGAAAUCAAUUUGGAUGCACCCGAUGGAACUCCUUGAUGACGUGUGUCAUAUGUAGUCUCGCUUCGUUCUAUUUGGAGACAUUGUUAGUUUCAGUGCAAGAUAGGUGCACAGUUUGCACCUAAUACACCACAGUCUAAGAAACUAUUUUGGACGCACUUGUUGGUACUCCUAGGUGAAGGGGCUCAAGUUGAUGCUCGGUUCGGUCUGUUUGGAGAUAGUGCUAAUGUUGAUGCAAGAUAGGUGCACGGUUUGUAUGGAACAUACCAAAUGCUUGGAAAUCAAUCCGGACGCACAUGAUGGAACUCCUAGAUGAUGUGUGUCAUACGAAAUCUUGCUUCGGUCUAUUUGGAGAUAGUGUUAGUUUCGGUGCAAGAUAGGUGCAACGUUUGCACAUAAUGCAGCAUAGGCUAAGAAACCAUUUUGGACGCACCCGAUGGUAUUCCUAGGUAAAAGGCUCAGGUGAAAGCUCGGUUUGGUCAAUUUGGAGAUAGUGCUAAUCUUGAUGCAAGAUAGAUGCACGGUCUAUUUGGAACGUACCAUAUGCUUAGAAAUUAAUUUGGACACACCCGACAGAACUCAUUGAUGACGUGUGUCAUAUUGAAUCUCGCUUUGGUGUGCUUAGAGACGGUAUUAGUUUUGGUGCAAGAUAUGUGCAUGGUUUGCGAAUAAUGCACCAAAAGCUAAGAAACCAUUCUAGAAGUACCUGUUGGUACUCCUAGAUGAAGAGGCUCAAGUGGAGGCUCGGUUCGUUCUAUUUGGAGAUAGUCCUAAUCUUGAUGGAAGGUAGGUGCACGGUUUGCAUGGAACAUACCAAAUGUUUGGAAAACAAUCUGGACGCACAUGAUGGAACUCCUAGAUGACGUGUGUCAUACAAAAUCUUGCUUCAGUCUGUUUGGAGAUAGUGUUAGUUUCGGUGCAAGAUAGGUGCAAGGUUUGCACAGCAUGCAGCAUAGGCUAAGAAACCAUUUUGGACGCACCCGAUGGUACUCCUAGGUAAAAGGCUUAAGUGAAAGCUCGGUUUGGUCUAUUUGGAGAUAGUGCUAAUCUUGAUGCAAGAUAGAUGCACGGUCUGCAUGGAACGUACCAUAUGCUUAGAAAUUAAUUUGGACACACCCGAUAGAACUCCUUGAUGACGUGUGUCAUAUGGAAUCUCGCUUUGGUGUGCUUAGAAACAAUAUUAGUUUCGGUGCAAGAUUUGUGCACGGUUUGCGCCUAAUGCUCCAAAGUCUAAGAAACCAUUUUGGACGCUCUUGUUGGUACUCCUAGGUGAAGAGGCUCAAGUUGAUGCUCGGUUCGGUCUGUUUGGAGAUAGUGCUAAUCUUGAUGCAAGAUAGGUGCACAGUUUGCAUGGAACAUACCAAAUGCUUGGAAAUCAAUCCGGACGCACAUGAUGGAACUCCUAGAUGACGUGUGUCAUACGAAAUAUUGCUUUGGUCUGUUUGGAGACUAUGUUAGUUUCGGUGCAAGAUAGGUGCAUGGUUUGCACCUAAUGUACCAUAGGAUACGAAACCAUUUUGGACGCACCCGAUGGUACUCCUAGGUCAAGGGGCUCAAGAGAAAGCUCGGUUUGGUCUGUUUGGAGAUAGUGCUAAUCUUGAUGCAAGAUAGAUACACGGUUUGCAUGGAACAUAUGAUAUGCUCAGAAAUCAAUUAGGACACACCUAAUAUAACUCCUUGAUGAUGUGUGUCAUAUGGAAUCUUGUUUUGUUUCGUUUAGAGAUAGUGUUAGUUUGGGUAGAAGAUAUGUGCAUGGUUUACGCCUAUUGCACCAUAGGCUAUGAAACCAUUUUAGACGCACCCGAUGGUACUCAUAGUUGAAGAGGCUCAAGUGGAGGCUCGAUUUGGUCUGUUCGGAUAUAGUGCUAAUCUUGAUGCAAGAUAGUUGCACAGUUUGCAUAGAACGUACCAUAUGUUAAGAAAUCAAUUUGCACGCACCCAAUGGAACUUCUAGAUGACGUGUGUCAUAUGAAAUCUCGCUUCGGUCUGUUUGGAGACAAUGUUAGUUUUGGUGCAAGAUAGGUGCAUAGUUUGUGCCUAAUGCACCAUAGUCUAAGAAACCAUUUCUGAUGCACCUGUUUGUACUCCUAGAUGAAGAGGCUCAAGUGGAAGCUUGGUUUGAUGUGUUUGGAGAUAGUGCUAAUCUUGAUGCAAGAUAGGUGCAUGAUUUGCAAGGAACAUACCGUAUGCUUAGAAAUCAAUUUGGACGCACCCAAUGGAACUACUAGAUGACGUGUGUCAUAUGGAAUCUUGCUUCGGUCCAUUUGUAGACAUUGUAAGUUUUAGUGCAAGAUAGGUGCAUAGUUUGCGCCUAAUGCACCAUAGUCUAAGAAACCAUUUUGGACACACUAUUUGGUACUCCUGGGUGAAGAGGCUCAAGUGGAAGCUUGGUUCGGUCAGUUUGGAGAUAGUGCUAAUCCUUAAGCAAGGUAGGUGCAUGGUUUGCAUGGAACAUAUCAUAUCCUUCGAAAUCAAUUUGGAUGCACCCAAUGGAACACCUUGAUGACGUGUGUCAUAUGGAAUCUCGCUUCGGUCCAUUUAGAGACAUUGUUAGUUUCGGUGCAAGAUAUGUGCACAGGUUGCACCUAAUGCACCAUAGUCUAAGAAACCAUUUUGGACGCACUUGUUGGUACUCCUAGGUGAAGGGGCUCAAGUGGAUGCUCGGUUCAGUCUGUUUGGAGAUAGUGCUAAUCUUGAUGCAAGAUAGGUGCACGGUUUGCAUGGAACAAAACAACUGCUUGGAAAUCAAUCUGGACGCACAUGAUGGAACUCCUAGAUGACGUGUGUCAUACGAAAUCUUGCUUCGGUCUAUUUGGAGAGAGUGUUAGUUUCGGUGCAAGAUAGGUGAAAGGUCUACACAUAAUGCAGCAUAGGCUAAGAAACCAUUUUGGACGCACCCGAUGGUACUCCUAGGUAAAAGGCUCAAGUGAAAGCUCGGUUUGGUCUAUUUGGAGAUAGUGCUAAUCUUGAUGCAAGAUAGAUGCACGGUCUGCAUGGAACGUACCAUAUGGUUAGAAAUUAAUUUGGACACACCUGAUAGAACUCCUUGAUGAUGUGUUUAUAUAGAAUCUCACUUUGGUGUGCUUAGAGACAAUAUUAGUUUUGGUGCAAGAUAUCUGCACAGUUUGCGCCUAAUGCACCAAAGUCUAAGAAACCAUUUUAGCACUUGUUGGUACUCCUAAGUGAAGAGGCUCAAGUGGAGGCUCGGUUCGGUCUGUUUAGAGAUAGUGCUAAUCUUGAUGCAAGAUAGGUGCACGAUUUACAUGGAACAUACCAUAUGCUCAGAAAUCAAUUUGGACGCACCAGAUCGAACUCCUAGAUGACAUGUGUCAUAUGGAAUCUCACUUCGGUCCGUUUAGAGACAGUGUUAGUUUCCAUGCAAGAUAAGUGCACAGUUUGCACCUAAUGCACCAUAGGAUAAGAAACCAUUUUGAAAGCACCCGAUGGUACUCCUAAGUCAAGGGGCUCAAGUGAAAGCUCGGUUUGGUCUGUUUGGAGAUAGUGCUAAUCUUGAUGCAAGAUAGAUGCACAGUUUGCAUAGAACAUACGAUAUGCUUAGAAAUCAAUUAGGACACACCUGAUAUAACUCCUUGAUGAUGUGUUAUAUGGAAUCUUGCUUCGGUUCAUUUAGAGACAGUGUUAGUUUUGGUAUAAUAUAUGUGCAUGGUUUACGCCUAAUGCACCAUAGGCUAAGAAACCAUUUUAGACGCACCCGAUGGUACACGUAGUUGAAGAGGCUCAGGUGGAGGCUCCAUUUGGUCUGUUCGGAUAUAGUGCUAAUCUUGAUUCAAGAUAGUUGCACAGUUUGCAUGGAACAUACCAUAUGUUAAGAAAUCAAUUUGGACGCACCCAAUGGAACUUCUAGAUGACGUGUGUCAUAUGGAAUCUCGCUUCGGUCUGUUUGGAGACAAUGUUAGCUUUGGUGCAAGAUAGGUGCAUAGUUUGUGCCUAAUGCACCAUAGUCUAAGAAACCAUUUUUGAUGCACCUGUUUGUACUCCUAGAUGAAGAGGCUCAAGUGGAAGCUAGCCGGUUUGAUCUGUUUGGAGAUAGUGAUAAUCUUGAUGCAAGAUAGGUGCAUGAUUUGCAAGGAACAUACCAUAUGCUUAGAAAUCAAUUUAGACGCACCCAAUAGAACUCCUAGAUGACGUGUGUCAUAUGGAAUCUUGCUUCGGUCCGUUUGUAGACAUUAUAAGUUUUAGUGCAAGAUAGGUGCACAGUUUGCGCCUAAUGCACCAUAGUCUAAGAAACAAUUUUGGACACACUAUUUGGUACUCCUAGGUGAAUAGGCUCAAGUGGAAGCUUGGUUCGGUCAGUUUGGAGAUAGUGCUAAUCCUUAAGCAAGGUAGGUGCAUGGUUUCCAUGGAACAUACCAUAUGCUUGGAAAUCAAUUUGGAUGCACCCAAUGAAACUCCUUGAUGACGUGUGUCAUAUGGAAUCUCGCUUCGGUCCAUUUGGAGAUAUUGUUAGUUUCGGUGCAAGAUAUGUGCACAGUUUGCACCUAAUGCACCAUAGUCUAUGAAACUGUUUUGGACGCACUUGUUGGUACUCCUAGGUGAAGGGGCUCAAGUGGAUGCUCGCUUCAGUCUGUUUGGAGAUAGUGCUAAUCUUGAUGCAAGAUAGGUGCACGGUUUGCAUGAAACAUACCAAAUGCUUGGAAAUCAAUCUGGACGCACAUGAUGGAACUCCUAGAUGACGUGUGUCAUACGAAAUCUUGCUUCGGUCUGAUUGGAGACAGUGUUAGUUUCGGUGCAAGAUAGGUGCAAGGUUUGCACAUAAUGCAGCAUAGGCUAAGAAACUAUUUUGGACGCAACCGAUGGUACUCCUAGGUAAAACGCUCAAGUCAAAGCUCGGUUUGGUCUAUUUGGAGAUUGUGCUAAUCUUGAUGCAAGAUAGAUGCACGGUCUGCAUGGAAUGUACCAUAUGCUUAGAAAUUAAUUUGGACACACCCGAUAGAACUCCUUAAUGAUGUGUAUCAUAUGGAAUCUCGCUUUGGUGUGCUUAGAGACAGUAUUAGUUUCGGUGCAAGAUAUCUGCACAGUUUGCGCCUAAUGCACCAAAGUCUAAGAAACCAUUUUUUAGCACCUGUUGGUACUCCUAGGUGAAGAGGCUCAAAUAGAGGCUCAGUUCGGUCUGUUUAGAGAUAGUGCUAAUCUUGAUGCAAGAUAGGUGCACGAUUUUCAUGGAAAGUACCAUAUGCUCAGAAAUCAAUUUGGACGCACCAGAUCGAACUCCUAGAUGACAUGUGUUAUAUGGAAUCUCACUUCGGUCCCUUUAGAGACUGUUAGUUUCCAUGCAAGAUAGGUGCACGGUUUGCACCUAAUGCACCAUAGGAUAAGAAACCAUUUUGGACGCACCCGAUGGUACUCCUAGGUCAAGGGGCUUAAGUGAAAGCUCGGUUUGGUCUGUUUGGAGAUAGUGCUAAUCUUGAUGCAAGAUAGAUGCACGGUUUGCAUGGAACAUACGAUAUGCUAUGAAAUCAAUUAGGACGCACCUAAUAUAACUCCAUGAUGAUGUGUCAUAUGGAAUUUUGCUUCGGUUCUUUUAGAGACAGUGUUAGUUUUGGUAGAAGAUAUGUGCAUGGUUUAUGCCUAAUGCACCAUAGGCUAAGAAACCAUAUGCUUAGAAAUCAAUUUGAUUGCACCACGUGGAACUCCUAGAUGACAUGUGUCAUAUGGAAUCUCACUUCUAUUUGUUUAGAGACAGUGUUAGUUUCGGUGCAAGAUAGGUGCAUGGUUUGCACCUAAUGCACCAUAGGAUAAGAAACCAUUUUGGACACACUCGAUGGUACUCCUAGGUCAAGGGGCUCAAGUGAAAGCUCGGUUUGGUCUAUUUGGAGACAGUGCUAAUCUUGAUGCAAGAUAGAUGCACGGUUUGCAUGGAACAUACGAUAUGCUCAGAAAUCAAUUAGGACGCACCUGAUAUAACUCCUUGAUGAUGUGUGUUAUAUAGAAUCUUGCUUCGGUUUGUUUAGAGACAAUGUUAGUUUUGGUAGAAGAUAUGUGCAUGGUUUAUGCCUAAUGCAGCAUUGGCCAAGAAACCAUUUUAGACGCACCCUAUGGUACUCAUAGUUGAAGAGGUUCAAGUACCAUAGUGCUAAUCUUGGUGCAAGAUAGAUGCACGGUUUGCAUGGAACAUAUGAUAUGCUCAGAAAUCAAUUAGGACGCACCUGAUAUAACUCCUUGAUGAUGUGUGUUAUAUGGAAUCUUGCUUCGGUUUCUUCUAGACAGUGUUAGUUUUGGUAGAAGAUAUGUGCACGGUUUAUGCCUAAUGCUCCAUAGGCUAAGAAACCAUUUUAGACGCACCUGAUGGUACUCAUAGUUGAAGAGGUUCAAGUACCAUAGUGCUAAUCUUGAAUUCUUGAUGCAAGAUAGUUGCACAGUUUGCAUGGAACGUACCAUACAUUAAGAAAUCAAUUUUGACGCACCCAGUGGAACUCCUAGAUGACAUGUGUCAUAUGGAAUCUCGCUUAAGUGUGUUUGGAGACAAUGUUAGUUUCGGUGCAAGAUAGGUGCAUAGUUUGCGCCUAAUGCACCAUAGUCUAAGAAACCAUUUUGGACACACUAUUUGGUACUCCUAGGUGAAGAGGCUCAAGUGGAAGCUCCGUUUGGCCUGUUUGGAGAUAGUGCUAAUCCUUAAGCAAGGUAGGUGCAUGGUUUGCAUGGAACAUACCAUAUGCUUCGAAAUCAAUUUGGAUGCACCCAAUGAAACUCCUUGAUGACGUGUGUCAUAUGGAAUCUCGCUUCGGUCCAUUUGGAGACAUUGUUAGUUUCGGUGCAAGAUAUGUGCAGAGUUUGCACCUAAUGCACCAUAGUCUAAGAAACCGUUUUGGACGCACUUGUUGGUACUCCUAGGUGAAGGGGCUCAAGUGGAUGCUUGGUUCAGUCUGUUUGGAGAUAGUGCUAAUCUUGAUGCAAGAUAGGUGCACGGUUUGCAUGGAACAUACCAAAUUCUUGGAAAUCAAUCUGGACGCACAUGAUGAUACUCCUAGAUGACGUGUGUCAUAGGAAAUCUUACAUCGGUCUGUUUGGAGACAUUGUUAGUUUUGGUGCAAGAUAGGUGCAAGGUUUGCACAUAAUGCAGCAUAGGCUAAGAAACCAUUUUGGACGCACCCGAUGGUACUCCUAGGUAAAAGGCUCAAGUGAAAGCUCGGUUUGGUCUAUUUGGAGAUAGUGCUAAUCUUGAUGCAAGAUAGAUGCACGCUCUGCAUGGAAUGUACCAUAUGCUUAGAAAUUAAUUUGGACACACUCAAUAGAACUCCUUUAUGAUGUGUGUCGUAUGGAAGCUUGCUUUGGUGUGCUUAGAGACAGUAUUAGUUUUGGUGCAAGAUAUCUGCACGGUUUGCGCCUAAUGCACCAAAGUUUAAGAAACCAUUUUUUAGCACCAGUUGGUAAUCCUAGGUGAGGAGGCUCAAGUGGAGGCUCGGUUCGGUCUGUUUAGAGAUAGUGCUAAUCUUGAUGCAAGAUAGGUGCACGAUUUCCAUUGAACAUACCAUAUGGGCAGAAAUCAAUUUGGACACACCAAAUCGAACUCCUAGAUUACAUGUGUUAUAUGGAAUCUCACUUCGGUCCCUUUAGAGACAGUGUUAGUUUCCAUGCAAGAUAGGUGCACGGUUUGCACCUAAUACACCAUAGGAUAAGAAACCAUUUUGGACGCACCCGAUGGUACUCCUAGGUCAAGGGGCUUAAGUGAAAGCUCGUUUUGGUCUGUUUGGAGAUAGUGCUAAUCUUGAUGCAAGAUAGAUGCACGGUUUGCAUGGAACAUACGAUAUGCUAAGAAAUCAAUUAGGACGCACCUAAUAUAACUCCAUGAUGAUGUGUCAUAUGGAAUCUUGCUUCGGUUCUUUUAGAGACAGUGUUAGUUUUGGUAGAAGAUAUGUGCAUGGUUUAUGCCUAAUGCACCAUAGGCUAAGAAACCAUAUGCUUAGAAAUCAAUUUGAUUGCACCACGUGGAACUCCUAGAUGACAUGUGUCAUAUGGAAUCUCACUUCUAUUUGUUUAGAGACAGUGUUAGUUUCGGUGCAAGAUAGGUGCACGGUUUGCACCUAAUGCACCAUAGGAUAAGAAACCAUUUUGGACACACCCGAUGGUACUCCUAGGUCAAGGGGCUCAAGUGAAAGCUCGGUUUGGUCUGUUUGGAGACAGUGCUAAUCUUGAUGCAAGAUAGAUGCACGGUUUGCAUGGAACAUACGAUAUGCUCAAAAAUCAAUUAGGACGCACCUGAUAUAACUCCUUGAUGAUGUGUGUUAUAUGGAAUCUUGCUUCGGUUUGUUUAGAGACAAUGUUAGUUUUGGUAGAAGAUAUGUGCACGGUUUAUGCCUAAUGCAGCAUUGGCCAAGAAACCAUUUUAGACGCACCCUAUGGUACUCAUAGUUGAAGAGGUUCAAGUACCAUAGUGCUAAUCUUGGUGCAAGAUAGUUGCACAGUUUGCAUGGAACGUACCAUAUAUUAAGAAAUCAAUUUUGAUGCACCCAAUGGAACUCCUAGAUGACAUGUGUCAUAUGGAAUCUCGCUUCGGUCUGUUUGGAGCCAAUGUUAGUUUUGGUGCAAGAUAGGUGCAUAGUUUGCGCCUAAUGCACCAUAGUCUAAGAAACCAUUUUGGACACACUAUUUGGUACUCCUAGGUGAAGAGGCUCAAGUGGAUGCUCGGUUCGGCCUGUUUGGAGAUAGUGCUAAUCCUUAAGCAAGAUAGUUGCACAGUUUGCAUGGAACGUACCAUAUAUUAAGAAAUCAAUUUUGACGCACCCAAUGGAACUCCUAGAUGACAUGUGUCAUAUGGAAUCUCACUUCAGCGUGUUUGGAGACAAUGUUAGUUUCGGUGCAAGAUAGGUGCAUAGUUUGCGCCUAAUGCACCAUAGUCUAAGAAACCGUUUUGGACACACUAUUUGGUACUCCUAGGUGAAGAGGCUCAAGUGGAAGCUCGGUUUGGCCUGUUUGGAGAUAGUGCUAAUCCUUAAGCAAGGUAGGUGCAUGGUUUGCAUGGAACAUAUCAUAUGCUUCGAAAUCAAUUUGGAUGCACCCAAUGAAACUCCUUGAUGACGUGUGUCAUAUGGAAUCACGCUUCGGUCCAUUUGGAGACAUUGUUAGUUUCGGUGCAAGAUAUGUGCACAGUUUGCACCUAAUGCACCAUAGUCUAAGAAACCGUUUUGGACGCACUUGUUGGUACUCCUAGGUGAAGGGGCUCAAGUGGAUGCUUGGUUCAGUCUGUUUGGAGAUAGUGCUAAUCUUGAUGCAAGAUAGGUGCACGGUUUGCAUGGAACAUACCAAAUGCUUGGAAAGCAAUCUGGACGCACAUGAUGAUACUCCUAGAUGACGUGUGUCAUACGAAAUCUUUCUUCGGUCUGUUUGGAGACAUUGUUAGUUUUGGUGCAAGAUAGGUGCAAGGUUUGCACAUAAUGCAGCAUAGGCUAAGAAACUAUUUUGGACGCACCCGAUGGUACUCCUAGGUAAAAGGCUCAAGUGAAAGCUCGGUUUGGUCUAUUUGGAGAUAGUGCUAAUCUUGAUGCAAGAUAGAUGCACGGUCUGCAUGGAAUGUACCAUAUGCUUAGAAAUUAAUUUGGACACACUUGAUAGAACUCCUUUAUGAUGUGUGUCAUAUGGAAGCUUGCUUUGGUGUGCUUAGAGACAGUAUUAGUUUUGGUGCAAGAUAUCUGCACGGUUUGCGCCUAAUGCACCAAAGUCUAAGAAACCAUUUUUUAGCACCAGUUGGUAAUCCUAGGUGAGGAGGCUCAAGUGGAGGCUCGGUUCGGUCUGUUUAGAGAUAGUGCUAAUCUUGAUGCAAGAUAGGUGCACGAUUUCCAUUGAACAUACCAUAUGGGCAGAAAUCAAUUUGGACGCACCAGAUCGAACUCCUAGAUUACAUGUGUUAUAUGGAAUCUCACUUCGGUCCCUUUAGAGACAGUGUUAGUUUCCAUGCAAGAUAGGUGCACGGUUUGCACCUAAUACACCAUAGGAUAAGAAACCAUUUUGGACGCACCCGAUGGUACUCCUAGGUCAAGGGGCUUAAGUGAAAGCUCGGUUUGGUCUGUUUGGAGAUAGUGCUAAUCUUGAUGCAAGAUAGAUGCACGGUUUGCAUGGAACAUACGAUAUGCUAAGAAAUCAAUUAGGACGCACCUAAUAUAACUCCAUGAUGAUGUGUCAUAUGGAAUCUUGCUUCGGUUCUUUUAGAGACAGUGUUAGUUUUGGUAGAAGAUAUGUGCAUGGUUUAUGCCUAAUGCACCAUAGGCUAAGAAACCAUAUGCUUAGAAAUCAAUUUGAUUGCACCACGUGGAACUCCUAGAUGACAUGUGUCAUAUGGAAUCUCACUUCUAUUUGUUUAGAGACAGUGUUAGUUUCGGUGCAAGAUAGGUGCACGGUUUGCACCUAAUGCACCAUAGGAUAAGAAACCAUUUUGGACACACCCGAUGGUACUCCUAGGUCAAGGGGCUCAAGUGAAAGCUCGGUUUGGUCUGUUUGGAGACAGUACUAAUCUUGAUGCAAGAUAGAUGCACGGUUUGCAUGGAACAUACGAUAUGCUCAAAAAUCAAUUAGGACGCACCUGAUAUAACUCCUUGAUGAUGUGUGUUAUAUGGAAUCUUGCUUCGGUUUGUUUAGAGACAAUGUUAGUUUUGGUAGAAGAUAUGUGCACGGUUUAUGCCUAAUGCAGCAUUGGCCAAGAAACCAUUUUAGACGCACCCGAUGGUACUCAUAGUUGAAGAGGUUCAAGUACCAUAGUGCUAAUCUUGGUGCAAGAUAGUUGCACAGUUUGCAUGGAACGUACCAUAUAUUGAGAAAUCAAUUUUGACGCACCCAAUGGAACUCCUAGAUGACAUGUGUCAUAUGGAAUCUCGCUUCGGUCUGUUUGAAGACAAUGUUAGUUUUGGUGCAAGAUAGGUGCAUAGUUUGCGCCCAAUGCACCAUAGUCUAAGAAACCAUUUUGGACACACUAUUUGGUACUCCUAGGUGAAGAGGCUCAAGUGGAAGCUCGGUUCGGCCUGUUUGGAGAUAGUGCUAAUCCUUAAGCAAGGUAGGUGCAUGGUUUGCAUGGAACAUACCAUAUGGUUCAAAAUCAAUUUGGAUGCACCCAAUGAAACUCCUUGAUGACGUGUGUCAUAUGGAAUCUCACUUCGGUCCAUUUGGAGACAUUGUUAGUUUCGGUGCAAGAUAUGUGCACAGCUUGCACCUAAUGCACCGUAGUCUAAGAACCGUUUUGGACGCACUUGUUGGUACUCCUAGGUGAAGGGGCUCAAGUGGAUGCUCGGUUUAGUCUGUUUGGAGAUAGUGCUAAUCUUGAUGCAAGAUAGGUGCACGGUUUGCAUAGAACAUACCAAAUGCUUAGAAAUCAAUCUGGACACACAUGAUGGAACUCCUAGAUGACAUGUGUCAUACGAAAUCUUGCUUUGGUCUGAAUGGAGACAGUGUUAGUUUUGGUGCAAGAUAGGUGCAAGGUUUGCACAUAAUGCAGCAUAGGCUAAGAAACCAUUUUGGACGCACCCGAUGGUACUCCUAGGUAAAAGGCUCAAGUGAAAGCUCGGUUUGGUCUAUUUGGAGAUAGUACUAAUCUUGAUGCAAGAUAGAUGCACGGUCUGCAUGGAAUGGACCAUGUGCUUAGAAAUUAAUUUGGACACACCCGAUAGAACUCCUUGAUGAUGUGUAUCAUAUGGAAUCUCGCUUUGGUGUGCUUAGAGACAGUAUUAGUUUCGGUGCAACAUAUCUGCACAGUUUGCGCCUAAUGCACCAAAGUCUAAGAAACCAUUUUUUAGCACCAGUUGGUAAUCCUAGGUGAGGAGGCUCAAAUGGAGGCUCGGUUCGGUCUGUUUAGAGAUAGUGAUAAUCUUGAUGCAAGAUAGGUGCACGAUUUUCAUUGAACAUACCAUAUGCUCAGAAAUCAAUUUGGACGCACCAGAUCGAACUCCCAGAUGACAUGUGUUAUAUGGAAUCUCACUUCGGUCCCUUUAGAGACUGUUAGUUUCCAUGCAAGAUAGGUGCACGGUUUGCACCUAAUGCACCAUAGGAUAAGAAACCAUUUUGGACGCACCCGAUGGUACUCCUAGGUCAAGGGGCUCAAGUGAAAGCUUAGUUUGGUCUGUUUGGAAAUAGUUCUAAUCUUGAUGCUGGAUAGAUGCACGGUUUGCAUGGAACAUACGAUAUGCUCAGAAAUCAAUUAGGACGCACCUGAUAUAACUCCUUGUUGAUGUGUCAUAUGUAAUCUUGCUUUGGUUCAUUUAGAGACAGUGUUAGUUUUGGUAGAAGAUAUGUGCAUAGUUUACGCCUAAUGCACCAUAGGCUAACAAACCAUUUUAGACGCACCUAUUUGUACUCCUAGAUGAAGAGGCUCAUGUGGAAGCUCGGUUCGGUCUGUUUGGAGAUAGUGCUAAUCUUGUUGCAAGAUAGGUGCACGGUUUGCAUGGAACAUACCAUAUGCUUAGAAAUCAAUUUGGAUGCACCCGAUGGAACUCCUUGAUGACGUGUGUCAUAUGGAAGCUCGCUUCGGUCUAUUUGGAGACAAUGUCAGUUUCAGUGCAAGAUAUGUGCAUGGUUUGAGCCUAAUGCACUAUAGUCUAAGAAACCAUUUUGGAAGCACCUGUUGCUACUUUGGUGAAGAGGAUCAAGUGGAAGCUCGGUUUGAUCUGUUUGGAGAUAGUGCUAAUCUUGAUGCAAGAUAGGUGCAAGGUUUGCACAUAAUGCAGCAUAGGCUAAGAAACCAUUUUAGACGCACCCGAUGGUACUCCUAGGUAUAAGGCUCAAGUGAAAGCUUGGUUUGGUCUAUUUGGAGAUAGUGCUAAUCUUGAUGCAAGAUAGAUGCACGGUCUGCAUGGAAUGUACCAUAUGCUUAGAAAUUAAUUUGGACACACCCGAUAGAACUCCUUGAUGAUGCGUGUCAUAUGGAAUCUCGCUUUGGUGAGCUUAGAGACAGUAUUAGUUUCGGUGCAAGAUAUCUGCUCGGUUUGCGCCUAAUGCACCAAAGUCUAAGAAACCAUUUUUAGCACCUGUUGGUACUUCUAGGUGAAGAGGCUCAAGUGGUGGCUCGAUUCGGUCUGUUUAGAGAUAGUGCUAAUCUUGAUGCAAGAUAGGUGCACGAUUUUCAUGGAACAUACCAAAUGCUUAGAAAUCAAUUUGGACGCACUAGAUCUAACUCCUAGAUGACAUGUGUCAUACGGAAUCUCACUUCGGUCCGUUUAGAGACAGUGUUAGUUUCCAUGCAAGAUAGGUGCACGGUUUGCACCUAAUACACCAUAGGAUAAUAAACCAUUUUGGACGCACCCGAUCGUACUCCUAGGUCAAGGGGCUCAAGUGAAAGCUCGGUUUGGUCUGUUUGGAGAUAGUGCUAAUCUUGAUGCAAGAUAGAUGCACGGUUUGCACGAUAUGCUCAGAAAUCAAUUAGGACGCACCUGAUAUAACUCCUUGAUGAUGUGUCAUAUGGAAUCUUGCUUCGGUUCAUUUAGAGAUAGUGUUAGGUUUGGUAGAAGAUAUGUGCAUGGUUUACGCCUAAUGCACCAUAGGCAAAGAAACCAUUUUAGACGCACCCGAUGGUACUCAUAGUUGAGAGGCUCAAGUGGAGGCUCCAUUUGGUCUGUGCGGAUAUAGUGCUAAUCCUGAUGCAAGAUAGUUGCACAGUUUGCAUGGAACGUACCAUAUGUUAAGAAAUCAAUUUGGACGCACCCAAUGGAACUUCUAGAUGACGUGUGUCAUAUAGAAUCUCGCUUCGAUCUGUUUGGAGACAAUGUUAGUUUUGGUGCAAGAUAGGUGCGUAGUUUGUGCCUAAUGCACCAUAGUCUAAGAAACCAUUUUUGACGCACCUGUUUGUAGUCCUAGAUGAAGAGGCUCAAGUCGAAGCUCGGUUCGAUCUGUUUGGAGAUAGUGCUAAUCUUGAUGCAAGAUAGGUGCAUGAUUUGCAAGGAACAUACCAUAUGCUUAGGAAUCAAUUUAGACGGACCCAAUGGAACUCCUAGAUGACGUGUGUCGUAUGGAAUCUUGAUUCGGUCCAUUUGUAGACAUUGUAAGUUUUAGUGCAAGAUAGCUGCACAGUUUGCGCCUAAUGCACCGUAGUAUAUGAAACGAUUUUGGACACACUAUUUGGUACUCCUAGGUGAUGAUGCUCUAGUGGAAGCUUGGUUCGAUCAGUUUGGAGAUAGUGCUAAUCCUUAAGCAAGGUAGGUGCAUGGUUUGCAUGGAACAUACCAUAUGCUUGGAAAUCCAAUUGGAUGCAUCCAAUGGAACUCCUUGAUGACGUGUGUCAUAUGGAAUCUCGCUUCGGUCCAUUUGAAGACAUUGUUAGUUUUGGCGCAAGAUAGGUGCACAGUUUGCACCUAAUGCACCAAAGUCUAAGAAACUGUUUUGGACGCACUUGUUGGUACUCCUAAGUGAAGGGGCUCAAGUGGAUGCUCGGUUCAGUCUGUUUGGAGAUAGUGCUAAUCUUGUUGCAAGAUAGGUGCACAGUUUGCAUGGAACAUACCAAAUGCUUGAAAAUCAAUCUGAACGCACACGAUGGAACUCCUAGAUAACGUGUGUCAUACGAAAUCUUGUUUCGGUCUAUUUGGAGACUGUUAGUUUUUGUGCAAGAUAGGUGCAAGGUUUGCACAUAAUGCAGCAUAGGCUAAGAAACCAUUUUGGACGCACCCGAUGGUAGUCCUAGGUAAAAGGCUCAAGUGAAAGCUCGGUUUGGUCUAUUUGGAGAUAGUGCUAAGCUUGAUGCGAGAUAGAUGCACGGUCUGCAUGGAACGUACCAUAUAUUUAGAAAUUAAUUUGGACACACUCGAUAGAACUCCUUGAUGACGUGUGUCAUAUGGAAUCUCACUUUGGUGUGCUUAGAGACAGUAUUAGUUUCGGUGCAAUAUAUGUGCACGGUUUGCACCUAAUGCACCAAAGUCUAAGAAACUAUUUUGGAAGCACCUGUUGGUACUCCUAGGUGAAGAGGCUCAAGUGGAGGCUCGGUUCGGUCUGUUUGGAGAUAGUGCUAAUCUUGAUUCAAGAUAGGUGCACGAUUUGCAUGGAACAUACCACAUGCUCAGAAAUCAAUUUGGACGCACUAGAUGGAACUCCUAGAUGACAGGUAUCAUAUGGAAUCUCACUUCGGUCUGUUUAGAGACAGUGUUUGUUUCGGUGCAAGAUAGGAGCACGGUUUGCACCUAAUGCACCAUAGGAUAAGAAACCAUUUUGGACGCACCUGAUGGUACUCCUAGGUCAAGGGGCUCAAGUGAAAGCUCGGUUUGGUCUGUUUGGAGAUAGUGCUAAUCUUGAUGCAAGAUAGAUGUACGGUUUGCAUGGAACAUACGAUAUGCUCAGAAAUCAAUUAGGACGCACCUAGUAUAACUCCUUCAUGAUGUGUGUCAUAUGGAAUCAUGCUUUGGUUCGUUUAUAGAUAGUGUUAGUUUUGGUAGAAGAUAUGUGCACGGUUUACGCCUAAUGCACCAUAGGCUAAGAAACCAUUUUAGACACACCCGAUGGUACUCGUAGUUGAAGAGGCUCAACUGGAGGCUCGAUUUGGUCUGUUUGGAUAUAGUGCAAAUCUUGAAGCAAGAUAGUUGCACAGUUUGCAUGGAACGUACCAAUUGUUAAGAAAUCAAUUUGGACGGACCCAUUAGAACUCCUAGAUGAUGUGUGUCAUAUAGAAUCUUGCUUCGGUCUGUUUGGAGACAAUGUUAGUUUCGGUGCAAGAUAGAUGCAUAGUUUGUGCCUAAUGCACCAUAGUCUAAGAAACCAUUUUUGACACACAUGUUUGUACUCCUAGAUGAAGAGGCUCAAGUGGAAGCUCGGUUCGGUCUAUUCGAGAUAGUGCUAAUCUUGAUGCAAGAUAGGUGCAUAGUUUGUAUGGAACAUACCAUAUGCUUGGAAAUCAAUUUGGAUGCACCCGAUGGAACUCCUUGAUGACUUGUGUCAUAUGGAAUCUCGCUUUGGUCUAUUUAGAAAUUGUGUUAGUUUCGGUGCAAGAUAUGUGCAUGGUUGGCGCCUAAUACACCAUAGUAUAAGAAAGCAUUUUGGUAGCACUUGUUGGUACUUCCGUGAAGAGGCUCAAGUGGAAGCUUGUUUGAUCUGUUUGGACAUAGUGCUAAUCUUGAUCCAUGAUAGGUGCAUGAUUUGCAAGGAAUAUACCAUAUGCUUAGAAAUCAAUUUGGACGCACCCAAUGGAAUUCCUAGAUGACGUGUGUCAUAUGGAAUCUUGCUUCGGUCCGUUUGUAGACAUUGAAGUUUUAUUGCAAGAUAGGUGCACAGUUUACGCAUAAUGCACCAUAGUCUAAGAAACCAGUUUAGACGCACUAUUUGGUACUCCUGGGUGAAGAGGCUCAAGUGGAAGCUUGGUUCGGUCAGUUUGGAGAUGGUGCUAAUCCUUAUGCAACGUAGGUGCAUGGUUUGUAUGGAACGUACCAUAUGCUUGAAAAUUAAUUUGGAUGCACCCGAUGGAACUCCUUGAUGACGUGUGUCAUAUGGAAUCUUGCUUCGGUCCAUUUGGAGACAUUGUUAGUUUCGGUGUAAGAUAGGUGCACAAUUUGCACCUAAUGCACCUGAUGGUGGGGAAACGGGCGGCUAUGACCCGACUCCGUGUCAACAGAGACAAAUAUAAAUUUAAAUGGGACAAUAUGAAAAGAACAGGUAUUGCGAGUCCAUACUUCCAUAAUUCUUAUAUUUAUAUAAAAAUUAUGUUAAUUACAUCUCUGAAGAGAACACCCCUGAUUAAGAGUUCCAACAUGAGUACAUAAAACAUAAGAUUACAUCAUAUGGCUUGCUAUUACAAACUACAAAAGAAAAUAAAAUCUUCAGUCUUGUAGUCGCGGAUGGAUGCAUACAUAGGCCUCGCAUAAACUUGAAUUUGAUAUUCGUCAUUUCUUUUGAGCAUGACAUUUCAUUUCUUGAGCAGGUAAUAUAUAUUUGUAUGAUUGGUCGCUAGCAUGUUUAGCUUUUUAGGAACUCAUAAUGACGACAUGAAUGUGUUUAAUCCAUGCAAACUUUUUGAGAAUAUCACAUUAUUUAUUUAGGCCUUGAUGUGGUUAAAUUUUAAUAACUCAAUAUAUAGCCUUUGUUUAAUUAUUUGGACAUGUAUGCAUUUCGCUGCAUGGAUUUUGACAUAUAUGCAUGCCCAUGGAGGAACAUUAAUUUAUUUAUAUAAUAAACAUUUAUUUGGUGCAUUUUAUCAUGUAUGCGUGCACGUAAUUUACUUGGAGACAUGCAAGAUUAUGGAUUGACAUGCUUUGGCAUAUAUGAUGCAAUAUUUUAUUUGGGGCUGAGCUAGGACCUCUAUUUUGCCAUGGUCUAGAAAGAUAUGUUGGAUCACCAGACCUGGUCGUGAUGCAUGUAGUGAACUUAUUUUAUGAAAGUUAACAUGCAUGCUCCUAGCAUGGUAUUUGGCCACAGAUUAGCACGUAUUAUGCAAUUUAAUUUAAUUUAAUUUGAUGUGGUUUGUUUACAACUCAGCUAGGCCUGGUGAUUUAUGAAUGGGAUAUAGCUGAGGUGCAAUAUUUAUUUAUACAUGAUGCACGGAAUUUGGAGGAACUAUGCUCGGUAUGAUGAACAUGACAAGGCCAGUUUAAUUUGAGCCAUUCCAUCUUAUUCUUAUAUAAUUUAUGAGAUAUGAAUGCACCCAUGUUGAUUUUGAUGCAAAGACUAAAUUGACUGCGUCUAUAUGGUAUAAGCGGUUUGAUCAUCACCGUUCAUGCAAGAUGCAGUAGCAUAUAAGAUUUAUGAACAUGAGCUUUUAUUACGUGCCCAAACAGAGGAUUUUGAUAAUUUUGGCCAUGAUACGGGCGUACAGUAUAAGAUGGAUGAUUUUUAUCAUUAUUUAUCUUUGCUGACGUGAGCCAGACAGGUGCAUGAUGUAUGCAUAAAUAUUCUAAUUUUGGAUAUGCAUGGUCUUUGGCAGUUCGGGUGUAUGAAAGGCUAAUUUGAUUUGUCUCAUGGCAAUGCAAACUUUAAUGUUUCUUGCAACUACCAAUGAAAUGCACGGCACUGAAUAUAGCAUACAGAUGUUAGUGCUCGCUAAAUCAAAUUUGCAUCAAAGGCGCUAACUGCCACGACCAAGGAAAAAUAUGCAUAGACUGAAUAUGUAGCACAUGGAUUUCUUUAUAUAUAUAUAGCAUAAGCAAUGAUAACAUUUAGCAUGAAAUUUGGGUCUCUCUCGUACAUCUCACGGCAAGUGUUCUGGUUGAUUUAAACACAUGCGUGGAGUGCAGCGAGGAGUAUUUCUCCUACAACUAAAAAGAGUAAAAGAUGGACACCAGUUUCGUGCGACGUUCGUCCAUCGGGUCUUUCGUCCUGCCUCCUGCGAUGAGGAAACCCGCCCGGCUCUCUCUUCCGCAGCAAAAAAAAAGGAAAGCACCCGCUAUCUCCUCCACGAAUCCUCCUCGGCGCCGCCUCGACGAAUCCUCCUCCACGCAGAGCGCCCACCUCCUCCUCGACGAAUCCUCCUCGGCGCCCCCUCGACGAAUCCUCCUCCACGCAGAGCGCCCGCCUCCUCCUCGACGAAUCGGCGACCGCCUCCUCGGCGCCCCGCUCCCAGAUUUCGGUGCCCGCGCGAACUCCGGUGCGCAUAUUUCGGUGGCCGCGUCCCGCUGUCCGCGCAGCGACCCGCCGUUGGGAAUCUCGGCGAUCUCCGGUGGCCGAACAACCGGUCCGGACCCGUGCGGACUCUGGUGGCCACGCUGCCCGUGCACCGUGCACGCCGGUGGCUGCGCCCCUCNNNNNNNNNNNNNNNNNNNNNNNNNNNNNNNNNNNNNNNNNNNNNNNNNNNNNNNNNNNNNNNNNNNNNNNNNNNNNNNNNNNNNNNNNNNNNNNNNNNNNNNNNNNNNNNNNNNNAUUUUGCACAACUCUUCUCUUUCGUUCUUGCUGUGCGAGAUUGGCACCCAAACCCUGUCUAUCUGUAUCCCGAUCUGAUCUGAUCUAGGUACAAGUGUUGAUACAUGUACUAUGCCUACAAUCUUUUUCUGUUUUGUUUUUGCGAAAAAAAUUGGUUUACAUGUGGACGAGCAUGUUCUUUACUCGGUUCGACCCUGCCUCAAAGUUUACCCAAGAAAAAGAUUGGGUUUACAAGUACUCCUGUUGUUUUUGUUCAGAGUUGCAUCCACCUGUACCGAACCAAAUGUCCAAAUGCCAAGAAACGAUUAUAUAUUAGUUCUUGGAUCAGCUAUAAUGUUCCGUAGAAGCUAAUAGAUCUUUGGUUAGUUGCUUUUAUACUCUGCCUAAUUCUUUAGUACUCAAUGCGAGAAUGAUUCCAGUAUAAACUGUUGGCAGCAUGGCUUCCUAAUUUCUUGCAAUAGUGUCUGUGAAUUGUAAUUAGUUGCUUCAUUUUAUUUCUUGAGAGCCAAAACCAUGUAGGUUUGAACAUAUGGUUCAUAGUUCUGAAUAAAAUAUUUUGUGACAUGCUUGUUUGCUUAAUAUUGCAUUUCUUACAUUCUUGCUAUUGUCGGUAUUGUACCUUUAUGAAUAUAUGAUAACCGAAGAUCAUUAUACUGCAUACCCUAUAUUCUUCAGCUUUUUUGCUAUAUGCAACGCCUGAUCGAAGCGAGCAACUUUUCUUCGUGCUUUCUGCAUCAAUUUGACAUCAGUUGAAUUUUAUAUAGGAGGAUGUGAUUCUUUAAAGAAGAAAAACUCAGGAGGAUGUGAGCUCUGGUUUUAGUUUAAAUCUGAAUCUCCUUGUGAUAACUUGUCUGCGAUGCCAUGUCUAUACCUGCAUAUCGUUCCCAAUUUCUUGUUGACAUCUUUUUUUUCCAAUUCCAUGUGUCUGUCCAACUUGAGUUACUUAACAGCUCGAUGUGCUUGUCAAGACCGUAAAACUUUGUCUACUGUGAAACUAUGUUUCUUGGACUUUUUGCAAUUUACCAGGUUCAGUUAAUGGCAAGUGCAAUAGUUGAUUUGGCAAGUGCAAUAGUUGUCGUGCCUCUGUGGCACACUGACAUUACAGAUUCUCAUAUGUUAACAUCUAAAAUAUGUGAGAAAUGUUUUAUGCCUCUUAAGCAUUGAGAGAGAACACUACAUUAAUGUUCUAAAGCAAUGGCAGGUUUGCUGGACUGACAUUAUCCGCUAGAUGUGGGCACUCUUUAAAGAAAUUUGGGCAUCAUGGAGAAAUAUUGUUUUUACAGUGAGUAUUAUCUAUAAUUGUUUUUGUUUGUAUGCUUUAGAGAACAGGUCAGUGCUUUGUGUAGUCCUAUUCCCAAUAUGCUUUAGUAGUCCAAUUGAAUUAGUCUAAUAAAUUUCUAACAUAGGUCUGUCACAUAAAUAGCAUAGAGAACAGGUCAUUGCUUUGUGUAGCUCUGAAGCCCUUCUAUUUUCUACAUAGAAAAAACAUACUAAGUUGAAGUGAGCAAAGAUUUUCUUAAAGAUGCAUGGAUGUGCAGCUGAAUUUUUGCCCCUGUGUCAUUAAGCAAUAACCAUGUGGAAUAGCACACCACUGAAGUUGGAAGUUAAAUUGCAGUUUCCUUUGCUGCAUUCCAAUUAGAACUAGGAAUAGUACUUUGCCAUUCCACCUAAGGAGAUCCAUGCCUCACCAUUCCAUCAUGUAUCAUGAAUCCUGUUACUUAUCUAGCUAUAUGAAGUUUUGCUUCAGAAAUAGUUUGCAAUUCCAAACCCUGACUGCACACCACCCUGCUCUCUUCCUUGCAGCAGAUGUGAGGUGAGAAAUUUCUCUCAUCACCAUGCAGCUACACUUGGUUUGCCUUUUUUUUUCUAUUUUUCACAUGCUAAUUUGUUCCUGCACUAAAUGAAUCUCAUAAAAAAGAUGAAGUUGUAUAAAAGAUGACAAUUAUUAUUUAUUUUCUUUUGUUCAUGACACCACACACCAGACUUGGUGAUUAAUGUUUUCUCCUUCAAAACUUAUUUACUUGUCAAAUAUCAUCUACGUUUUAUAAUAAAUUGUCAAAUAUUUCUUGUGCUUUGAUGACAUUUUGUGCCUUGAAUCAGGCCCAAGAAAAGGACCUUUUCGAUGCACUUGCUAAGCUUUCUGAAGUAUCAUAUGAUGGUACGUUAUUUUGUAGAAUCUUUUAAUUUAUGUUAAAUAAAGUAAACUCUAGAUUCCCAGAAAUGAAAGAUAUUAUAAUCAUGUCUUGAAGCAAUGCCAUAAAUGCAUAAACAUGCCUAACAAAAUCUACACUCUGAAGAUUUUAGUUAUCCUUUUCUUUAAAAAAAAGCAAUAAUUUUUCUUUAAACGAAAGAAAGAAUGAAAGGCAGCAGUGAGUUUACUAAUUAGACUAAUGAGUGAUUGGAACUGUCCCCUGGGAUUAGCAAGAAAGAAAAAGCUUGCAUAAUUUAAGGUUUCGUGAGUACUUUGAAGAUGAGUGGAUUGUGGACAUGACAGAUUUUGGCACUUUGUUAACUGCAUUUUUUUUACUAUUUCAUAUAUUGUUUUUGACCAUAUACACACACACACACUAGAUAUGGAGAUUGUUGUCUUUUGCCAUUUUCAUCACCAUUUAACCCAUUCUCACCUACACCUACCUAAAGUUGAUUACUUGACCCGUUUUACCCUUGUGCGUUGCAGUUGUUUAUUUCGGUGCUGACCAUAACCAUCGGUCGGUCAACCUCAAUGAGCACGACAAUGGCAAGGGCGAUGAGGCAGUGCUGUUAAAGCUUGUGAGUUCAAGUGACGAGAUGUCAUCUGAGAUUAACAAGGUAAAGAUCCAGGGCGUUGCUUCCGUCCCCCUCAGCUGUGACCCUCACCGGUGGCACUGCCAGCUUAUCUCCGCUCCUCCUAGCGCCGCCACUGCUCGUGGCUGCGUCUUCCGCCUCUGGCCCACUGAUGGCCGUGGGGUUGACCUUCGUGCCCUCGGCUCUGUGCAAGAAGCGGUCCUUAAUUGACCAAGCUCACGGCGGAGAGGAGAGGAUGCUGGAGUUCGCUCGACACUUUAGGUGGCGCAUCCACAAGGCCAGUGCGGAAGCUAUUGACGCCUUUUGCGCCCAUAUUGGUGUCCCCGGAACCGGAUGAGCAAAAACAUGCACCUCGCCUCCACGCUGAUCGUGCCCGUGCGUGGGAGGUUCCAACGCCUAAAGCUCACGGCGGACCAAGCCUAAAGUUCAGAGUACAAAAAUUUGGGAACAGGAGGUUCCAACGCCUCAACAAGCUAUUUGAUUGUUGUACUGUCCAAUCAUUUUUUAAUAUCUAACAUUAUCUUUAUUAGUUGUUUUUUGAAUCUCUAAUGGUGUGUGAUCUACUGCGUUCAAAUAAUUUGCCCUCAAAUCCAAUUGAUAGCCUAAUCCAACCGCUCUGCGGGAUGGUAUGGAGAUAUGGUGAAACUUAUUCAUGGAUUUACUGACGCAUGAAAAAAUAAAUAUUGGAGAUUUCAUAUUACUAAUGUAAAAUAUUAUCUUAGCUGCAUCAUAAAAAAGUCUAUAUACCUGCGACACCAUGUUCUACGUGACUGUGUUAACUUCAUAAAGUUUACUUUUUGAUUAAAUAACACUUUAACAUUGAUAUUUAAUUUUUACACUAUUAUUAUCUUAUCAUGAGAUCUGUGUGUUUUAAGUAUAAAAUAUUAGCUAUCCCGUAGCAACGCACGGGCACGCUACCUAGUGAUAUUUAAGUUUGGGAACUGACUUGUGAUCACCGAGUUGGAAAACAAACACAUGUAACUGUAAACAAUACCAUUAACACAUCCAAUCAAACAAAGGCUGCUGCAAUCCAAUUACAUUACCUGAGGAUGAACCAAACGCUAUCAUAGUUCAAUUACGAACCUAACACUAUCAUAGUUCAAUUAGAUGCAGCAUUCGCAGUUUCUUCUUGCAACAGGUUCGGCAACAGAGGGGGCACGUAUGGCUCAAAGAGUGUCAUGCUGGGGUUCGGAUCAAACUGUAAUAUAUUAGCUGCUCGCUCGAAUUCCUCCCUGAGUAUUUUGAUGCUGAACUUGUCAACUACGCGGCCGAGAUCAUGGGAGAUCUCAAAUGGAUCUUCAAUGCAUAUGAGAUGCCUGUCAUUUCCAACUCGUCUAGUCCAGUCCUUCCGUUCCUUACUGAAAUUUGUGUCAAGAGGACAAGGGAAAGUUAUAUCUUUUAACAAAUUGGUGUCCACAACACAAUAAAGAAAAUUGGAAACUGCUUUGGUUGUAUCAUCAAUUGUUUAUAAUUUACUAGGUGGGACUAAUAACAAUGGAUAAUAUACCUACAGUGAAACAGCUACAAACAUAUUAUACACGCACCAUCUAACCAUCAUCACAUAAAGAGAGCCUAAUGAAAAGAAAUGAUGCCUCAGCAAGGUAUAUGUCAUACCUGAUAAUCCUUCCAGUACGAAUUGAUAUGACAUCUCUUGUGUAAUCGUGCUCAUAUGCCCAAUAAUGGAAAAAAGCCCAGAGCAGCCUUGAUAUUGUAUCUCUGUUGUGAGCACCAUAAUUAUUUAGCUUCUCCACUUGGUCAAAGUAUGCACAGUUAUUUUCAUCCACCUUGACAUAAUAAGUGGCCUCCAUUUCCUGGCAAUGCAUGACACUGUCAGUUAGUUCACAAAGUAAAAAGUAGUACAAAGGACAGAGAUGACCAACGAAAAAUAUUUACAAAGGUGAAUUUUUCAAAUGAAAGCAUAUGUUAUCAAGAUGUAAUAAUAAAAUCAAUAAGCAUGCAUAUUCUUCUACAAUAUUGCAGCUUCCAUUCACCUUUCUAAAUUGAAACAAAAAACCAUCUGCCCUGUCACCUACCUAUCUGGUUUUUUGUUUCAAUUUAGAAGGUGUCAACAAAUAUGAAACCAUUUAAUUUGCAUCCCAACUCUGGUGACAUGGGGAAAGAAACCAUACACCAUUAUUUUUUUCCCUUUUUGAUGCAAGAAGAAAACACAGGGCUAGAUGCUGGAUAAAAAGUGCAUAUUGCAACUUGAAAGUUGAAACCAAAAGCACGAUCCUUGGUAGCUACUAAACAAAUCAUUAGCCAUGCAAUAAACUAAAAUUAUCUAACAUCACCAAUGCUCUCGACACAUUCAUAAGGAAAAAAGAAAUGGUGUGCUAAACUCAACCAAUGACAAGCCUCAGAUCCAUGCAAGCACUAAAUUAAGCAGGAAUCCCACAGCAUGCCAGCAUUUGCUUCGGUUCCUUCCAUCACGCAUGUCUACCAUGCACCAGCUCAUCUAAAUUUGUUCCUCAUUUGACUACAACCCAUCAUUGCUGGUUAGGAAUUUGGGCCAUCUAGAUAGGCAGCAGAACUGGGCAAGUGAGGGGCAUCAAAAUGGAGCUCACACUGUUUCUAAAACAUGCCGACCAAAACCAUCAGCACUAAGCCUGGAUGGCACAUCAUCAAAAAAACCAUAGCAGAACAGUUAGGGGGCGUUUUGGAAGGUCUUAAGAGUUAGGGAAUACAAACUAAAUAGUUCCAUCUCUUAUAGUUGCUAUAGAUGUGCUCAUAGUUGAGAGAACAAAAGUGGAAUUAUUCUAAACUGCGUACUACAAAUAAUAUGAAUAACAUAAGAUAUUUAAAAAAACAAAUUUUAUUGGAAAAGCAAUCAAUGCAGAACAAUAGUAAUACAGCAACAAAAAUUUAGUGCAUCCAACAAAAAAAAGUUAUUUUGCUGGAUCAUUUUUUAGCACUUUAUGAAGGAUGGGAAGAUGAUGAUCUAGUCAAAUUUAGUUAGGGUGAGAAGCUUAAGAUCUAUUAAAUUUUAGUUAUGCCAUGCAGGGGAAAGACUGCCCUCACGGAUUGCACUAAGAAGCAGCUUCUAUCUAGCGCAUAGACCGAGAAACAACCCGAAGGCCAGCUGCCCUGAAUGUGCCACUGAGUGCCCUGUAUCUUGCUGAAAGUAUCUCAGGUGGUUACAUGUAUAACUCAGGACUACAGCCGACAAGGGUUGCUUUUUAACCCAUGUUUAAAUGUGCCCCCAGUAGUCAACUCAGGACCUAUGGUGUUACUUGAGCCAUGCUGACCAGUUUAGAUAGCAGACCCGUUCACAACAUAUGCAAAACAAUAGCAAAAGGUGUUACUUGAGCAAUGCUAACCAGUUAGACAGCAGGCCCAUUCACAACAUAUACAAAACAAUAGCAAAAAUGUAUAAUAAAUACAAAACCUCCACACAUAUUUGUUUCAGAUCUAGCCUACCCAACUUGUUUGGGACUAAAUUUUGUUGUCAUUAUCUGUGUAACAAUAAUACACAGUUAGAACCUAAAUACCAAGAAUUCUUCACAGAUGCAAUGUACAAGAAAUGCACUACAAUCCAGGAACCUGUAGACAUGGGAGUAUUCUUCGCAGCUGUAGGAGGUGAAUGCACAUUAUCACAUAGCUGAAAGUCAAGAAAAUAAUGAAAUUCAGACCAUUGCCACGUAAAGAUGAGAAAUAUUGGUAAUAAUGUGAGACAGACAACUUACGCAUAGCUAGAAAGUGUUCCUUGGUAAGUUUCAUUUACACGUCGAAUUUUAGCCCAAUGCUUCACAAUGAAUGCCAACUGCCUUAACCUUCUAUCUAUUUGUGCAUAAUCUCGCAAAAGUUUUGUGUUAACAACUGCUAAAAGAUUAUUGACACAUAUAUCACAGGAAAGCCCUGUUUCCGGAUCCAUAAGCUUCACUAUUGGGACCCUUGCUCGAGUUAAUGGCUGCAAAAUUUCAUUAGUUUGGGUCAAAAAUUCAGUAUACCAUUUCAAAUUCCUUACCUAUAUUGGAUCCCAACACAAUAGUACUUCAAUACAAAAAUUUAUAUAGUAGAGUGAUAAGAAUGUUGUCGGUGUUUAGACCCGCGGUCCCGACACUAACUAGUGAAUUUGUAUCUGUGUGUCCUAAUCCGAGGAGAUUUAUACCAGUUUAGGCCAAGAAUGCCCUACGUCCAGUGUGAGGAGAGAGUCUUGUAUUAUCAUGUACCGAGGUACUCGUAGUAGGGGUUUACAAGCAAGGCAUGAGAGAGGGAAUGAAUUCAAAGUCUCAGCUCUGUGUGUGGGAGAGGUGUGCCUAUGAGUUGUGCUCGUUGUGUGCGUCGUGAUCUUGUUCGUGUCCCUUGAAUGGGACCCUGCCUCCUUUUAUAGUUCACAAGGGGAGGCAGUGGCGGGGCGGAAGCUUUCCCUAGCCUUCACGAGGCUCCGAGGUCAGGUCGGGCAAAUCGGAGAUGGCCUGAUCUCGUCCGAUGCCUGGUUGGGUCUCGGGCGAGACAGAACCGGUAGGCCAAGCUAUCGGUCUUACCGAGGCUCGACGAUCGGGUCUCGGGUGAAGUGAGGGGUGACUGUUUAGCCUUUCUAACUUAUCAUUAUUUUGUUUUUAAAAAAGGAGAAUGGGGUUCUAAGCUCUUUGCUUGGGGUACUCUGGGUUACGAUACCCGACAAAUGUUGGCCAUGUUAAUUCUCAACUUGCCCUAGCGCGAGAAAUUCUACAUCAGCUCGAAAUUGUCAACGAUGUGCUCUUUCACCACAAGUAUGGCUCAAAAAUAACCUCAAGAAGCAUAGUCUUGCCCUGGCCACUCUCAAGCAGGCAAUCGCUCGGUCACGCUCUCGCAUUGGGUGGUUACGUGAGAGAUGCCAAUACGAGGCUCUUUCAUUUACAUUCGCAUCAUCGCAAGAGGAAGAACUUUAUUGGCAGGCUUAUCUCAGAAAAUCAUAUCUAUACAGCACAUGAGGACAAGGCAUGAGUUGUGGAUGAUUUCUAUGACAAAUUGCUUGGGACAAGUGAACCUAGAGAGCAUACCAUCAAUCUGCUUGAAUUGGGGAUUCCUACACACACACACACACACGACCUAGCCGAUCUUGAUUCACCUUUCAUGGAGGAAGAAGUGUGGUUGACAAUCAAGCAACUACCCUCAGAUAAAGCAUUGGAUCCAGAUGGGUUCACAGGGCAUUUCUACAAAGCUUGUUGGUCGAUAAUAAAAAAUGACAUUAUGGUAGCUAUCUCUGCUGUUUGGAGUAGAAAGCUGAGGGGUCUCGGCCCUCUUAACACUACAUAUAUCACACUGAUUACGAAAAAAGAAAAUGCCGAGUAGCCCAAGGAUUUUAGGCCAAUAAGCCUAGUACACAGCUUUGCCAAGCUCAUAACCAAAUUGUUGGCUAAUCAAUUGGCAGGUCACUUAAACCAAAUGGUAUCUCCUAAUCAAAGUGCCUUCAUCAAAGGGCGCUUCGUACACGAUAAUUUCAUUUUAGUGCAGCAGACGGCGUGAUUUCUGCAUCAACAAAAACAGCCCCGUAUUUUACUGAAACUUCACAUUUCAGAGGCUUUUGAUUCGGUUGCUUGGCCCUUCUUACUUGAGGUCAUGCAACACUUGGGUUUCGGACAAAUAUGGAGGGACAUCAUCAGUGGACUGCUAUGCUCUUCCUCUACUCAAGUGUUUUUGAAUGGGAUCCCCGGUGAGUGAAUAACUCAUCGGUGAGGAUUGAGACAAGGUGACCCCUAUCUCCAAUGUUAUUCAUUUUGGUCAUGGAUGUGUUGAGGCAUAUGAUUUCAAAAGCCAUUGAGCUAGGCUUGUUGCAACCAUUGUCAAGACGUGCUUUGCAACAUCGCAUCUCAAUGCAUGCGGAUGAUGUGGUUUUAUUUCUUCAUCCAGAUGCCGCUGAUAUUGCUGUUACUAUGGACAUCCUUCAACUGUUUGGUGCAGCAUCUGGGCUCAAGACUAAUCUACAAAAAAGUAAUUGUUUGACCUAGGGAGGUUGCGUAGGGGAUAGGAAUGGAACGCCGGAGGGCGAGGCUUGUAGACACGGCAGUAGAGGCUGUGAUACCAUGCUCGGCGUCGAGGGAAUGAGACGAGAACGAGAGCUAGGGCACCAAAGAGCGAGAGAGACUUACUCAAUCUCUGGCUAAUCUUCUAUUAAGCAAAGUGUUCCAUACUUAUACAAGAAUCCUAACACUGCUAACAUUAAUUAAGGAACAAAAAACCAAGAUAAUUUUCUUUCCUAAACACUCGGCUCAAAUAAGCAAAUGCUGAACUAUGGGCAACGCCGUUUGGCGCGCUUCAGCUGGUGACCGCGCUCCGGCGUUCCCCGACGCGGUCCACUCCUUAGCCACUGGCCAUGCCACGACGCUGGUAGACAUUGACCACCAUAACAUCUCUCCCUCCCCCCCCCCCCCCCCUUGAGCAACAGCUCGUCCUCAAGCUAGAAGUCAGGGAAGAGGACCUUGAACUCCUCGACGGGCUCCCAGGUUGCCUCCGCUUCAGCCAUGUCCGCCCAGUGAAUGAGCACAUGCCAAACGCCCCUGCGGAGCACAACCUGGCAAUGUAGAAGAUGCCAUUGUGUAGUGGUGGUAGAGCCAGCAACUAGGGCGGCAGUGUACCUCGGAACGGCUUGAGGACGCCAACAUGGAAGACAUCGUGGAUGCAGGCGCCAUAGGGGACGCGCAAACUAUAGGCGAUGGGGCCGACGCGCUCGAUCACCUCGAAUGGCCCGGCGAACCAUGGGUUAAGAUUGUCGCAUGGCCCAAGCACCAAAGACUGAGCCGACUGGUUAAGAAUCCGGAGCCAAACCCAAUUGAGUGCUUCUUGGCAUAUGCUAGAGCUUGGAGCAGGUGGUCCUGGACUGUCAGGAACGUGUCGCAAUCUUUGAGGAGAGCAUCCACCGUAUCUGUGUGGGCAGCUCCUGCAGUAUAGGGCAACAAGGCAAGCGGAGGGCGCCCAUAUACUACCUCAAAUGGCGUCGUCAAGAGCACGGAGUGGUAGGAUGUGUUAAAACGGUACUCCGCCAAGAGCCUUUUUCCAGCCAGUAGCCUGUCACCAAUGAUGGAUCGCAGAUACAUGACAAUGGUCUUGUUCACAAGCUCAGACUGGCCAUCGGUCUGCCGGUGGAACACCGUGCUCAUCCAUAGCCGGAUGCCGGCGAGCUUGAAGAUGUCGCACCAAACGUGGCCCCUGAAGACUAGAUCACGGUCACUCACAAUGGAGCUCAGGAAGCCAUGAAGUCGGACAAUGGCAUCGAAGAAAGCUUUCGCCAUGGUGGUCGUCGUGUAGGGAUGGCUUAGCGCAAUGAGGUGGCCGUAUUUGGAGAACCGAUUGUUGGAGGUAGGGAGGUUGCAUUGGGGAUAGGUAUGGGACGUCGGAGCGUGAGGCUUGUAGCCACAGCGGCAAGGCUGCAACGCCGAGCUAGGGCACCAAAGAGUGAGAGAGACAUACUCAAUCUAUGGCUAAUCUUCUAUUAAGCAAAGUGUUCCAUACUUAUACAAGAAUCCUAACAACCAAUCUGCUAACUUAGGAAUAAGAAACCAAGAUAAUUCUCUUUCCUAAACACUCGGAUCAAAUAACCAAAUGCCGAACUUUGUGCGACACGGUUUGGCGCGCUUCGACUGGUGACCGCGCUGCGGCGUUCCCCAACACAGUCCACACCUCAGCCACUAGCAUUGUCGCGAUGCUGGUAGACAUUGCCCACCAUAGCAGUAACGUACUUCCUAUACGAUGUUGCGAACAUGAGAUUGAGGUUGUGUAACAGCAACUACCUUGUGCACUAUCUGAUUUUCCAUGCAAAUAUCUAGGUUUACCCCUCUCAUUGCGAAGAUUCACAAAAUAGCAUGUUCAGGUCAUCAUUGACCUUAUAGCUGAUCAACUGCCAGGAUGGAAAGCAGACUUGUUGACACGAGCUGGGAGGCAAAUCCAUGUGCAGUUUGUUCUUACUGCAAUGCUCAUUUAUCUUGUGAUGGCCAUUGAUUUGCCUCAAUGGGCCAUUAAAGUGAUUGACAAAAUCCGAAGAAGCUAUCUGUGGAGAGGGCACAAGGAAGCACGUGGAGGGCACUGUCUCGUGGCAUGGGAGACAGCUUGCUCUCCAACUGAACCGGGUGGUUUGGGCAUUUCCAAUCUCAAAAAUCUUGGCUGAAAAAAGGAGCCACACCGCCCUUGGUCUGCACUGUCUAUACAUGUACCUGUUCAGGUUCAAAAGCUUUGUUCAAUGCAAUGGCGAGAAUACUUUGUUCUGAACUGAUAGAUGGCUUCAUGAGCAUUGCAUUAAGGAUCUCGCACCUCGACUCUUUGCUGUGAUUCUGCAGAGAAAGAGAAAGUUGCGUACUGUGCAGCAGGCUCUAACCAACCAAACUUGGGUCUCAGACAUCCAAGGUGCUCUCACAGUGGGGGUCAUCGUGGAGUAUUUUCAGCUUUGGGACCUCUAUGAUUUUGAGUUACAACCUGAGAUGGAGGACUCACAUUUGGAAAUUAUCAAAUAGUGGACGGUACUCCGACGAAUCCGCAUAUGAUAGCUUAUUCAUGGGGAAAAUUCUUUUCAGGCCAUGGGAAAGAAUUUGGAAAACUUGGGCGCUAGCUAAAUGCCGCUUCUUCCUAUGGCUUGUAGCGCAGAAGCGCUGCUGGACCUCAGAUCGUCUUGCACGACAAGGGCUGCCUAAUCCCAAGAAGUGUCCACUUGUGAUCAAGCUAAUGAAAGCAUUGAUCAUCUUCUAAUCGAAUGUGUAUUUUCAAGGCAAUUUUGGUACUAUAUCUUGAGGCAGGUCGGUCUCCACUCUCUAGCUCCACAGCCAUCUGACACUUCAUUCGAUGAUUGGUGGAAAAAAGCAAGCGCAGCAACUUCUGGUUUAACACAAAAAGGUUUGAAUUCCCUAAUAGUUCCAGGAGCAUGGAUAAUUUGGAAUCAUCGCAAUAGCUGCAUCCAAUGUUUUCUGAUCGUCCUAUUAAUCACGAUUAAUCAUCCUUAUCGGUACUUAGCACUCGAUUAGGGCCUCCGAUUCGAUCAGAGCAAUCAGAAACCUGAUUGUCCGAUUAAUCGUGAUUAAUCGUCUGAUCAGGCCUCUUGGUCGAUCAGAGCUGAAUUGGCAGAUGGGCUGCUUUUGGCCUGGGCUAUAUUUAUUUGGGCCAAGCCCAUUAGGGUUUCUCUUAUACACCUCACGCCCACCCUCUCUCUCCUCAGUCCUCAAUCCCAACUCCACCUUUCAUCUGCUGAGCUGUUGAGCCUCCUCCCUCCCUUCCAGUUCCAAUCCAAGCAGCCCACUGCUGCUUGCUGCUUGCUGCUUCCUCCUCCCUCUUCCCUGCUGCCUGCUUUCUCCUCCCUCUUUCCUACUGCAACUGCAAGUCUGCAACUAUAUACAUAUAUAUGAUAUAUAGUCUUGCUAUAUGUUGGACGAUUAUAUGGACGAUUAGUUCGAUCAGAGGUCGAUUAAUCGUCCUGAUCGUCGAUUAAUCGUCCUGUUCGUCCUGAUCGGUACCAGACCGAUUAGAAACGAUAAGCCGAUCAGAAAACAUUGGCUGCAUCUUUGAUGGAGCAAUUCCUAACAUAGCUGAAACCUUGAAGUUGGCCGGUGAUGAGCGUCAACGGUGGACAACGGCAGGGGCUCAUGGGCUAUCCCCAAAUGUAACUUAUGAGAUAAAGAUAAGGGUGUGUGUUGUACUAAGGGUUCUACUUGUUACGAACAAUCACAAUCNNNNNNNNNNNNNNNNNNNNNNNNNNNNNNNNNNNNNNNNNNNNNNNNNNNNNNNNNNNNNNNNNNNNNNNNNNNNNNNNNNNNNNNNNNNNNNNNNNNNCACUUGUUGGUAGUUCGGUGAAGAGGCUCAAGUGGAAGCUCGGUUUGAUCUGUUUGGAGAUAGUGCUAAAAUUGAUGCAAGAUAGUGUGGCAGAACCUCCUGAAUUAAGUGGCCCACAUGCACACAUCAUUGUCCCAAAGACUUCUGAUCGACGUGCACGAGUUCCAAAUGACUCAAGAAGUCUGUCGGGUGUCCUCGGGAAACCCGAAUCAUCCACGUAACAUUCUUUUCAGGAAUUCCCUCAUCAAGCAUCACAGUAUUACAACAUUUCAUAGAUAAGAGAAAUCAGAGUAAAAGCGGAAAGGUUACAUAACGUAGAUUGAAACUUAAGUUCAUAGUUUACAAACCAUAAGUAUUUGAUACAUAAAAGCUUCGGAACUUUAUAUUACAUAAACCAUAGAUCACACAACAAGUUUUUACUUGCCCAAGGUCACACAUCAGAUUCCUCAUCAUCAUUACUCUCCUCCACAAGAGUAAAGUAACCAUGACCAUCAAAAGGAUUCUCAAGAGGUUCACCUGCAACAGGGGUUAAUAAACCCUGAGUACAAAAGUACUCAACAAGACUUAACCGACUAUAAAAGAGGUGGAAACUCAGGUAUGCAGGCUAUAGGGAUUCAAGGUAAAGCUUUAUCAAGAUCAAGUAUUUCUUUUGCAUAAAAGCUUACUAAGAGUAAAGCCUACUUUCAAGUUUUAACUCAAGAUUAUCACUUAUAACUAACCAAGAUCAUUAUCCUACUUUCAUAACCAAAUCACCUCUUUCUUAUACCAAAGAUUCACUUAUUACUACGAUGAUGGGGUGAGGAUUGAGGCUCCAUAUCCGAGGAAACACGGCGAUUCGAAUCGAUUAAACCCAGCUGGGGAUUCAGUACCACACGACAUAUGUAGAACUUAAUCUUGCAUAUGUCAACCUGUUUCUAUAGAUCCUCCCAUACAAGAACGGGUCCAGCGUCACCCGAGAGUACAGUACACCACCAUCCUACAGCCAAUCUAGAUGUUUUCCGGUCAUCUCAGAUCCGUAAGGUGGGUACACGCUACUCUCGCCAUCUCUCCACUCCCAGUACGCGGUUAGCCGUUCUCAAGUAUCGGAAUAGCUAUAGGUAAGGCUUACCAGCGCAUGUGGGCUGUACUCAAAGGUCUCAAUCACAACAGGCCAACAAUGGUACGGUCCUUAAUCGACACAGUCGGAGACACUACUUUAAGACUCCAUUCUUAAAGCAAGUCCACCGACCGGUCUCAAGUUUAAACAUUAUUAACCAUAAAAGUAUUCCACAACAACCCUUCAAACUUUCUCAUUUGAAAACUUAUCUAAUGAGCAGGGCUAAGCAUACUAAGUAUUUUCAUAAAACAAGUAUCAAAGUUAAUAUGGAAUCAUCAAGGUAGAUAAUGCAGCAAAUAGGAUUCACUCAAUUCCUAUUCACCUAAUGCAUCAUAUUAACUCAAGUGAUAUAAAUAACUUUAUGAAAAUACAAGGAUAGGGUUUAAUGUCCGGGGCUUGCCUUGACCGGAAGGGACGUUCGACAACUCAGCAAAACCCGAAGGAUCCACAAACUCGGAAGCAACCCACUGAGGAUCAGAUUCUUCCGGAGCGUAUUCUAUACGUAAAAGUGCAUAUGCAUGAUUAUGCUAUACUCAAGGCAUAAUAAAGACAGGUUACAUGUUCUUGGACGACAACAAUAAACAUGACUACCUCGAGUACAAUUUACCUUCAUGGUAAAGAAAUAAACUAAUCUAGCUAUCAAAGCAUGGGUUAUUACUAAAUCAAUUUUAUUAUUUUUAUUAAACAAUGUUGUGGACUUAACAUAUCACAAGGAUCAUUUACAUGAAUUAAACCAUAACCAGGGAGCAUAUCAUGCUAAGUAACCACUGGUUGCCAAUCAAUCCAAAAUAUCACACAAAGCCUAAAGGAAUAAUUAUUUCUAUUUCUUUUAUAAUUAUUUUAAAUAGCUUUAUUAAGAGACAGAGCAUACUUUAUCAAAAAGAGUUGAAAUUAUUCAUGGAGAUAAAUAACAGUAACACAAACCCACAUGUCAAAUUUCAUAAUUUUUGGACUUUUACAGAGAGCUAGAUAAAUCAUCAAAGCUUCAUUUAUUAAUUAAAGCAUGGAUUUAAUUAUCACAGAAAAAUUACUCAAUAUACAAGUUUGAUAAUUUUUAUAUUAUCACAGACAUAUCAUAAGAUAGCAUGUAAAUUUUCAUGAACAUCAGAGCUAUAGAUUAAAUAUAGCAAAAAUAACAAAACUAGCUACUGUUUAAAUCAUACAAAAAAGAAAAAUGCAGAUUUUAGCCCUAACUGGGCUUUCAGCCCAGCACUAGCCCAGCUGAGCAGCCCACUGCGCGCGCACAGCGGCCCAACCGGCCAAACACCCGCGUCCCAUGGCGAUCUUGCAAAAAGAUCCCUCGGCUUAAGCUAAACUAACCCGCAGUCCAGCCAACUAUUCACAUGAGUCUACGGCUUCGCAAACAAACCCCUCCCUUUUCUCAUCUCUACAACUGCGAGGUCCCCGACGCCCCGGCCGUCCAGAGCGCGACAUCACGCGGCGGCGCGGCUUACGCCGGCCAACUCCGGCCACCCCAAACCAAACGGAGGCGAGCACAAGCACUAGCAAGCAACCCGCAACCGAAAGAGCUAGAAAACCCUAACUCUACUGUUCUAGCGAACUCUGGCCACGAGCGGCGGCGGACAUGGCCGCGGCGGUGCUUACGCCGGGGGCUCUAGACUGGUAGAGAAAGAAUGGAGAGGUCAGGAAGCAUUGGCGUCUCACCCUGGGUGUGCUGACGCAGAGAGAAGGAGCGGAGAACAGCCGGGUGUUGCUCGUCCACGCGACCAGUGACUCCGGCGGCGAGCUCCGACGAAGAAGCCGACGUUCCGGUGACAGCUGUGAAGCAACGGAGAAAAGAACGAGCUGAUGAGCAUCACAAGGUCAUGACGAAGCAAAGACGAGAGAAAGAGAGAGCAGAAAGUUGCCCGGAUGGGCUGACCACGACGAGCUUGACCACGGUGGCGCUCUGUCGCCGGCGGGGAGAAAGACGACGAACGCCGGGGCUCUGGUGCGAUAGAGAUAGGAAGGAUGGGUUCGGAAGGUGCGCAAGGAAGUAACCACUUUAUGUCCGUGGUGAAUUUGGAUGAGGAUCACUGGUUUCGAUGAAUUUGGAUUGGAAUGGGUCACUGCUCGUCGGUGCUCCGGUGGCGUAAAUGGCGUCGGUGAGCGCAGGAUGGAACGCCACGAAGCAAGCAGAGGCGCCAGCAGCUGCUACUCGAUGCCACGGAGACGGAUGCGCGCUGGGACGAGUUGACACGGUGCUCACGCGCUGGCAAACGCCGAUUCCAGCUCGGCGGUCCACCGCCAUGAACAGGGACCGAGCUUAUCCCCCUUUUCCCCAAAAGCCCUUUCUGUUCUUUAGCGAAAAACAACCAAAAUUUGAACAGAAGUCAAAUUUCUGUCAAAAUAAAAUUUGUACAAAAUUUUGUGAGCUACAAAACAUCUUUAAUGACCAAAGACAGAUUUGAAAUGGAAAGGGAUGAAUUUGAGCCAAACAGUUUGAAAUCAAAUCUCAAUUUGGGAAGAAUUUUCAAUUUUUAAUUGGAGCAGAUUAGAAAUUCCAAAAUUACUUUUGAUUUUCCAAAACAACUUGAAAAACUUCCAACAUGAAAGUUGUUCAACUUUUCAAGCCCUACAACUCUCAUGUUGACCAUUUUUCAAAAUUCCAAACAGAUUUUGAAUUGGGGAUUUAAGUUUGAAAAGGGGACACUUUCCGGAAAUCUGUAUUUUUAAAAUUACUUUGAAUUUUGUACUAAAUCUUCAAAAACUCAAAACACCAAAGUUGUACAUCUUGACAAGAUCUACAACUUUGCUUUUAAACUUAACUUCAAAUUUUGCUUGGUUUUUGAAUUGCACAAAAGGGGGCAAAUCUAGGGUUUUGAAAACUAGGGUUCCCCCCUAAGCCUUUCGGAAAAACAUUCACCCAUGGUUUUUAAACUCCAAAACAAGCAUCCAUACAUAAAAUAAACACACUUUAAUUCUUAAGCACAUUCAACCAAAUGUGAACUUAUUUUAAGUUAAUGCAUCAGGGUUUACUUAACAAUAAACUAUGCAAUGCUCAUGAUGACAUGUCAUGUUUUAGUUCGCUUAACACAAGAGUGUUACAGCUAGAUGCACGGUCUGCAUGGAACAUACCAUAUGCUUAGAAAUUAAUUUGGACACAAACAAUAGAACUCCUUGAUGACGUGUGUCAUAUGGAAUCUUGCUUCGGUUCGUUUGCAGACAUUGUAAGUUUUAGUGCAAGAUAGGUGCACAGUUUGCGCCUAAUGCACCAUAGUCUAAGAAACCAUUUUGGAUACACUGUUUGGUACUCCUUGGUGAAGAGGCUCAAGUGGAAGCUUGGUUCGGUCAGUUUGGAGAUAGUGCUAAUCCUUAUGCAAGGUAGGUGCAUGGUUUGCAUGGAACAUACCAUAUGCUUGGAAAUCAAUUUCGAUGCACUCGAUGGAACUCCUUGAUGACGUGUGUCAUAUGGAAUCUCGCUUUUGUCCAUUUAGAGACAUUGUAAGUUUCGGUGCAAGAUAGGUGCACAAUUUGCACCUAACACUACAAGAAAAAGUGGCAUUAACGACGGGAUAUGUGGUCGCUAAAGGUUGAUAUGUGGUCGUAAAUAGUUUUUAACGACCACAAAAAUGUGGUCGUCCAUGGUCGUUAAAGGCUCCGUCGUUAAUACAAUUAACGACCACGUACAAUUUCCCGUCGUUAACUUUUCAACGACGGGAUAAUAUGUGGUCGUUGAUACUUUAGCAUUAACGACCAUGUUUACAGUAACAACGACCACAUUUGUCAUCGUUAAUAUCAUAGUGCCAUCUUGCAUAAUGCAUUAACAACCACAUUUGUGGUCGCAAAUUGUUUCUACAAAGUAGUAUAGAGAGUAUUAGUGACCACUUCUAUAGCAUCAACCACCACACAUUUAUCACUAAUAAUUUUAUAUCGGAAUGGCACUUCUAUAGCAUCAGCGAUCAAUAUGCGAUAUAACAAUGACAUGUUUUCACAAUAGAAAAUAAAUGUAUUAAUUUUCAACAUUCCACAAAUUCAACUUCACAAUGGUCCUGGAUGGUUCAUGUGACCAAGGGGAAAACACAAUCCAAAACAUGAAACUAAUAUUGGCUAAAAUAAGACCAAUCCUACAAAUAACAAGGUAGUACUACGCUAUGCUUGAAGGGAUCCACCCAUCAAAUGCCUUCUCAUGAACAACUGUGAGGUCAUGCUAGUAAUGUUGCUCUUCAUCUUGCUCCCUGCAAUAUGCAAAUUUCAUAUCAGCAACAAAAAAUAAAAUCAAAUAAAGAGAUCAGGUAUAAAUAAUUAAUCUUUCUUGAUGUCGAUGCUUACAGAUAUUCACUCUUUAUCCAUGAGUUAAACUAGCACUCAUAUUGCGCUUUAAUUCUGCCCAUUCUUCUUCCAUUCGGCUAACACGAUUGGUAAUCAUCCGAUUUUCCUCGUGAAGUGCUCGAUUAUCUUCUUGAAGGUCUUUCUUUUCCUGUUCAGACUGUGUAAGUUUUUCUAUCAGUUCAGCUUUGGUAACAGUCGGACUCCGUAUAUCUCUUGCUCUUAUUCCACCACCAUAACCAACAACAUGGUCACGCCUAUUAGAAUCAAAGCACUUGUCCAUAAGUUCCACAUUAGAAAGGGUAGGGUUCCAUAGCCUUUCCACCUCAAUCUCUGCCUGUGAACAGAGCAAUUGAAAUUAGGUGCUUCUACCAUCACAUGUGUAUUUAUUCUUGUAUAAGAGGGAUAUCGCCAAAUACAAUUGUAACUAAUCUACAAUAAUGUUCAGCAAAAUGAAUUCAAAGGCAACUAUGAACUUACGUGCUUGGUAGAGGUUUCAGAAUCCACAAAGGUGCCAUCCUUCAUGUGAGUGAGAGAAAAUAAUUUAUCCAAAGUUGGAGGAUUAUUUUCCUUGCCACCCUAUUACAGGUAGAACAUUAGAACACAAGUAAUGAGAGUUAAUAACUGAAAAAAGUGAGCACAGAAUACUAUACAUACAUUGUCCCAUAUGAUCUGUCUGUAUGGUUUGCUACCACUGUGAUGAAGAAUUUUCAAGUUGGAUCUAUUUUUGGAGUUUCUCUUGCUCCUAUCCUACAGUUCCACGAAAUACCAUGGUCACUAAGGAUAAAAUAUGCAGCACACAAGUUGUCACUAUGUAACUUAGAAGAUUUAAACUUACUAUGAAAUCCUUGCUGUAGAAACGUUCCUUGACAAGCCACUCCCAAUCAGGUUUUUUAAUCCCUUUAGGGCAAUUCUUAAUAGCUUGCUGCAUAUUCCUUGCUGGCUUAACAAAUUGCCGAUUCAAGUCUCCACGCCAAUUAUUCCAUAGAUCUCUAGCGUGCUCCAUGAUCUCAGCUCUGUAUACAUCAAUUUCAAUGUCCGGAUUUGCAUUUUCAAACUUGUCCUGCAUAAAUAGGUAUUAAACUAAUGUUUCAAUAUGAGUACAAGAUUCAUGAAGGAAAAAACUGAGUAUGCUGGACUUAUAUAUGUAAGGAAGCGUGUACCUUAAUUGCAUCAAAAAUGUGUUUUUGAGCUGCUGGACUUAUAUCAGUCCAUUUCUUCACUCUAAUUGGAGUAAUGUUAGAAUCACGGACUAUUCUACCCAACUGCCUUGGGAAUGUUUUAGAUAAAGCCCGAUUGUUGUAGAACACUACUUUAAUUUUCUCGCCUGUCUUGAGUUUUGCAACCUUCUUACAUUUGUUUCUUCCACGACCUUGCCGUUUUUGUACUGUUUUGCCACCUAAAACAUAUAUAGAAAAGAGUCAAAUUCAUUUUGGUGAAGAAAAGUAUUUUUUUACUUGGUUGAGUGUCCAGACCAUUUGAUUUAUCUGCGGGUUGCUGCUGCUCUUGUACUUCCUCAGUUUCCAUGUUGUCAUUAUCCGAUAAUUCAUCUAAAAGUAAAUGGUCCAGAUGGAGUAUCUUUCAGUAAAUGAGUCUUGUAACAUGUGUGCUAAACAAUAAUUCCUGAUUAUGUUAUUAGCACCUCAUUAAGCUUUUUCAUUAUCCAUGAUUGGUUGUUUUUGUCGCAACAUGCACUUUCAGAAAAUAAAUGUUUAUCUACAAAGUGUUUAACAUAAGUAUUUGUUUCCAUACCAUCCUGCAUUGAAUAUGUAGAACUCUGUGGAAUCUGUCUCCUUUCGGCAUGCAUAUUUUCUUGAUCAAUGGCUCUGUGAUCAAUGCUACUCCUCUCAGCACGUGCCCUGUACUGAUCAAUAGGCCUGUUGUCAUCUCUGCUCCUUCCAGUAAGAAUCCUAUCUUGAUCAACAACCCUAUAGUCAUCUCUAAUGAAGGUGGCUGCAACACAUAAGUGAUAACCGUAAAUAAUGAAAAAAUAGUUCGAUAUAGAUUUUCUACUCAUUUAAGAUGCCAGAGUCUAACAUUUGAACUUCUUUGUUUUCCUAUUCCAUCCAUGCCAUUCAUCUGUUGCUUCGUCAUCAUCUGAAUUGUCGCUAGCAUCUAAAGGACAUGGUUGACUUGCAUAUUUGGAUUUUUUUGCUAUUACUGUCCUAUCAAACAAAGUAUCUGAUGCACCUCCAUGUUCUGAAUCAUCUACAAGAAUACAGAUAGGAGUGAACAACAGGUUAUGUAAACUAUUUCUAAGACAUACAUUGUCAUGAACUUCUAGUUAAUUAGAGAGAACUUAGAUAUAGCAUCCUUAACCUGCUUCUGGUACUUGAGUAGUUUUCCUGACUGAUGUAUGGACAUUAUUAGUGUCUUCAUUUAGACUGUUGUGGAUUGUUCUUUCACUACUAAUGUUUGGGUAGGUUCGCCUCACUUGCUGCUGACGAAGCAAUCCAGGACUUAUGUAUUGUGAUCUCCUCAAUGCUGUGGUUGUGAGAUUUCCAUACCUGCCCGGUUGCAUCGUGAGGACCUGCACAAAUAGAAGCCAUAUCAAUUAAUUUAUAAGUGCAUGAGUACAAGAGUAACAUCAAUGUGGUAAGCACAAAACCCUGCAAUUCCGCUGAAAGUUGAAGAAAGAUUAUGGGAACAAAUAAAUCAUUAAAUAUUAUAAUAGUUGUUGUCUAACUCGACUAGCAAAUGUGACAAAUUCUCCGAUGUCUAGUCUAGCAAUGUGAAACAUUGGAUCAUCGUUUUCUCUUUCCAUUGGACAAUAUGGCUAAGGCAUCUUCAGGCAUGUCCUCUUCAUCGUCGCCAUCAUUAUCCUCAGGUUCAACACCUUCAUCAUCUGAAUCUCCAGGGGGUACAUCAUAAGUGUCACGUGGAUGCAUUUUGGAGACCAUGUGCCAUCCUUUGAUUAGAUUGUCCUUAGCAUAAAAUACUUGGGAGGCUUGGCUAGCUAAGACAAGUGGCUCAUCUGUUUGAAGUAAACAUUUGAAGUUUACACUAACAAGCCCAUAAACAUUUGUCUUUAUCCCUCGGGUUUUAUUAAAUAUAUCAACCCACUUGCAGCGAAAUAAUGGCACACGCCUUCCACCUAAAAACUGAAGCUCAAGUAUCUCUGUCAAGACACCAUAGUAGUCUACAUGGUCACCAUCCAUAUUCUCUUCUGAAAUAACAGCCACCCCACUAUUCUGUGUGCACCGAUUUCUAUCAAGACUUUCAAUGCGAAAUCUAUAUCCAUGCGUGUCAAAGCCAGAAAAACAAGUUAUGUUUGUCAUAGGGCCCCGUGACAGUGACAAUAGGUCUUCCAUUUGUUGACUUCUAUCACUCUCAUGUAACUGAUGUACCUGCAAAUUGAUAAUAAAUCACGUAAAGCUCCUGAAAUAAAUUUACACAACUUUUGUUUUUAAAACAAAAACAUUGUCAUGUACCUUAUCUUUAAACCACAUAAUAAAAUUUUGAUUCCAGCUGGGUGUAAAUGGUGGCAACUUAGAGCCCUCUUGACUGUUGUUGUACUCACUGCAAUUCAACAUAUAUAAACAAUAAUAAGAGUAGGUAGAUAAAACAGUAUGUUAGAAUAAGAAUGACAUAGCAAAAAUAAUACCUUAUAAAUGGUUGGACCUCAUCACAAUUCCUGAGUACAUAAAUAUGAGCCUGUUGUAACUCAAGCAUAUCAAGAUCCCUUGUUUUGUGAGCACCAAGUCGUCGUCUAGUAGAAGAGAAUAUUGAUAAAUAGAAGUUUGCUGGGUCUGAUGUAUCAUUGAUUCGUCCAUCGCGAUUGUGCAUUGUUUCUACAUCAUCCAAGUAUCUCGAACUCAGGUUUAUAAAUUCAUAUGCAAUGUAACCCUCUGCUAUCGAACCCUCAGGUUGUGCAAAGUUGCGAAUUAGAGAUUUUAGAAAUUUUAUUUGUCUCUCAAAUUGAUACUUCCAACGAUAUACUGUAGGUCCACCGAUCAAAUCUUCAUUAGCCAAAUGGACAGGCAAAUGCACCAUUGGAUCAAAAAAAAAGAAGGAGGAAACUCCAUUUCAAGCUUACAUAAUGUUCUUGCUAUUAGAGAGUCAAGUUGCUUCAACUGUUCAACUGAUAAUGCUUUGGAGUUCAAUGUGCAGAAGAAUUGGGAAAGCUCUACCAAAGGUUCAUAAAUACUUGUUGGUAAAAGUCCUCGUAAUGCCAAAGGAAGUAUAUGAUUCAAGAUGACAUGGCAAUAAUGGCUCUUUAAUCCAGAAAGUUUUUGCUCCUUCAAAUUAACGCAUCUACUAAGAUUAGAAGAAAAGCUAUCUGGAACUUUCAAUUCUUUGAAGAACUGUAAUAGUGUUGACUUCUUUUCUGGAGGAAGAACAUAAGGUGCUGGUGGAAAAUUAGUCUUGCCACCAUCUUCAGUAGGAUGCAGAUGUGGCUUUAAAUUCAUUUGUUGCAAAUCAAGACGACUAUUAGCAUUAUCUUUUGUCUUUCCUAUUAUGUUGAGAAGAGUUCCAAGAAUACUCUCACAAAUAUUCUUUUCUAUAUGCAUCACGUCUAGAUUAUGACGCAGCAAAAGUGUGUUGAAAUAAGGUAAACGAAAAAAUAUGCUUUUCUUUAACCAAUUAUCUCCUCUUUCACUAUGUGAUAUCUUGGUCUUCUUGCUAGGAUCUUUUGAUAACACUAUCCCUUCUAGAUUGUUCACCUGCUGUAGCACCUCAUCUCCAGUUAAUGGCUCUGGUGGGUCACGAAACUCUUUAUUACCAUCAAAAGAUGCUUUAUCUUUUCUCCAUUUAUGAUCUUUAGGAAGAAAUCGUCGAUGGCCCAUGUAGCAAAAUUUUUUACCCUUUGAUAACCACAAUGAACAAGUUUUAUUCUGACAAACAGGACAAGCCAGACGCCCCUUAGUGCUAUGUCCAGAUAGAUUUCCAUAUGCUGGGAAGUCAUGAACCAUCCAAAGAAGGGCUACUCGAAGCUUGAAAUUAGUAUUUGUAGAUGCAUCAUAAGUGUCAACACCGUCCUCCCAUAGUGCAAUUAGUUCGUCAAUCAAUGGUUGCAGGUAAGUAUCAAUUGCAUCCCCAGGACCAUCUGGCCCAGAAAUCAACACAGAAAGCAAUACAUUUUGCUGCUUUGUGCACAACCAAGGUGGCAAAUUGAGAGGAACAAGGAAUAUAGGCCAAAUGCUAUAUGAGAUUUUAGUGGUAGAAAAUGGUUGGAAACCAUCACCAGCAAGGCAUAGCCUUAAAUUGCGAGGUUCAGAUUUAAAAUCGGGAUGAGUCUCAUCAAAAUGUUUCCAUGCUUUAGAAUCAGCAGGAUGGCGCAUCACACCAUCAUCAACCCUGCCCUCUAUAUGCCAUCUACAGAAAAAUGCAAUUUUCCUACACAUAUAUAGUCGCUGAAGUCUUGGUGUAAUAGGAAAAUAUCACAUAGUAUGUUCUGCAAUCUUCUUCCCUUUGGUUGACACUAUGUCUUCACCAGAGUGCUUACUUUUCUUCCAUCUUGAUCUUUCACAUACUUUGCAGAACUGAGCACCUAUAUCUUCUCCCAAAUACAACAUGCAAUCAUUUUUGCAAGCAUCAAUUUUUUGGUAACUUAGUCCUAGGUCCUUCAUGAUUUUUUUUGCUUUGUAAUAAGAAUUUGGCAAAGUAGAGUUUUCUGGUAGGAAGUCCUUACAGAUUAAUUCCACUAACAUAGUAUAGGACUUGUUACUCCACUUUCCCAAAUUCUUUGUAUUAAGCAGUUUAACUAUACCAGAUAGUUUGGAAGUACGAGACCCUUCAUGGAGAGGCUGGUUCAAGUCAUCAAGGAGUUUAUAGAACUUUUGUGCUUCAUCAUUUGGCUGUUCUUCAAAUGCUUCAUUUGGAGAUGUAUGUGAUGUACCUUCAUUGAUUGGGCGGUUAAUUUGCUGGGGAAAUAAAUCCAUUAGAAGCUCAUCCAUUGCAUUAUAACCUUCUUCAGUUGCUCCCUGGGAAUCAGGAUGCUCUUCGACUUCUGAAUCUGACUCAGCCUCACCCGAAACUUCUCCAUGAUGAUACCAAAAUCUAUAGUUUCUUAUGAUUCCAAAUAUUUUAAGAUGAGAAUACACUACCUCAUGAGACCUAGAAUAGUGUAUUGCAGCAUCUGACACAUGGACAUUUGAUUUCAACAUCCCCACCAGUCCUACUGAAGGCAUAGUCCAGAAACUUUUUAACACCAGCCAAAUAAAUAUCUUUUUUUGAGGUGUUUCCAUCUAAACAUUCAUCACUAAUACGAUCAUCAACUAGGUCAAUCCAUGCUUUACUUGGUGCCAUAUAGCAUAUAUAUGAUUGACUAUACAACUACCUGUGAGAAUAAAUAUAGAGUCAAAAUAGAGGUAUCUACCAUCCUGAGUGAAUGAAAAUCCACCACCAGGCAACAGUUUCAGAUUCCACAUUCUUUCAAAUUUUCAUAGUAAAGAUGUUUUGAUAAUAAAGAGCAAAUACAUACUGCCUUUUUAGGAUCAGAGGAUGCACUCCCUCUCCCUCCGAGAACAACUUACACCCUUUGCAACUGCAAGAAAAAAAUAAAGAACUAUGAGUAAUCAAAACAAAAUGUGCCCUCAAUUACAAUCCCUGCAUCCAGGACUUUUUAACACAAAUGCCUCAACUUAGAAUCCUUGAAUCAAACUAUAAUCAAGCAAAACGUGUAACUUUGGAUCUCUGUAACAAGAUGGUUAUCAACACAUUGUAACAGAGAUAUCUAUCAUCUACAUUGCAAAAUUAUGAAAUCAAUUUGUAUCUACAACUGCUAUACGUUCAGUUGUUUACACAAUAUCAGAUCGAUAUAGCUAAUUUCAGGUGAACAAAAUGGCAUCAGAUCCUAAGGUGCAGGGUUUUAUAUCAGAUCAAUACAGGGAAACAGGAUUAUGGAGAUGGAAAUUGAAGCUUACUGACCCACAGUAGGCACCGGUGGACAAUGAUGGGGAGGCCACUGCAGUACGAGUAAACAAGUGCUCCUCCCGGCUGGUGCAGGGAUGUGGUACAGGAACUGUUGUAGCGCAGGGACGGAAGGGCGGCGAGGACGGCGACCACAGGAAGGACCGGCGAGGCAGCGGCUCUAGGAUCUGCACCAGGAGGAGAUGACUGCAGGAGGAGGUGCAGGAAAUCGGGACAGGGACUGCUGCGGCAGGAGGUGCAGGGACGGAAGGGCGGCGAGGAUGGCCGCCGCCGGAAGGGCCGGUGAGGCGGCGCCUGUAGGAUCCGUGCCGAAACCGUCCUUGCGGAUCGCUAGGCUCUGUAGAGCUGAGCGGUGGGCAGAGGUCAGAUAGAUACGAGAUUUCUCAUUUAUGUACCUGCAGGAAAAUGAAGUUUGCGCCAAAAAUAAAGAGAUCAGGAUUCCUCAUUUUUUUAGCGCCAAAAAAGAAUAGAUCAGCAUCCCGCGUUUUAUUUAGCGCCAAAAAAAGUACAUACUAUUUUUUAAGGAGGGAACCAAAAUAUACAAGCAGAAUUUUUUUUAUAAUAUAACAAAAUAUAUGCACGUAGAAUUCCUUUUGUCCAAAUCUCACUUCACAUAUUCAAAUACAUAAAUCAUAGUAAUAUCAAAAACAAUGUAAGCAUGAAUUUAGUCAUCUUGGGAUUUCACACUGUGCACGGCUAGCCAUUUUGAACUUGAAACAGUAAGACAAUAUUAUAAAUGAGGGUUUUGUAAUAUCUCAAGACAUUGUCAAUGCAUUUGUUAUGAACUACUCAAUCCGUUCCAAAUUUGUAAGUCGUUUGACUUUUUUAAUAUCAAAUUUGAUCACUCGUCUUAUUUAAAAUUUUGUGCAACACAUCACUUUUUUUUUGUUGUGUAUUGGUUUAUUAAUAAAAGUUCUUCAAGAAUGACUUAAAUUUGCAUAUAUUUACACAAUUUUUUUAAUUAGACGAGUGGUAAAAUUUGAAGUAAAAAAAAGUCAAACGACUUAUAAUUAGGAUGGAGGGAGUAGUAGUCUAAGGUUAAAAAACUCCGAACAUCAUCUGAUCUAUAGCAUUGUGCUUUGGUUGAUUCCUUUUGUUAAAUUUUGUGCUACGUGCAAAGCAGAGGAAGCGUGACAUGCUCAAGCUGCCCACCGUGUUGCGUUUGCUUGUUAGUGCCCUGCAAUGCCAAGAGGAGGAAUCUCGAUUUGGUCUGUUUAGAAACAGUGUUAGUUUCGGUGCAAGAUAUGUGCAUGGUUUGCGCCUAAUGCACCAUAGUUUAAGAAACCAUUUUGGAAGCACCAGUUGGUAGUUCGGUGAAGAGGCUCAAGUGGAAGCUCGGUUUGAUCUGUUUAGAGAUAGUGCUAAACUUGAUGCAAGAUAGAUGUACGGUCUGCAAGGAACAUACCAUAUGCUUAGAAAUUAAUUUGGACACAAACAAUAGAACUCCUUGAUGACGUGUGUCAUAUGGAAUCUCGCUUCGGUCCAUUUGGAGACAUUGUUAGUUUUGGUGCAAGAUAGGUGCAUAGUUUGUACCGAAUGCACCAUAGUCUAAGAAACUAUUUUGGACGCACUUGUUGGUACUCCUAGGUGAAGGGGCUCAAGUGGAAGCUCGAUUCGGUCUGUUUGGAGAUAGUGCUAAUCUUGAUGCAAGGUAGGUGCAUGGAACAUACCAUAUGCUUGGAAAUCAAUUUGGAUGCACCCGAUGGAACUCCUUGAUGAUGUGUAUCAUAUGGAAUCUCUCUUUGGUCUGUUUAGAAACAGUGUUACUUUCGGUGCAAGAUAUGUGCAUGGUUUGCGCCUAAUGCACCAUAGUCUAAGAAACCAUUUUGGAAGCACCUGUUUGUACUUCGGUGAAGAGGCUCAGUGGAAGCUCGGUUUGAUCUGUUUGGAGAUAGUGCUAAUCUUGAUGCAAGAUAGAUGCAUGGUCUGCAUGGAACGUACCAUAUGCUUAGAAAUUAAUUUGGACACACCCGAUAGAACUCCUUGAUGACGUGUGUCAUAUGGAAUCUCGCUUUGGUGUGCUUAGAGAUAGUAUUAGUUUUCGGUGCAAGAUAUGUGCACGGUUUGCGCCUAAUGCACCAAAGUCUAAAAAACCAUUUUGGAAGCAUCUAUUGGUACUCCUAGGUGAAGAUGCUCAAGUGGAGGCUUUGUUCGGUCUGUUUAGAGAUAAUGCUAAUGUUGAUGCAAGAUAGGUGCACGAUUUGCAUGGAACAUACCAUAUGCUCAGAAAUAUAUUUGGAUGCACCAGAUGGAACUCCUAUAUGAUAUGGAAUCUCACUUCGGUCCGUUUAGAGAUUGUGUUAGUUUCGGUGCAAGAUAAGUGCAUGGUUUGCACCUAAUGCACCAUAGGAUAAGAAGCCAUUUUAGACACACCCGAUGGUACUCCUAGGUCAAGGGGCUCAAGUGAAAGCUCGGUUUGGUCUGUUUGGAGAUAGUGCUAAUCUUGAUGCAAGAUAGAUGCACGGUUUGCAUGGAACAUACGAUAUGCUCAGAAAUCAAUUAGGACACACCUGAUAUAACUCCUUGAUGAUGUGUGUCAUAUGGAAUCUUGCUUCGAUUCAUUUAGAGACAGUGUUAGCUUUGGUAUAAGAUAUGUGCACGGUUUACGCCUAAUGCACCAUAGGCUAAGAAACCAUUUUAGACACACCCGAUGGUACUCGUAGUUGAAGAGGCUCAAGUGGAGGCUCUAUUUGGUCUGUUCGGAUAUAGUGCUAAUCUUGAUGCAACAUAGUUGCACAGUUUGCAUGGAACGUACCAUAUGUUAAGAAAUCAAUUUGGACACACCUAAUGGAACUCCUAGAUGACGCGUGUCAUAUGGAAUCUCGUUUUGGUCUGUUUGGAGACAAUGUUAGUUUUGGUGCAAGAUAGGUGCAUAGUUUGUGCCUAAUGCACCAUAGUCUAAGAAACCAUUUUUGAUGCAAUAGUUUGUACUCCUAGAUGAAGAGGCUCAAGUGGAAGCUCGGUUCCGUCUAUUUGGAAAUAGUGCUAAUCUUGAUGCAAGAUAGGUGCACGGUUUGCAUGGAACAUACCAUAUGCAUGGAAAUCAAUUUGUAUGCACCCGAUGGAACUCCUUGAUGACCUGUGUCAUAUGGAAUCUCGAUUUGGUCUGUUUAGAAACAGUGUUAGUUUCGGUGCAAGAUAUGUGCAUGGUUUGCGCCUAAUGCACCAUAGUUUAAGAAACCAUUUUGGAAGAACCAGUUGGUAGUUCGGUGAAGAGGCUCAAGUGGAAGCUCGGUUUGAUCUAUUUGGAGAUAGUGCUAAACUUGAUGUUAGAUAGAUGCCUGCAUGGAACAUACCAUAUGCUUAGAAAUUAAUUUGGACACAAACAAUAGAACUCCUUGAUGACGUGUGUCAUAUGGAAUCUCGCUUCGGUCCAUUUGGAGACAUUGUUAGUUUUGGUGCAAGAUAGGUGCAUAGUUUGCACCGAAUGCACCAUAGUCUAAGAAACUAUUUUGGACGCACUUGUUGGUACUCCUUGGUGAAGGGGCUCAAGUAGAUGCUCGAUUCGGUCUGUUUGGAGAUAGUGCGAAUCUUGAUGCAAGGUAGGUGCAUGGAACAUACCAUAUGCUUGGAAAUCAAUUUGGAUGCACCCGAUGGAACUCCUUGAUGAUGUGUAUCAUAUGGAAUCUCUCUUUGGUCUGGUUAGAAACAGUGUUACUUUCGGUGCAAGAUAUGUGCAUGGUUUGCGCCUAAUGCACCAUAGUCUAAGAAACCAUUUUGGAAGCACCUGUUGGUACUUCGGUGAAGAGGCUCGGUGGAAGCUCGGUUUGAUCUGUUUGCAGAUAGUGCUAAUCUUGAUGCAAGAUAGAUGCACGGUCUGCAUGGAACGUACCAUAUGCUUAGAAAUUAAUUUGGACACACCCGAUAGAACUCCUUGAUGACGUGUGUCAUAUGGAAUCUCGCUUUGGUGUGCUUAGAGAUAGUAUUAGUUUUGGUGCAAGAUAUGUGCACGGUUUGCACCUAAUGCACCAAAGUCUAAAAAACCAUUUUGGAAGCAUCUGUUGGUACUCCUAGGUGAAGAGGCUCAAGUGGAGGCUUUGUUCGGUCUGUUUAGAGAUAAUGCUAAUGUUGAUGCAAGAUAGGUGCACUUGCAUGGAACAUACCAUAUGCUCAGAAAUAUAUUUGGAUGCACCAGAUGGAACUCCUAGAUGACAUGUGUCAUAUGGAAUCUCACUUCGGUCCGUUUAGAGACUGUGUUAGUUUCGGUGCAAGAUAAGUGCACGGUUUGCACCUAAUGCACCAUAGGAUAAGAAGACAUUUUGGACACACCCAAUGGUACUCCGAGGUCAAGGGGCUCAACUGAAAGCUCGGUUUGGUCUGUUUGGAGAUAGUGCUAAUCUUGAUGCAAGACAGAUGCACGGUUUGUAUGGAACAUACGAUAUGCUCAGAAAUCAAUUAGGACACACCUGAUAUAACUCCUUGAUGAUGUGUGUCACAUGGAAUCUUGGUUCGAUUCGUUUAGAGACAGUGUUAGCUUUGGUAUAAGAUAUGUGCACGGUUUACGCCUAAUGCACCAUAGGCUAAGAAACCAUUUUAGACACACCCGAUGGUACUCGUAGUUGAAGAGGCUCAAGUGGAGGCUCGAUUUGGUCUGUUCGGAUAUAGUGCUAAUCUUGAUGCAACAUAGUUGCACAGUUUGCAUGGAACGUACCAUAUGUUAAGAAAUCAAUUUGGACAUACCAUAUGCUCAGAAAUAUAUUUGGAUGCACCAGAUGGAACUCCUAGAUGACGUGUGUCAUAUGGAAUCUCGCUUUGGUCUGUUUGGAGACAAUGUUAGUUUUGGUGUAAGAUAGGUGCAUAGUUUGUGCCUAAUGCACCAUAGUCUAAGAAACCAUAUGAAGAGGCUCAAGUGGAAGCUCGGUUCCGUCUAUAUGGAGAUAGUGCUAAUCUUGAUGCAAGAUAGGUGCACGGUUUGCAUGGAACAUACCAUAUGCUUGGAAAUCAAUUUGUAUGCACCCGAUGGAAGUCCUUGAUGACCUGUGUCAUAUGGAAUCUCGAUUUGGUCUGUUUAGAGACAGUGUUAGUUUCGGUACAAGAUAUGUGCAUGGUUUGCGCCUAAUGCACCAUAGUUUAAGAAACCAUUUUGGAAGCACUUGUUGGUAGAUCGGUGAAGAGGCUCUACUAGAAGCUCGGUUUGAUCUGUUUGGAGAUAGUGCUGAACUUAAUGCAAGAUAGAUGCACGGUCUGCAUGGAACAUACCAUAUGCUUAGAAAUUAAUUUGGACACAAACAAUAGAACUCCUUGAUGACGUGUGUCAUAUGGAAUCUUGCUUCGGUUCGUUUGUCGACAUUGUAAGUUUUAGUGCAAGAUAGGUGCAUAGUUUGCGCCUUAUGCACCAUAGUCUAAGAAACCAUUUUGGACGCACUGUUUGGUACUCCUUGGUGAAGAGGCUCAAGUGGAAGCUUGGUUCGGUCAGUUUGGAGAUAGUGCUAAUUGUAACACCCUAGUGUUAUGGUUGCAUCAAUCACAUGCAUAACAUGAGCAUUAUCAUCUACUCAAGCAUAGCAUGAUCAUCAUCUACCUUGAGCCAUUUCAUUUUAUGCUUAAGUGUGCUUUAACUUGUUUAAUCAUGUUUCCUUUGCUUGUGUUGGUGUGUACCAUGCUUAUAUUUGUGUGCUAUGUCUUGGUAAUUAGCUUAUCUAUGCUUAACUCAACCUUAGGAACAAUGUUCAUGUUGAUCACUUCUCCAAAAUAAUUACUUAAGUCAUACUUACAAGUAUAGGCCCUAGAAACCUCUUUUGCUUAGGCUUUUAAAAAGUGUUUCAUAAAAUGUUUGCAUGUCAAAACUUUCUACAGCAAAGUUGUAGCAAAUUUUAUAAGGAACAAAAGUUGUUUUAUGGCCAUCUCAUAAACAUGAACACAACUAGCUCAAAAGUGACCCACAAGGCAGGAUUGGGGGCCGUUUCCAACACUUAGAAAAAUUUUCUAAGUCUGGGGAUGCUGCAGUUUGCUUGAUUGAUUUUGAAAACUUCAUAUCUUUCAAACCAGGCCGAUCUAGCUCUUGCUCUAGUUGACAAUGUGGUAUAACUCAGCUAGUACUCCAACUUUGUCAACUACACCAUCUCCUAAUUCGUUUUGGUUUUGGAGAUAAUCGUUGUCAAAGUAGCUGUGUCAGUCGGUCAUCGUUUUGUCUGAAUCAGACUCGAGCUCGCCGUCGUGGUCACCCGGCGCGACACCUGUCCGCCAUUUGUCGCCCGUACGCCGGCAUUGGCCCCGCCCGUCAGGCCGUCGGUGUCGUCAUGGACGCCACGACACACCGCACUCACUCAGCGCCUGUCCAUUCUCUCCCUGUCUCUCUCUCGCGCUCCGCCUGGCGAAAACGCCGUCGCCAUUGCCGCCGUGAGCUUCGCGAGCUCCUCGCGCCCUCGCCUCUGCGUUUCGCCUCGCCUCCGAGCGUCUCCGAGCCCGCCUCGAGCUCCUCCAUCUCCUCCGCCUCUCGGCUAGACGAGAUCUUCCCUAGGUAAGCGACAUUUCGCGAGUUCGUCGUCGUCGGGUUCGCGGCCGUCGCGACACCGAUUCCGGCGAACCUUGCCGCUGCUCCGUUCUCGCCUCCUUUCUUCCUUUUGAGUCGCGUUAAGGUUUGCUUAGGUCUUGGCGUCGGUUCACGCCACGCCAUUCUGGCUGAAACACCAUCGUCGUGCGGGAACACGGCUGCCGCACCGCCGUGCUCACCGCCGACGAGCACCUCGCACGUAAGCAGACUCACCGGAGUCAUUAGGGUUAGGCGUUUCUACCUAGAAAGCUCCGCGCUAGCUCACUGAUGCUUAAGCCACCCUUCCCCGACGCUCUACCGGUCGGAGGUGGCCGGCGUAAGCCGGGGUAGCUCCGCCGUGCCGGCAUGGCCGACGGCGACCCCUCUCCGUUACUAGAACCCUAGCGCCACCUACCUCCAUCGAUGCGGAAUCACUCUAGGAUCACGCUGGUGCCCUUGGAUCCGCUGGAGAAGCUCACCGUCGGCGAGCAUUCACCGACGAAGGCGUCCUCUGUUCUUUGGGUGGCUGACGCGCGGGACCCGCUGUCAGUGACUCAACGGUCUUCUCCUUUCUUUUGUUCAAAUCCAGAUUUUUAGCUUUCUUACAAAAAUCAUAUCUCCUGUUUCUGAGAUCCAAAAAUUGUGAAACCAAUUAUGUGAGAUUCCUUAAGAUGGCUAUUGUUUUGUAAAAAUAUAAAAUGAACCAUGUUUUCUGGGAAAAAUAUUUAUUAGGAUUUAAUCUUAUUAUUUAUGAGUGAAUUCAUAUCUCUUGUUAUACUGCUCAUCUGGCUAUGAAAUUUUUAUGGUAGUCUCUAAGUGGUAUGAGAAUGCAAUGACAAAUAUUUCAUGAUUUUUGGAGUACUACAUCUGUGAUAUAUAAUUCAUGAUUGAGAUAUGGCUUGUUUUCUUAAUUAAAUCAUAGUAAAUAAUUGAUGCUUAUGCUGGUGCUCUACUUUGGUGUCACACUUCUUUAUGGUAAUAGUAGUAUGUAAAUAAUCUGAAAUCUGUUGUUUGACACUAAAUAAGCCACGUUUCUGAAUUUAUGAAAUAAACACCUUGUCACAUGUUAAAUGCUUAUCUCAAUUUUGGCAUGUGCAAUUUCUCUGAAAAUUUUAUGGUAAGGUAUAGAUGCUAUGCUUGUGCUUCUGUAAUUUUUGUAGAUUUUUCUAAGCACCUUUGCUGGUAUCUUGUAAUAAUGCUCUUUUAUAGAAUUAAAUUGAUAAAUGCUUUAUUAGUUAAUAUCUAGGGGUUAACAAAUGAUGUUCUAGUUGUCUUAUGAUAUGCUUGUGCUUGUAAGCCAUUUGGCUGGUACUAGAUGUGUUUUGGUUAUGUCAUCAAAUAAUUAAUUAGAGGGUUAAGAGCUGCCCUGGACAGCAAGGGGGUAAUCUAACCUUUACAUGUUGAUAACUUGGUUUGCUGGAAGACUUGUCUAAAUCAAAGUUGUUGUAAACUGUAUAAUCUAGCUGUGGUUUAAUUUUGGGAUCAUUUGGUUCAAUAAUUUGAAAGAUAUAGCUUAUCCAAGUUGGGUUCCAGAAAUAGGUGCUUUCUGUUUUCUGGGACAGAACCUGGAACUUUGUUUAUAUGACUUGUUUAACUUAUGAAUCUUGCUGUGAUGUUUAAAGAUGAGUUGUAGACAAUUUCAUAAGCUUUUAACUUAAGAGGAGUUGUGAUGAAACCCUUGCUGCAUGUUACUCAAUCCUUGUCCAGAUAUCUUACCACUACCUGGUUAUAGAGUUAGGAUCGAGUAGCAGCUUAGUCAUGCUUUAAUCGGUAGAAGUCGGGUGAUAUCCUGUCACCUGCGCGAGAUAGGGUUGAGUCGGAUCACGAUUGUCUAUAUGUGCUAUCGUGUAAAGAAUCUGAUUAAAUUGACAUAAGCCGGGUGGAGUUUUGCAAGGUUGUAGUAACUCCGUCUGUGGCAGCUAAGGACCGACCGUUGUACGUCCUCUUGUCAUUUUGAACGCAUGCCUAACACUUAGUUGGCCGGAUAACUCGUUCCGACCGCGAAGCCUAGUAGUAUGACUCAGGCCGGAAGACCGGCAAGUAUAAAGUGCGCACUACCAGAGGAAGUGCGGUGUGCGGGGGACCAUUGGCGUAAGACCAAAGGAAGGUGAGUUAAAAUUCCUGACCUCCCUGGCAGAGUGGUAGCCCUGGGAGUGCGGCGCUGAUCGGAGCCGCGAUUCCUGAGUCGUACCAAAGGUGACCCGUUGGCUCUCCGACGAGGGAUGCUUGGGUGAGUACUAGGAAUAACCCUCCAGCUGGAUAGGAAUCGAUUCGAAUCGGCGUCUCUCCCGGAUAGUGAGAACUUGACAGAGCAGCGGCAAACGUAGCAUUCACUAAAGGACAAUGGUUCAUAAUAAUGAUGAUAGCAAGGAAGAGCAUAUGAUGAACAUGAUAUGGUUAUUAUUGCUUGUAAUAAUCAAGUGAUGUGUUUAGUAUAGGUGCUAAUCUAGUGAUAGGCUAAUAAUGAUUAAUAUGAUGCUUUUACAAUAAUAUAGCUAUCAGUUAAGCUUUUGGCAAUUGUUAAGUCAAACCAGCUCCACUAUAUACUUAGCCUUGCAUGAUCCUUGGUGUCUUUUAUGUUUUACUAGACGGGUAAGUCUAGCUGAGUACAUCCUCGUACUCAGGGUUUAUUCCCACCUAUUGUAGAUGAUAUCUUUUAUGAUGGCUUCUGCAAGACCUGUCUCCAUCCCGCUGGGGAUGAGGACUAAACCGUUGGGCACGGUUCUCUAACUACUUCGUACCUGUUGCUUUUGGAUGGAUGGCAUGAGACCCUGGCUGAACAUGAACUUGUGAAAUGAACUUUGGAAAGUGUGUGUAACUAUUUUGCUUCCACUACUACAAACAUGUGUUUUAAUAACUAAGUAACUCCGAUGUGGUGCCGCUUCGACGGCAUUGAGUGACUAUGUAACAUUCGCUGUGUUAUGUUCAACUAUUACGAUCUUGGUUUGUUGCAAGUUGGUUUGAAGUCCUUCGUGAUUUCAGUGGACUACCGGGAUUAUAUGGGCUCAAGUUUGGAAACUUGAUUGCUUGCCGAUCGUUUCUACACUUGAACUCUUAUAAUUUGGUCAGUUCUGUGACAGCUGGCAUCAGAGCAAGUUCAGCAUUAUAAAUGCAGCGUUUGUGUAUUUUAAAACAAAAGAGUUUUUAAAUAACAUUGUGAAAAUCAAUAUUGAAGUUAUGCCAGUGGUUGAAUCCUCCUUGCCCAUAUAAGGACUAUAGGUGGCUAUUUAAGUACUGACUUGGGGGGGGGUUUAUUUUAUGCAUCUCCGGCAGUACUCAGGUAUGGAUGUGUGAUGACCGCACUAUGCUACCCUGUGGUCUAAUGGUAGAGGUAGCCUUCAUAUGUGAAUUAGCCACAUAUGUCGCUAGAUUUAAAUUAUACAAUGUCGCACCUACGAUCUGGUAAGUGUGAGCUGUGAGAGCAUGAUCGUCCAAAUGGCGGUCUAGGGGAGUGUUCGCGGUGGUUUUCUGGAGUGGUUACAUGUCUGACCUUGGAACCACGAAAGAAACUUAAUUGGGGAGCAUUUAAUUUCUCGGGUAGUUGUGGUGUCAUUGUUUGUGCAUGUGGGGCAAGUCCAAGCAAUGUGCACUUAGUUUACUGCUUUCUUGAGUGAUAUAUUGGGAACUGUUAGGCUGCAAUGAAGUUUUCUGCAGGUACUCUAAUAGCGCACGUGUAAAUCGAUAGUUAUCGUAUCGAGAGACGAAUGUAUGCCUGUAACAUCCCCGAUGUUACGGUUACUAAAAACGGAUCAUGUCAUCAUGAGCAUUGCAAAUCAUAUUUGUUAAGCAUAUUAGUAUGCAUCAACUUAAAACCAGUUUACUUUGAUUGCUUGAGCUUAGGGAGGUAGAGUGUGCUUAUGUGGUGUGUUGAUGCUUGUGUGGUUGCUAAACCCUAGGGUGGAAAUUUUCCGAAAAGCUAAGGGGGGAAAACCCUGAUUUCUGGAUCCUAGAUUUGCCCCCUUUUGCAUAAGUCAAAAACUAAGCAAAAUUUGAGGUUGAGUUCAAAAGCAAAGUUGUAGCUCUUGGCAAGAUGUACAACUUUGGUGUUUUGAGUUUUUGAAGUUUCAAUACAAAAUUCAAAGUAAUUUUGAAAAUACAGAUUUCCGAAAAGUGUCCCCUUUUCCAAAUUAAACCUCCAAUUCAAAAUCCAUUGGGAAUUUUAAAAAGUGGUCAAGACGAAAGUUGUAGAGCACAAAAAGUUGAGCAACUUUCAUGUUGGGAGUUUUUCAAGUUGUUUAGGAAAAACAAAAGUAAUUUUGGAAAUUCUAAUCUGCCCCAAUGCAAAAAUUUGAAUCCUCUCAAAUUGAAUUUUGAUUUCCAAACUGUUUUGGCCAAAUUCACCCUGUUACACUCAAAAUCAGCUCUGGUCACCGAAAUAUGUUGUGUAGCUUAUAAAAUUUGGAACAACUUUUGUUUUGACACAAAUUUGACUCCAGUUCAAAUUUCAGUCGAAAUUUGCAAAACCCCAAACUGAGUGGAUAUGCACUGCUACAGUGAUCGGCAGGGGGGGUGCUCUACCGCCGGGGCAGAGCCGCCUCCGCGCGCGACGCCACGCAGCUGGCCACGCAGCUGCUUGCUGCUGUGCUUCGCGUGGACGUCCUCAUCCGCGAACCGCCUUCUGUCGUGGGGAUAAAGCCCCGAGUGGCCGGAGUCCCCUCUUUCUUUUCUUGAACCCCGACGCCGACGAGUUUCCUGCGCCGACCAAAUUCGCCUCACCCGUUGCCAUUCCAAGCCAUUUGAGCACCCCAGCAGCUCCGCCUUGAGCCCCGCCACCGUUUGCACCCCUAAACGCACGCUCUAUCCUACCGUAGCUCCCACCCGAGCCGUUUCCCUUCUCAACUCCGGCCGAGCGCCACCGCAAGCACGUCAUCAUGGCCAGCGUCAACCAGAGCCUCUCUGCUGCCGCUUCUUGCUCGGUUGAAGUUGUGGUGAGCCCCUGGUGCUUUUGCGCUGCUCAAGUCACGCUCUACUCGCUCGUAGUGGCCGGCGUUUGCUCGGCCGAGACGGCCGUCCGUCGUGCCCGUGGUCACAGGGGUUAGGAUAGAGGAGAGUGGGAGAAAAGGGUGCCCCUGGGUGCGCGGGAGGUCGAGGAAGCUAACGCGUCUCACCGCGGAGGCCGAGAGCUCGCCGACGGCUCACUGGAGCUCGCCGGAGCCGCGGCGCUAGGAAGGAGACGGAGCUGACGGGCGGGACCCGCCCGUCAGCGACCGCGUGAGAGAGAGAGGGAGAGGGCGCUGAGCGCGGGAGAGCUCGCGGGCCGUCUUGGGCCGGGUCCGAGCAGGCCGCCAGCACUGCACAGUGCACUUUUCUUUUUCCUUUUUGUUUAAAAAUGUUUGAUAUUUGAAUUUAAAUAUUGAAUUGUGUAGUGGUCCAAAAAUAGUGAAACUUUUUGGGUAGGUUCCAGAAAAUGUAUAGAGCCUAGGAAAAAUAUUAGAAUUUAUUUCUCUGAUAGUUUGCAUGUCUAUAAAAAUUGGCUCUUUAAUUAGUGAAUAAAACUUCUAGGAAUUUUAGUAAUUUAUUAGGAGGUCCAAAAAUCACCAAAAAUUGUGGAGAGCCUCUGAGUGGUAUUCCCUGGCUCCACACAAAAUUUGGUGGCAUUUGGAUAAUAUUUGAUUAAAACAUUAAUAAAUCCUUAUUUAGCACUUAAAUAAUAAUUCCAAAAUAAUUAUAUAGUGAUUAGUUAAAUCCUCAUAAUUAGGGUUGAGUGAUUUUGGGAUUUUGUGAUGACCUGAGGUCAUUAACCCUAAUGACCUUUGGCAUUUAAAUAUUGUUUGGCCUUAUGCUUAAUUACUGUCAUUGAUGAUUAAUUAAGAGUUAAUUGAGGUAAAUAGGAUUAAUAAUUAGUUAAUUCAGAAUAAUUAUGAAUUAAAUAAAGUCUUAGUUUACAGAUGCAACCUCUUGGGUAAAGACACUAAGUUGUUAAACAACUUUAUUUAUUAUUUAUUCUGUAAUGCACCAAGAAGGCAAGUUAUGCUCGACUUAGUCCUUCUUGCACAUUUGUCAUAUGCAUAUCACGAGCAUUCAUCAUCUUGCGUAUAGUGCACCUGACCGAAGGAGCACCCGUUGAACCGAACCCCGAGGUCGGUGCUCCGUUCGAGGAAGUCGGAUCCGAGACUUGGGAAGUCUCCGAGGGUCCCUCUCUGCCCUGCAACCAAGGCAAGCCCCGGAUGCAUUACCCCUCCUUGAAUGUUUUAAAUCUUUUAUCACUUAUGAAUUGAAAAUGCUGCAUUAGAUAGUUGAGAAUUGGGUGAACCUACUUGCUGCAUUUACUACCUUGAUAUUUGUUAUCUUGUCCUUGGCACCUGUUUUACUUUAAAAACUGCGUAGGGAUGCUUAGCCCUGCUACUAGAUAGGUUUCCAAUCAAAGUUUGAAGGGUUGUUGUGGAAUACACUUAUGAUCAAUGAUGUUUCAAUUUGAGACCGGUCAGUGGACUUGCUUUAAGAAUGGAAUCUUAAAGUAGUGUCUCCAACUGUGUCGAUUAAGGACCGUUCCGUUGAUGGCCUGCUGGGUUGAGAAUUUAUAGUACUAACCACUUGCCCUCGGUAAGCCCGGUCUUGUGAUCCCUCGACGCGAACAGCUACUCGCGCACUGGGAGUGGAAAGAUGGCGAGAGUAGUGUGUACCCACCUUACGGAUCUGAGAUGACCGGAAAACAUCUAGAUCGGCUGUAGGAUGGUGGAGUACUGUGCUCUCGGGUGCCGCGAACCUGGUCAAAUCUGGGGAGAGCCUGACUUGGGUUGGUAUAUGCAAGAUUUGGUUCUACAUAUGUCGGGUGGUUAGGAACUCCAGCUGGAUUGCUAAGCGAUUCGAAUCGUCGUUGCUCCCCGAUUGGGAGACUCAAUUCCGUCGACCCUCAUCGUAGUUAAAUAAGCAACUGAAUGAUAAAAUGAGAAAGGGGAAAAUGUCUCAUGAGGUUCGGAUCCCAAUUCCCGGACUCAUAGCGACAUGAAGCUAUGGCCAUCGAUAAAUAAUACUUGACGUUAGGAUUAGGAACUCCCGGAUUCGUCUGUGGGGUACAACUAGUUAAACUAUCCUCGAACUCCUCGGCCUCUGCGGGAGAGGAAUUCGCGGUUAAAACUUGAAAAUAAGGAUGCACUACUAGUAAGCUUUUAGCAAAACAUUUUGGCUCCUUGCUCAGCCACCCCUUGUCUACCCUAAGCCUGCAUCCCUAAGUUCUCCUCUUUUCCAUCGGGUAAGUCUUGUUGAGUACUCCCGUACUCAGGGUUUCAAUACCCCUGUUGCAGGUGAAGCACAUGAGCCGACUUGCUUCGGACCCUGUUGUGUGACCGUCGUCGAGGUUGACGACGAAGAAGAGUGAGCGUGACCCAUGGGCAGGGUCUGUAAAAUUGUACUGUCUGUACUAAAGUUUCAGUUGCUCCGCUGGACCAGGCUCGUAAUAACACUCUACUAUUUGGAAGAACUCCUUUUGUAAAUUAAGUUAUGUAAUACUUCCGCUGUUUUACUCUGAAAUAUUAUUUUAGUCUUGUGUCGUUGGAGUUACUGCUUUAUCUUCGCAACGAAUGAUCCUGGUGUUAAGGUGGCCACUUGCUAUCCUGUAAGGGCGAGAAGAAGAAGUUCUCGUUAAUUGACCAUCGCCAGUGGUCAGAACGAGCUUGCUUAAUACGCCACAGGUGGCGAUGGAAUGAGCGUCCUAAGAUGCUCAUCGGACUUCUAGAGUGGGAGGAUCCCCGGCAUCACCGUCAGAGGUCCUUAGGACAAUGACAGGUGUCGGUGGGCCCAAACACUUACGAGGUUCUGCCACAGCUGAUAUCAGAGCAUUCGUUGCUAAGAUGACUGUUGUAUCCUUUGAAAAACUUCAAAACCAUUUGGAUUCAAUACUGUAAAGUUGACUAAUUUGAGUCCAAGUGCUUUAGUCCUAUCUUACCCCUGUCUGUAGGCUUGUUAGAAUUUUUGAAGUGGUGUGGAGGAGCAACAUAAUGUAUUGCCCUAUGUUGUAAUGUCUUAAGUGAUAUCAUUAUGAAUUGCAAAUAGGAAUCGUAAGUACGUGCAUGCAUCAUGAUAUAUCACUUGGUUAAAUUCCUUCCUCUUUAAGUGGGUUGGGUUGUAUAGAAUCAAUCCCAUUCUUGCUAACCUCUAAGGUCUCCCUUACUAAUCCAAACUUACCCUCUACGGGAUGGGCCGUUGGAAACAGACUUCGCGCAAGAGGACUGGUCCUAAAGGGGUGCCUAGACACUAGUUGGCCCCGCGAAGCGAUCAAGCAAGCAGUAGUCGUUCACCAUCUCGGCAAGAGGUGGAAAGGUUGUCCGCCGAGCUAACCGAAGUAACGAGAGAAAGGAUGUACAAUGUCAUGGAUAUCGGUGAACUUAAAGCUCAACUAACAAAACAAAAACAAGCCACCGAGAACUGAGAGGCAAUGUUGUCCCGUAUGGUGGAAGAAAGGAAUGCCGCUAUUGCCCGAGAAGAGGAGGCUAGGAGCGCACACAGGCACGAGCUGACCAGAAUGAAGGCGAAGCUGGAUAAAACUAAGUACCUUAAAGAUCUGUACGUGAAGAUGGCGGCCACUGUCACCGCGCAGAGGGAUGUUGCGUGGCAGCGGGAAGACCAGCUACAGGUGGAGAAGCUCGAGCUGGCACAUCAUCUAGAUACCGUCAACGACUUGGCAAUGCAGUACCGUGAUAUUGCAUUCGACCAAUAUCAUCAGCUCCAUCCACCUCCAGGUGAAGGGGAGAUGGACACGGACGGAGAGUUGGCGGAUGAUGGGGAAUCCGACCAAGACCUGAGUGACGAGGAGGAAUCCGACUCCGGUGACGAUAACCCGGGGGGUAACCAUGACGAUGGCAAUGACGACCCGGGCUACGGCUCUGACCACACCGACUAGUUCGGUGAAGUCGCGGGCAACGUCGUUGUAGGAUUUCUAGUCUACCGUAGUGGGGUCGGGUCUGUAGUAUCGAGUUUUCUUUCAGUUUAAGAAGUUGUACUCGUUUGUUUUCAGUGUGUUGAACUGAUGUUUGAUAAAUAAAUGGAAGUAUGUAAGAUAUGUCUUAAGUUAUGGAUUCCAUGUGGUAACAAGUACCUAUGAUUCUUGUAGUCGAUGCCGAUGCGUACUCGUGGAUCUGAUGGAGCCGGGUCCUCUCUGGGAGGGGAUGACAUCCCCAACCCUCCACCUGCUCCACCUUCCCUGGCUGAUGCCAUUGCUGUUCUUUUGAGUGCCACUACCGACAACGCUCGCUUGUUGCGCAAGUUAGCACAACGCCAACCACACCCUGCCCCAAACUUCAGAGCACAGCACAAUGGGGAGGGAGAAACUCGGUACGUGGACUUUACCGAGACAAGGCCCCCGGUAUUCACCAAGGCUGAUGAGCCGUUAGAGGCCGACGACUGGCUCCGGACCAUGGAGCACAAGUUCAAUCUGAUCCGAUGUUCGGAAACUCAGAAGCCCAUGUUCGCAGCUCAACAGCUUCGGGGAGCUGCGGGUGCCUAGUGGGAGAAUUUUCUAGCUAUCCAAGAUCCAGGGCACCAGGUCACCUGGACAGAGUUUAAGGACGCGUUCCACGCCCAUUAUAUCCCUGAAGGGCUUAUGGCCAUGAAGGCCGAAGAAUUUCUCGCCUUGCAGCAAGGCGAUAAGAGUGUCAUGGAAUACGUGGCAAAAUGUAAUCAUCUUUCUCAGUAUGCCACAGACCAUGUGAACACGGAUAGAAAGAAGAAGGCCUGCUUCAUGCGUGGUCUCAAUACCAAACUUCAGACCAUGAUGACCACAUGUGAAAAUGCAACUUUCUACGAGGCGGUAAAUAUUGCCAUCGCCUUGGAAGAAAAGAAUAGAAAACACAAAGAAGCCAAGAAGAAGGCUGCUUCUUCCUCCUUCUCUGGUCGCGGUCAAAAGCGCCAGAGAAUCAUUUAUCAUCCACAAGGACACGGACGCUUUCCAGCGCUGUCACCUUAUCGUGGUCCUUUUCCCCCUCCACAAUAUAGACCAGGGCAGCAGGUAUAUCCUUGACCAACUGCCAUCGCCACUGCACCACGCCAGCCGAACGCCCCAAGUGUUCGCCCCACUGCUCCGCCCAACCACAAUUAUCCUUGUUUCAAUUGUGGUAAGCCUGAGCAUUUUUCUAAAGAAUGCCCCUACCCCGCCAAACCAACCCCACUUUCCAAAGGCCACCCAUUGGCCAACCCCAGCCGAGCCAAUUUAGGACUGGGGCUUAGAAAGGACAACAUGUGCAAAGGGGUAAACCCGUAAAGAAAACAGGACAAGUCUUCCAUACAGAGGUGGAGAUGAUACCGGAAGGAGAACUGGUAAUGAUGGGUACGUUUCCUGUUGCGAACCAUCCUACUUUAAUACUUUUCGAUUCUGGUGCAUCUCAUACAUUCAUCAACCGCACCUUUGUGAUAAAGCAUGGCAUACCCAUUGGGGAAACAAAAGAUCAUUUUUAUAUACAGUCGCCAGGAGGACGGCUGAGUUCUAAAGAAAUGGUUCACUAGAUACCCAUCGAAUUUGGUGGGCAUAGUUUUCCCACUAGCAUGAUUGUUCUUAAAGACCAGGAGAUUGAUGUCAUACUAGGCAUGAACUGGAUGGCACAACGAGGGCUUGUGCUAGACACUUUGCAUCGAACCAUCAAAAUACCCUUGCCCAAUGAGAAUUCUUACCUUCUAAUCCAGUUAGCUACUCCCAAACGGGCAAUUGGGCAGGUUCAUGCCACUAAGUUGGCUACAGUCAAAAAUAUCCCGGUGGUUCGGGAUUUUCCGGAUGUAUUUCCUGAGGAUCUACCAGGUCUGCCACAGGACCGGGAUGUCCAGUUCAGCAUAGAAUUGAAACCAGGGACAGCCCCAAUAUCUCGAAGGGCCUACCGAAUGGCACCGAAAGAACUGGCCGAAUUAAAAACCCAACUACAAGAGUUGUUGCAAAAAGGUUUUAUUCAGCCCAGUUCCUCUCCAUGGGGUUGCCCAGCCUUAUUUGUGAAAAAGAAAGAUCAAACAUUAAGGCUGUGUGUCGAUUAUCGUCCCCUGAAUGAGGUGACGAUUAAGAACAAGUACCCAUUGCCCCGUAUUGACUUACUAUUUGACCAGUUAGCCGGGGCCAAAGUAUUCUCAAAGAUUGAUUUGAGAUCAGGGUACCAUCAAAUCAAAAUCAGGCCGGAGGAUGUACCCAAAACGGCUUUUACAACCCGUUAUGGGCUGUACGAAUACUUGGUGAUGUCUUUUGGGUUGACCAAUGCACCGGCCCAUUUCAUGUACUUGAUGAACUCUGUCUUCAUGCCAAAGCUGGACAAAUUCGUGGUCGUCUUCAUUGAUGACAUUUUGAUCUAUUCCAAAACUAAGAAAGAACAUGCUGAACAUCUGAGAAUUAUGCUGACCCGUCUUAGGGAGCAUCAACUAUAUGCCAAGUUCAGCAAAUGUGAGUUCUGGCUGGACAAAGUCCAUUUCCUGGGUCAUGUAUUAUCAGUGGAGGGAGUCGCUGUAAACCCAGGUAAAGUAGAUGUGUUAAAUUGGAAGCCCCCGACUACGGUACAUGAGGUCCGUAGUUUUCUAGGUAUGGCGGGAUAUUACCGUCGCUUUAUCCCGGACUUUUCAAGAGUCGCUAAACCAAUCACGACCUUGCUCAAGAAUCAAACAAAAUUUGUUUGGUCACCUGAAUGUGAGCAAGCCUUCCAGACUCUGAAAAGAUUAUUGACAACUGCACCUGUCUUAGCCCAGCCAGAUAUUGAAAAACCAUUUGAUGUGUACUGUGACGCAUCAGGGAUAGCGAUAAGCUGUGUGCUAAUGCAGGAGGGUCGAGUAAUUGCAUAUGCUUCCAGACAGCUUAAACCACAUGAAGAGCAUUACCCGACCCAUGAUCUUGAACUACCCGCCGUAGUACAUGCAUUAAAGAUCUGGCGCCAUUAUCUGUUGGGGAACACAUGUCAUCUAUACACAGAUCACAAGAGCUUGAAGUACAUCUUUACUCAAGCUGAACUUAAUAUGCGCCAGCGAAGGUGGCUAGAAUUAAUCAAAGAUUACGACCUUGAGGUGCAUUAUCACCCUGGCAAGGCGAAUGUAGUAGCUGAUGCCCUCAGUCGUAAGGCUCACUGUAAUUGCUUAAUAGUGACGCCUAAAGAUAUAACUUUGUGCCAAGAGCUAGAGAACCUGGGGAUAGAAAUGAUUUCCCAAGGAAGCCUUGCCAAUCUAACGAUUGAUUUCAAUCUCGAAGCUCAAAGCAUAGAGGCACAAAAAGAAGACAAAGGCAUGAAAUAUCUUAAAGAGAAAAUUUCUAACAGAGCACCCACAGACUUUAAAGUGGAUGAUGCAGGCGUAAUCUGGUUCAAAAUCCGGUUAGUGGUUCCAAAGAUACCUGGGCUACGUCAGCAAAUCCUGGAGGAAGCUCAUACCACGAGAUAUUCUAUUCAUCCGGGAAGCAAUAAGAUGUAUCAGGACCUGAAGCAAAGGUUUUGGUGGACGAAAAUGAAGAUAGAAAUAGUCCGCUAUGUGGCCCAAUGCGACACAUGCCGAAAGGUCAAAGCUAUUCAUCUCAAAUCUGCUAGAGAGUUGCAACCUUUGCCUAUUCCAGCAUGGAAAUGUGAUGAUAUUAGCAUGGAUUUCAUAGUAGGAUUGCCCAAGACGACCAAAGGCUUCGAUUCUAUUUGGAAAAUUGUGGAUCGUCUCACCAAAACAGCACACUUCUUGCCUGUAAAGAUAUUAUAUCCUGCCUCCACUUAUGCUAAGAUUUAUUUUGACCAUAUACUAAGUCUGCAUGGGGUGCCAAAGGCAAUAGUGUCAGAUAGAGGCACACAAUUUGUCUCCCAGUUCUGGAAAUGCUUACAUGAAUCUUUGGGCACUAAGCUUUUAUACAGUUGUUGACGGUCCUUAAUGCUUAACCAUCAAUUAAUCAUAGAAAAGGAUCCAAAUGCAACCAACACCUAGACUUAGGGUUUUAUCUGACAGAAUUCCACAAGUUUUGGUGUUUGUCUAUUUCUGCAGGGGGUUAUCAGGAAAUAUGGAAGAAAGGCCCACACGUCGGGUUUACAUAGAGAUAUUAACGUGCUGCGCAAUUUUCUAUCAUCUAGAAGACUUCAGAAGCCACGGGACCGAAGCGGAAGCCGAGAGGCCUCAGGGACAGGGCGCCCGCCCUAGUCCUGAGGGCGCCCGCCCACCUCUUUCCACCAAUCAGGGUGAAGUUCGAGGAUCAUGCUCCACCGACCUAAUACUUCAAGGAAAACCACACAAUCAAUGUCGGUUUGAUCCGACGGCCCAGAUUCACUUGAAGGGACUAUAAAACCAGACCCCCCUGGCCCCUAGAGAUCAUACCUCUUCUACAGAAUGAAAGUUAGGGUUUCAAUUCUUCAUCCAAGUAGAGAGGAUCCCUCUAGUUCAUCUAGAUCUAGCUCUAGUUCAUCUAGUUCUAGUUCUAGUUCCUCUAGUUCUAGUUCUAGUUAGUUCUAGUUGUAAUCUAGAAAAUAGGGAGAGAGAAGAGGAGAGCGGAGGAGGAGCCGGAUCUGUCGGAUCUUCCUCAACAUUAUACUUUUGCAGCAUCUGGUUCGUUCUCCAGGUUCUUCAAUUCAUAUCUCCUGAGUUCUCUAAUUACUUUUAUUUACAUUCAAGUUAUUUAUUGGAUUCCCGCUUGCAUCAAGUGCUCUAGUCUUUAUAACGCUAGAGUAGUAAUUAAUAGAUUAGACGUGGUGUUUAGUCUUGCGAUUACCUGGAAUUGCACCCAAUCCUGCGGAUUGUUGUGGUAGCCUUAGGGUAGUGACAGCUCUAAUGGUCGACGUAUUCCACCACGUUCGGAUCGGUGUUUGUAGGACCGUAGUCAGACCUUUCUAGGCCCCUUCUCAUCUCUUUCUGUGGUUAGUGCUCUGAUGUCCCGAUAUAGAUAGUCUUGAAGUAAUUCUUGAUUCUUAGAUCAACUAGAGAACUCUCAGGAAACUUCCUCUCUUCCCACCAAAAAUAAUUAUGUAGUUAUCCUUGGGCGAUCUUGAUUCUUAAUUAGUACACUCACGUUCUCUGUGGAAAAUCGAUACUCUGGAAUACUCCUGGGUGAAAGCUACAUCGGUAUCCGUGCGCUUGCGGAUUUUUCUGUUUGCGUUUAAAAUACCCAACAAGCUUUCUGGCGCCGUUGUCGGGGAACGGUAGCUGUGCUAGUUUCGAACCAAGUCGUCCGUGUAUCCUUUUUCUUUUCCUUUUUUACCACACUGACCUUACCAUUUUUACCAUACCACAUGGAUUUCACUCUAAGCAUUAAUGAGCAUGGAAUUUAUUUCAUAGCCACUUCAUUUACUCCAUGCUCAUAUGCAACAUCUUCACAAUCCAUUGGUUUUUCCAACAUCACCGCAUUCGAGAUCUCCAACCCCCUCAUCCUUUCUAUUUAUAAAAACUUUAAAAGGGCGGUUGUCGAUGCAUAUGUCUAUAUUAAAUAUUGCAGAUCUCGUUGAGUUGAUCUUGAUAUAGGUCAGCGUUGGAGGGGAAACCACUUCGCCGACAUAAAUUGAUGGUUUCCCAAGGACAAGCUUAGUGUCCUAAAAUAAGCACUGAUCAGAUUGUAACAUGAGCUUUUAAUUAUUUGCAACAUUACCUUAUGUGUUGAGCAUAUAAAGAUAAUUGUAGAAAAAUUCCUUCGGGUAUUCUUGUCACUAACCUUUCUAGGAUUGGAGCAAGAAGAUCGGAUGAAUGACAAGCACAAGGUAUGUUCAACCAAUCAUCAUACAACAUUGAAUUAAAUUCAUCCAAACUUGAAUUUUGCUAAAUUCAAGCUUGGGGGAGUACUUUAUAUAAAAACAUCCUUUGCCAUGUUGCUAUGUUGGUUGUCCCUACCUUUGAGACAUGCUCAAUUUGUUAAAUAGUAAUCACACUACUUCAUCUCCACUUGAGUAGAUCUCUAUAAAAGCCAACACGCUACCUUUGUUUGUCCUAGUAAGUGUUAGUUUCGAAGUACUGUACAUACUUCUAUUGGUUUUUAAAUUAAGCAUGGUGCUUAGGUUAAACAACCUUCCUUAAUCUAAUUAGACAUGGAGUCUAGUUUGGUUAUUGAACUAAAAACUGCUUGUGUAGACAUUGGAUAUUUUGUUGGACUAACCCCUGCAGGAAAACUUUCAAUAUCGACCUGGGAAGUUCUGAGAUAAACUCACAUUGGAGACAAAGAGAGAGACACAUGAAGGUUAACAAUUUACACAAGGAAUGCAUAGCUCACAAGAGAUGAUCCAUGGAGGGUGCCACAAACACGAUGCACAACCACUAAGAAAGGAAAGCUUCCACAAGGUGAUACUGUACCAUCACUCUUCAAGUAAGGUGACAUCUUAAAGUACUUGACUAUAACUUUUAUAAGCUUCUCCUUGGUUCUGACGUUUACAUGAAUAAAAGAGACAAACAUGUAUGAUUUAUAACUCUAGAUUAACCAACCCAAUUGAUUCAAUAUGUUUAGUCCUUCCACCUUUGUGAUCCCACACUCCUAAUCAUAUGAGCUAAAAUGUUGCACAUUCAAUCUUUGGAAGAUAUAUAUAAAAGAAACAACAUAAAUAUAGAUAGAUUAUCUUUCCAUUAGGUUGAGCGAUCUGAUCUGACAAAUGUUUUAAAUGCUACACUCAUGAUCUUAUUAUCCAUCAACUUUGUCUUGCUCACUAUGCUUAAGGAUAGAGAAGAACAAAUACACUUUUGGUUCUGUUGGUGUUUUCCACCAACAGGGCCCAUGCACUUGAUCUCUACCUUGUCUCUAUGAGUAGGUACACUUUGAGCAAAAUAUGAAGGAGUUUUAUAACUUCCAGACUCCACCAAAGUGAAGAACCUAGAUCUAUGAGCACAAACACGCUGGAGAUACUAGACACUCAUGCAAACACUGCCCUGAGAUGCUUGAGGAUGUAACUACUGGAGUAACCCCGUUGUGGAAGUAAUUACUGACCUUCUGCCGGUCAAGAGAGACAAUCUAGGACGCCCCAUCAUCCCGAUCUCCUUCGGCAUGGUGGACUUCCUAGAAGCACUCUGCGACUUUGGCUCCAGUGUCAACAUUAUUCCCAGGACUUCGUAGAGACUAGUAGUGAUGAGAGGGCACCCAUCAUCCUAGGGAGACCAUUCCUGAACACCUCGGGAGCUAUCAUCUACGCUAGUGCUGCCAAGAUCAGUUUCUACAUCAAGGGGAGGAAGGAGACGUUUUCCUUCAAGAACAAGACUACACAAAUCUCAGAGCAAUCCCGACAUGAACCAAGAAAGAGGACCAACAGGAGGAAUAGGAACAAAAAAAUAUAGACCAAGUCAGCUAAGAUGGUCACUGCAAUUCAAGGAGGUCAAGAUCGUCGACUUAAGUGACCGUUCCUGACCAAGAAGGACGACCCUGGUGUUCCAAGCAUCGAGUGCACAAUCAACGGAUAUUCUUUUCAGAAGACACUCUACGACACCGGAUCUGACGUCAACAAAAUGGCCGCAGUCACUUAUCAGCUCCUGCAUGGAACCAUGCCCCUACAACCAACAUACAUUCAGCUCUAGAUGAUUUUAAGGUUAUUGACAUGGGAGAAGACGAGUACAAUCCACCCAUCACCAUUGGAAGACCGUUCCUCAGCACCGUUAAAGCAAUCAUCUACAUUGGAACUGGAGAAGUCCACAUGCAUUUCCCCUUUGAGAAGGUACGCCGCUAUUUUAUUGACCCUAACUAUAUAGUUGAAGACUCUAAGCAGGUCAGGACAAGAAGAAGACGACGCAACCGUAACCAGAGGAGGAAAAUCAUAAAGGACGGAUGGGCAGAGUACGAAGGAGAAGUGCACCAAGGCAGGUGUGGAGAAAGAAGAUAGUUAUAUAUGAAGAGUACGCGCCGCCGGAACCACCGACUACGCCAUCCAGCGAAUUCCAGGAUGAUUGAGAAAACGGAGAAUCCUAUUCGGAGGACUUAAAGACACCGAACGCCUUGCUAAGAGGUAAACUUGGUAGUUAUCUUUUUCCUUUCAACUAUUUAAAAUAGUUUGCUUCGUUAAUCAGGUUCAUAUCAUCUUGAAAAGAAAAUAAAAAUGUUGAAGAUAGUAAGCCCCAUGUGAGUAUGCUCAUGACAUAAAACCCAUAAGUACAUUCACUGUGGUGGCAUAAAAAUGAAAUAAAUAUAUUCCUGUCCUAUAAAAAUAAAAUUAUAAAAAUAAAAUUAUGAUCCUACUAAUGAGUAACAUUUAUUGAGGAGGCUCAACAUGAUAAAGGCUAGAUAUUUAUGCUAACACUUAACUAGUUCCACAAAGCUUUGUUGUCUAUUUGAGCUCCACAGAAUUCAAGGAUCAAAGAAGACUAGCAGACGGAGGACAUCCUAAUCGCGGUCAGGGUGCUGCCGACAUUCAAAUACACCUCCACCACCUGCUAGCUACAUCAGAAGAAAUUGCGUCAAAAUCCAGCUUGGGGGAGAGCACCCCCAUUUAUCCAGCUAAGUGUUUCUACUCACGUUUAUACUUUACUCAAAUAAUAAAAAGAUGCAUAAUCAUAAAAACCCAAAUAAAGAUUUUGUGCUUAUAUAUAUAUAUAUCUCUGCUUAGUUUGCUAAAUAAAUAAAUAAAUAAAGUUUGCUAUGAACCCUCAUGAUAAGCUCUCACAUGGAAAUGAUGAGUAGUUGCUCUACCAUGAUUAGUUCUAAAAAUUGAAAUCUCUCUCAAGUUGAGGCCUGGCUGUUAUUAAUUUGCUCUAAACCUUAACUUGUGGGAAGAGUACUUGAUCUGAAGUCUAAGUCGUUAACGGAUACGAUAUGGGAAGGUUGAGCUGCUGUUUAUCUGUUCCUAGAGAUGCUAGAAUUCUGGAGAAUUUAAUCUUUGAAAAUCUUUAAAAUGUUGCAUGAUGAGUUCCUGUAUGAUGAGAGUUUAAAUUCCUACCACAGCCAUAUAUACAUGCUUGCUAGACUUUGAGCCACACAUUUACUUUUUACUGCUUAUGAGCAUUGAGUGUGGUCAAGCUGUGUAGACCCUUAGGAGCUUAUCAUGUGGUUAAGUCAAUAUUCACUUGCACGUUCACUCAUACAUGUUGCUUCUACUCCGGAAGUACCAUCCACAUAUACCCAUUUCCAUCUCCAGAACCACCCAAAAAUAUUCUACUCCUAAUCCGGGAGAGAAUAGCCAAAAAUAUUUCUGUUUUUCCCCUGUGAAAUAAAUGCUCAAGUUAUCUUGUUACUACCACUUGCUAUAUUAUCUCAUGAGAUGAGUGCUCUAAAAAAAGAAAAAAAAUAUAUAUACGAGGAAAUAAAAAGGGGCAAGUGCCCGGAACCUCGAAGAAAAGAAAAAGUGAGACGAGAGGUAAAAAUGGACAAGUGUCCGAUAGUAGAAUUAGGGGUACAAGAUACCCACCUGAGAGAAAAGAAAAAGAAAACAUAGAGCAUCUCAUUCUCCUCAAAAAGUUUCAAAAGAGCAAGAAAGGUAUGUAUCCGUUCAAAAGAGCACAAGUAGAAUUAAACGUUCAUCAUUGUUAUCACCAUCAUCACCAUACACCAUUCAUUCGCCACACAUGCACAUCUUGAUUUGACUUAUUGACUUGUUCUUCUGGAUCCAUGGUUUGACUAUGCAAUAAAUGUCUUGUAAGUAUGUAUUAGCUAUCUCCCACCUAUGAGCUCCAGAUAUCAAAACCCUAUUAGAGUAGGGUGAGAGAGAAGGCAAUGCCACUAUGCCUUAUACCACAAAUACCACAUACUUUGAGAGAAGGCAUAUACCAUUACUGCCUUGGUAAGGAUCCAGAAAUACCACAAAAGAGAGACUAGAGAGAGUCAUACAAGGAAUCUCUGAGUUUUAUUUGAAAAUCUGCAAAAACUCCAGAGCUAUAGUUGAUCAAGAAAAUGAGACAUGGCGCUUGAUUAGACCGUUCUAUCAUUUAACUGCUCAAGACACAAGUGAUGGUCGCAAGCCCCAUGGUGAAAGGUAAAUGAGUAAGUUUUAAGUCUUAACAGUUUACUCUAACCAUAGAUGAGAUCUUGUUUAAACGCAUGUGUAUCUUUAAGUUAUGAAACCACUGCAGAAACUCUUGAGUUCAUCUUUGCUCAGGGACGAGCAAAGGUUAAGCUUGGGG